AUUUUUAUUAUUUCUUCUAAAGCAUACUUACUAUGUCCUAAACUGAACCAAACUGAAGUAUACUUAAGUAUGGACAAACAACGCUCUUGCAAUACAUCAACCAGGAAACAAUUGCAAAAUAUACAAAUAAGAUCAACCUGAGUAGUUUACUUGUUACUCACAACAGAUAAAAAAAUCAAAUUGACUAGAAGAAAUAACAUCAUUGGUACAUAUAUGCCUUGUGGUGGUGUCGCUACUGGUCAAAUAUAUUACACUUCAUCGAGAAACUUCAGAACACCGAAGCAAAUGUUUUUUUAUGAUACCAGCUUGAAGUCCAUAUAUCAUUUUGUUGAACAACUAUCCACCUAUAUGGCUGUAGGACCCUGCACAUUAGAAAAAAAGAACCAUCACAUAAUCUAAACAAUUAAUUAAAAUGUCACAUUAAUUUAAGGUACACGAUAUAAAAACUCCAAGUGUAUGUCUAAUUGGCCUCAAGACCAUAAGAAAAUAAGUUGUGCGUCUCUUAGACAUCUUGACUACCAUGAGAAGCCACCUCCAUUUGACACUCUUUGCAGCAUUGCCUCCAGCUCCAUCUAUGAUGUAUCAAUGAUCAUUAUUGUCUUCCGCCAUCACCUCACUACAAAAAAUGCAGAAACUAACUUCUAAGGAACAAAUCAAAGUCAAUAAGCAUGCUUGUUCAUUCAAUUUUUUACAACAUCAGGUACAGAGAAGGAAAUCUCAAGACGAGUUGAUACUUACCUCAGACACGAUGCCAACUGUCUUUGAGAGGGGCAUAGCUCGAAGGGGAUGGAUCCUCGGUAGCAGCAGGUCCAGCAGCAGUGUGAGCCUGCAGAUGGAGCCCCGGUAGCAGCAGAUCCAGCAGCAGCAAGAGCCCGGAGAUGGAGCCCCAGCAACAGCAGGUGGGACAGCAGCGGGAGCCCGGAGAUGGAGCCCUGGCAGCAGCAGGAGCGGGGACUGGCAAGGACGACAGUGGGAUGUCGAGGGGGCGGUGCGAGGACGGCGGUUCGAUGUUGAAUCGAGAGGGCGACGGCUCGAUCUCGGGAUAUGGAGCUUGGGGGGAGGGGCGGACUGCAAGGACGGGUGGAUGACGAGGUGGAGCUUAGGGGCGAGGUAGUGCAAGCUCCGAGACAACGACUUGAAAACGGGGUAGAGCGCGAGGCCGGCGGCAGGACUGUGGAUCGAGCACGAGGGCAGCGGCGGCAGGCACGGGUUAGGGCUGUGGAGUUGGGUUCGAGAUGGAGGUAAUUUGCACAACGGUGGCGGAUAUUUUACAUGAACACCCCAAUAUUCCCCGCCUCGCGCCGAAAUCGUGCGCCACAAGUUUCCAACCUUUGGUCCAUUGACACGUGUCCAUCUAUGCCGACACUUAGUCUGUGUCCAUACACCCAACAUACGCCGACACAUUUUAGGUUGCUGCGCACUUACCUACUGUCGGUGUCAAAACCUGCGGAUCUCGGAUAGGGGGUCCCGAAUUGUGCGUCUAAGGCAAAUGGUAACAGGAGAUUGGGGACACGAUGUUUACCCAUGUUCGGGCCCUCUCAAUGGAGGUAAUACCCUACUUCCUGCUUGAUUGAUCUUGAUGAUAUGAAUAUUACUAGAGUUGAUCUACCACGAGAUCAGAGAGGCUAAACCCUAGAAGCUAGCCUAUGGUAUGAUUGAUGAUGAUGAUCGUGAGUCCUACAGACUAAAACCUCUGGUUUAUACAGACACCAGAGGGGACUAGGGUUACACAGAGUCGGUUUACAGUGAAGGAGAUCUACAUCCGGAUCGCCAAGCUCGCCUUCCACGCGGAGAGUCCCAUCCGGACAUGGGACGAAGUCGUCUGUCUUGUAUCUUCAUAGUCCAACAGUCCGGCCAAAGCAUAUAGUCCGGCUGUCCGGAUACCCCCUUAUCCAGGACUCCCUCAGUAGCCCCUGAACCAGGCUUCAAUGACGAUGAUUCCAGCGCAUAGAUUGUCUUCGGCGUUGCAAGGCGGGUUCCAUCUCCGAAUACUCCAAUAUAAAUUCCAAACACAUGGACCGUAUCCGGCUCUGCAAGAUAACAUUCCAUAUACCACUGUAGAGAGAAUAAUAAUAAUCCACGAAUCUAAUCUGCUGACAAUUCGAAGAGUGACAUCACGCCAUGGUCCGGUUUUUAUUCGAACCGUUCCUACAACUUGCUACCGCACACACCACGAGGCGAUUUCUUCACCACGUCCUGUCAGAGCAAAGAUCGUGUUGCCCCUUAUUACGGGAUCCUCAUCAAUACGGGUAUGGAUAAUCCAACCAUGCCUGUUGGCAUGACCCCGUGUUUUUAGGCAAGUCCCAAACGACCACGUUCGGGGACGUUUGAUAUUCUUCCCCUUUAUAAAGGGGCCGAGGCCUAUCCCUCUAUCUCCACGCUCGCACAUCUCGCGCCCUGAGUUCCAACACCCAAAGCCCGAGCUUAAGCACUCCGGAUCUCCGAUCAUGUCCGGAUCUGACCAUCAAGGCGGAUGGAUGGCCUCCUCUAUCACAGAGUAGGAUAUUGCGAAGCUCAGGGAGGCUGGGUAUUUGACCGCCGAUGUCAAGCACAGGCUUCCUGGUCCCGAACAGGUUAUCCCCACUCCCGAGACCAAUGAGAGUAUCGUAUUUUUCUCCCACUUUCUCCGGGGCUUCGGUCUCACUCUUGAUCCCUUUGUGAGGGGGCUCAUGCACUACUAUGGGCUAGAUUUCCAUGAUCUAACUCCGGAUUUCAUCCUCCACAUCUCGUCCUUUAUUGUUGUGCGUGAAGCCUUCCUUCACAUUGCCCCCCACUUCGGCUUAUGGCUCAAGACUUUCGAUGUGAAGCCAAAUAUAAUUGAGGAGCGACACGUAGAGUGCGGAGGUGCCACAAUGCAGGAACGCCUAUGCCCCAUGGCCCGAAGGCUCCUUCCCGAAGGUAUCUGAUUUAUGGCAACGAAGGUGGUUCUAUGUCACAGCUCCCCGAGGCUCAUAGUGGGUGGCCACGCCUGCCUUCCGCUCGGGCCCUCCACCCCAACUGGCAUCAUGGCCAAUGUGGGACUAAACUGGGGGCCUGCGGACGAUGUACCAAUGCUUCAUAGCCGCAUUCGGGAGCUCCUCGAGAGGAACAUUAGUCUCAUCAAAUUAAUCCAAGUAAUGCUAGUCUGGCGGAUCCUACCGUGCAAACGCCGGCCUCUGCGGAUGUGGGAAUUCAAUCUAGAAGGUUCGCGGACCAUUCAACACUUCUUCGGUAUGACACCCGAAGGGAUGUACGAGUUGUUCUUUGGACCACGAAUAAAGUGUCCGGACACCACCGAGGACGGGGGCCUGAGCUGCAAUCGCCUUGAUACCAUAAUAAGUAACCCCAUAACCGAACGCCUCGCUUAUAUUUUUCAUAGCAUUGUUCUAAACACUGUCCGCAACCAGGAUUGGCUUAGAAAGACGGAGUGGAUCAGGUGUCCAGCCCCUCUUCCCGAAGGUUCAACUGGCCCAGCAAUGGCCAGGAUUCUCGAACGAACACUUAGUCGGAUGCCACCAGAGAAGGAUGAAGGGGAGAGCGGGGAGGCCAAGAGUAGGCCUCACUCACUGCGCAUCCGAACCAGAGGAAUCAGCGCCUCCACAGAGGAGGAGAACCGGGGGGCGACUCUGAGGUUCCCUCCCCCCGCGGGAAGAAAAGGGCCGCCUCCAUAGAUUUGGAGACGGAGGUGCCUAAACAAGGGAAAAGAAUUUCGCCAAAGGACCCUACUUCGAAGGGCGUCCUCGCCGUACAGCGCCCGCCAACGGGCCAGCCCUCCAUCGAGAUGUAAGUUUAAUUAAGCCAGGAUCUUAUUGCUUCUUCCUCUGAGAGUAAUGACCAGGACCUGUUUUUGUAGUCCGGCUAGCAGUUUGUCUCAACAGGGUCGUCCUCGGGGGAUCUUCUUUCGGAGAUGAUGGAGAGUGAAACCCCACCAGCCUCUCCGCCCCGUGGGGUGGGCGAACCUGAGGUAUCGUCACGGAGGAGUCCGGAUCCAAUGGGGCCGGAACCUAACACUUCGGCCACCCCGAGCCCAGCGUGUUGGGAUCCCAUGGCGGACAAUGAAAAGGAUCUGGGAGAGUCCGGAGUCCGACCGAACGCGCUGACGGGCCUCCUGGAGUCAACUGAUCUCUUGGAGUGUCAUCGUACCCUAAUGGGUAUGGUGUUGGAGAAAACCUCCUCCACCACGAGCGGUUUAAACGAAGCUUUUAAGAGCCUGCUCAAAGGCUUUGAGGUAAGCCGUAAUGUUUAGUUGAACCACACGCGAUACAUGCGCUCUGUAUAGAUAGUAGCCCCUGAGACUGCGGAUGGCAGCCCAUGGUGGCAAACAGAGGAUCACACUCCUAGAUUAUGACCGCACCUGUAUUGAUGUGCAGGUUGCUAAGGGUUCGGCAAUAGACCGGGCCGCUGAAUGCGCCGAAUUGAGGCGGCAGAUUGGCGUUGUGGAGGCCGAUGUUACGCUUGUGAACAAGCGAUUUGAGGAGUCGCAGAGUAUGCUUUCCUAUAUCCACAUCUAUCUUUGCAAUAAGGUUUUAAAUACUAAUGUGGCAUUAUGUAAUUGCAGGCGGAGCUGCUGCCAUUGAGGCCCUAAGGGCGGAGCUUGCUCUAGCCAAGGAACAAGCCCGGAUUAGCAAUGCGGCUGCUCUAAAGGCAGCCGAAGAAUUAAAGGCCGAAUAGGCCACUCGUCUUCGAGGCAAGGAGAAGAUAGCCGAGAUGGUUGUGGAGCUGAGGGACGCCGCCGGCCGGUAUGAGCUUCUCGAAAAGGAGAAUCAAACAAAGGCGGCCGAUCUAAAGAAGGUGAUGGAUUCGGCCAAGGAGAUGCGCUCUCAGAUUAGAGACGCAUGGGAGGAACUUCGACAAACUGGAGAAAUCGCGGCCGAAAGACCAUAUGUCUUGCGGAUGAAGUUUUUGGAUCCAAAGUAUGCUCCAUUGGAUAAGCUAUGGAGCGCUGUAGAGGAGUAUGCGGACUUGGCGAAGAGUACGGCUAAUGCGACCAAGUUAUUCAAGGACCAUGAGGAUAAUAAAAUGGAGAGGCUGUUCUGGUCGCAAUUUGAUGUUCCAGCGCGUUCCUUGCCCUAGAGUGAGAAGAUGGCCGCCAUAGCCGAGCUCCAUAGAUUGUCCGGCCUUGCAAUGAGGUCUGUAAUAGACCAUUUGUGGCCGAAGGAGCCGAAGCUGGACAGUUACUUUGGUCUGGUGCAAUGAGUAUUUGGCGCCAGGGCGCAGAUUGAUGCCAUGAAGAGAUCAUCUUGCAUGGAGGGUGCGCGGUUGGCUCUUGCCCGUGUGAAAACAUACUGGGCGGAUAUGGAGGCCACCCGCAUUGCAACCCGGGGUCCGGCUGGAAGCCAAGACCCAGCCGAGCAUUAUUUUGAGCAGGUUAUAGAAGUUGCUCGUAGAAUAGAGGCCCAGUGCUCCAAGAAUGUUAUGUUUGAGUGAUGAAAUUGUAAACAACUAUGUGUUUAAUUAUGGAGGCUGCUUUUUUGCAUAUGUUUCCUGAAAGUAUUAUAGUGUCUCCUGUGCGGCUAUUUAUAUAUGCAUAUAAUCGUGAAAGUUAGCAGUCGUUGGCUUCAACCCCCACGCGCAUAAUGCGGGGGUGUUCGAGAAAAUAUGCGUGAACACACUUGAUCCAACGUCUUGGUCCAUUAAGGAGGUGAUCGCACGUCGAACCAGGCAACUGGACUAUAUAGCUGUAACACUUUCGCUUAGCCAUAGGAGUUGAAAGAUGGGGCCACUAUAUAGCCCCUGGUACUUCCGCGUGCAUCCGGAUACGGUGCGCCAACUUGACCGGUAGACUGGUCCUUUGUUAAUACGGAGGAAUCCUAUAGAUUCCAAUGAGUCCUCGAGUGGUUGACCAGUCUCUCGCCAUAUCAUGACAGUCAGUUUUCGGCUUUCUCUACUGAGGUGCUCAUCCAGAGUAACCAGGGCACAAUCGCAGUAGUUCUCCUUUGGCCACCUUAGCCGAUAGAACGGAACGUAAGGCAGCAAACCCAGGAGCUGGGCUAACCCAAGUUUUGACCAAAGACAUGAUUCGGAGCUGAUGCAUAUAAGGCCAAACUCAUGACGCCAAACACUCCCGAAGGUAUUCGAAGUUUAUAAAAUAUAUUGGGCUAAACAAUGCCCUUGACCCUGUGAUUCCAGGUACACGCAUUGAUCUGUCAUGGCAAAGAAGCCUAACAUGACAGUGUCCCGUACAGGUGUAUGAAAUACCCAUGGGACGUUGAGCAACAAGAGACAGUAAAAAAGGUUUACGCAGAGGCUUAAUCUAAAGAGUAACCUGUGGGCGGGGCCCAUGCUGCACAUCUACGCCUGUGUCUCUAUUGUGCCAUAUCCUGGAAGGGUGUCGCACUGGUAGUGUCUGUAAGAACGAAAAAGGAAAACGUGCGAAAAGUUAGUUAUGCUCGAGGAAUAUUGGAGAUCCGGCCUGUUAAAGAGGUGAGCCGAAUUGUGGGCAUGCGUUACAUGUUUGCAGCCCCUCGUAUUAUUUAUGGGGACACAUGUACAGCCCCUGGCUCAGGUUUAUUCGAGCUAUUGUGAAAAAAUUGUGUAUUGGACUCGGCUAACCAUGUCCGUGGUCUUGACGACCGGUCAUGCGUUCUGGUGGGAGAGGCCACCUAGAGUCCAGCAGUGGGAACUGCCGCAUACUGUUCUGUGUUUCCGCUAACCGUGAUGGCGCCGCGUGGACCGGGCAUCUUCAGUUUAAGGUAGGCGUAGUUCGGUAUUGCGUUAAAGCAAGCGAAGGCUGGUCUUCCAAGCAAUGCAUGAUAAUCACUGCUGAAGAGAGCGAUGUUGAAGAGUAAGUUCUCGCAUCUGAAGUUGUCGGGAGAACCGAAUGUUACUUCUAACAUGAGGGACUGCCAACAAUGGGCCACGAUGCCUGGAAUUACUCCAUUGAAGGUGGUGUUGUUUUGAUUUAUUCUGGAUGGGUCUAUCCCCAUCCUGCGGAUGGUGUCUUGAUAUAUCAAAUUAAGACUACUGCCGCUGUCCAUUAGGACACGAGUGAGAUGGUAUCCAUCGAUUAUUGGGUCGAGCACCAAGGCAGCCAAUCCUCCAUGCCGGAUACUGGCCGGAUAGUCCCUGUGAUCAAAAAGUGAUCGGGCAAGUUGCCCAGGGUUUAUAUUAGGGGGCUACGAACUCUGAGUGAGUUGCGUGUACCAUGUUUACCGUUUUGACUUCCGGUGGGAAUUGUUUCUGGCCCCUAGUGUUCGGCUGGCGAGGCUCAUCCUCAUCUUCGCUUGGUGUUUCCCUUCCCUAAUGUUUGGCAUUUAACUUGCCGUCCUGCUUGAAGACCCAACAUUCUCUGUGGGUGUGAUUUGCAGGUUUGUUGGAAGUGCCAUGGAUUUGGCACAAUCUGUCCAGGACUUUGUUCAGGCCGGAUGGUUCCUCUUUACUGCCGUUAAAUGGUUUUUUUCCUUGACCGGGCCGAGGGCCCUUGAAUCCGGCGUUGACUGUUGUGUUGUAUAGACUGUCGUUAUUCUGACGUUUGUUCUUGGCAUGCCGUGGCUUCCCGUUGCCAUCUCGGAUUUCGGAUGUGCUGGGGUCGCUGGUGCCUUUACGGGCCAACCAGCUGUCCUCGCCCACGCAAAAUUGGGUCAUGAGGCUUGUUAAGGCUGCCAUCGUUCUCAUCUUUUCUUGACCGAGGUGUCUGGCAAGCCACUCGUCUCAGAUACUGUGUUUGAAGGCCGCUAAGGCUUCAGCGUCCAGGCAGUCGACAAUUUGAUUCUUCUUAGUGAGGAAUCUGUUCCAAAGUUUGUGGCCUGCCUCUCCAGGCUACUGUAUUAUGUGACUUAAAUCGUCCGCAUCUGGAGGCCGGACAUAAGUCCCUUGAAAGUUGGCCCUGAAAGCAUCCUCAAGUUCCUCCCAACUUCCAAUUGAGUUUUCGGGGAGGCUUUUCAGCCAAUGACGAGCUGUUCCUUUUAACUUCAAGGGGAGAUAUUUAAUGGCGUGGAGGUCGUCCCCACGAGCCACGUGUAUGUGAAGGAUAAAAUCUUCAAUCCAGACCUCGGGGUCCGUCUUUCCGUCGUAUGACUCUAUAUUCACGGGUUUGAAUCCCUGUGGAAAUUCAUGAUCCAGCACCUCAUCCGUGAAUCACAAGGGGUCUGCAGCCCCUUUGUAUCUGGCUGUGUCGCGGCUGCUGCUAGCCGUUAUUGCUCCCGGUGUUGAUUUCGGACUGAUAUUCCAUCGGUAUGAUUGCCGUGGUGACCAUACUCCCGCACCGGAGCCUGUCCUCUGUACCCAUAGAUGGACCUGGCCGCACUGGCCUUUUUAUCCAGGAGCUCUCAUAAAUCAGGUGCGGUAUCAGUGGUUGCUCUAUCGCAGCCAUGAGGUGGUUGGUCCGGCUGAGUAGCUAUAUUGUUUUUGGGCCAGACGGGUGCUGCGGCUUCAUUGUCGAAUUCGGGUAGUAGUUUGCGCUUUGGGUAGCUCUUUGUGUGGUGAUUAUCGCCAUGUUUUCCUUCGGUGUCCAGCUCCUUAUUCCAUCAUCGGUUGAGCGUAUCCUGCGCGGCCUUGAGUUUUUGGUUCUGCUUCUUCAGGCUCCGCGCUGUUGCCAGGAGUUUUCUACGGAGUUUGUCUUGCUUGGAAUGUUCUUCUGGGAUGGUGAACGCAUCGUCAACCGGACUGUUAUCUUCUUUGGAGGUAGCAUGAUGAGUUCGGCCCUCUAAAUCGGGCGUCUGCUCCGGGCUGUGUUCGGCCUGACCUGGUUCAUCCUGCUCCAUCGCUGGAUCCCUAUGGUCAUUGUUGCCUUCGAAAUCGACCGGAGUGUCAUCCUGUUUUGGAUUGUCAUCGCUAUUUUUGCUGUGACUGGACCUAAGGCAGUGCUUACGCCGUCGUUUUUGCUUUUGCCCGAGGGGUUUAUCCUCUGUUGUGUCCUUUUUGUCUAUGUUGUCUUCUUUGGGGGUGUCCACCAUGUAGACGUCGUAUGAUGAAGUGGCAGUCCAGCGCUGCAUGGGCGGUCGUUCCGGAUCUUCCCCUGCAUCAACGUCCAUACCGUCGAUGAUGUUGGGGGCGAUGUCAAGCAUGUCUGUUAGGUCAUCGAUAGUGGCUAUUAAGUGGGUGGCGGGUGGGUCACGAUUUCCUUCGUCCUCCGUAUCCCACACGGGCCGGACAUAGUUCGGCCAGGAGUCUUCUGACAGGGAGAGAGACUUUAAUGAAUCCAACACGUCUCUAAAGGGUGAGUGCUGGAAAAUAUCCGCGGCGGCAAACUCCAUGACUGGAGCCCAGUCAGAUUCGUUGUGUAUGAGUGCACGCGGUCCGGAACACACGGCCGGAGGUGAGUCGGGGGGUCCGAAGACACAAAUCCCUUUAGGAGAGGAGUCUGUGUUCGGCCCCAACACCGAGGAGUGUGCGGCCUCCGGGGCAGGGUACAUCCACCCGUCCCUGGAAGGCAUGACCCGCUCUGGAACAAAGUCCGGAGCGGUAGCAGGUGCGAUGUUCUGAAUACUGUCCGACUGCCAAUCUAGGUCGUGCGCAUCGUGAUUGUUCGGCGCUCCUGAUACAGGCCUGAAUCCGUCGAAGAUCAAGUCUCCGUGGAUAUCGGCGGUGUAGUUUAGGUUUCCAAACCUGACCUGAUGUCCGGGGGCGUAGUUAUCGAUCUGCUCCAAAUGGCCAAGCGAAUUGGCCUGCAGUGCGAAGCCACCGAACACGAAGAUCUGUCCAGGGAAAAAUGUCUCGCCCAGGACAGCAUGGUUGAAGGUUGGAGAAGCCAUCUAACCUUGUAGCGACGGCACAGAGGAACUCUCAACGAAAGCACCAAUGUCGAUGUCAAAACCGGCGGAUAUUGGGUAGGGGGUCCCGAACUGUGCGUCUAAGGCUAAUGGUAACAGGAGACUUGGGACACGAUGUUUACCCAGGUUCGGGCCCUCUCGAUGGAGGUAAUACCCUACUUCCUGCUUGAUUGAUCUUGAUGAUAUGAGUAUUACAAGAGUUAAUCUACCACGAGAUCAGAGAGGCUAAACCCUAGAAGCUAGCCUAUGGUAUGAUUGAUGAUGAUGAUCGUGAGUCCUACGGACUAAACCCUCCGGUUUAUAUAGACACCAGAGGGGGAUAGGGUUACACAGAGUCGGUUUAUAGAGAAGGAGAUCUACAUCCGGAUCGGCAAACUUGCCUUCCACACCAAGGAGAGUCCCAUCCGGACACGGGACAAAGUCUUCUGUCUUGUAUCUUCAUAGUCAAACAGUCCGGCCAAAGCAUAUAGUCCGGUUGUCCGGAUACCCCCUUAUCCAGGACUAUUUUACAAAAAAAAAUCUUAGUCCCGUGUUCGGAUGGGACUCUCCUUUGAUAAGGGGGUAUCCGGACAGCCGGACUAUAUACUUUGGCCGGACUGUUGGACUAUGAAGAUACAAGAUUGAAGACUUCGUCCCGUGUUCGGAUGGGACUCUCCUUUGAGUGGAAGGCAAGCUUGGCGAUCUGGAUAAUAGAUUUCCUUCUCUGUAACUGACUCUAUUUAACCCUAGCCCCCUCCGUUGUCUAUAUAAACCGGAGGGUUUAGUCCGUAGGACAACAACAAUCAUACCAUAGGCUAGCUUCUAGGGUUUAGCCUCUACGAUCUUGUGGUAGAUUAACUCUUGUAAUACUCAUAUCAUCAAGAUCAAUCAAGUAGGAAUUAGGGUAUUACCUCCAUUGAGAGAGCCCGAACAUGGGUAAACAUCGUGUCCCCAGCCUCCUGUUACCAUUAGCCUUAGACGCACAGUUCGGGACCCCCUACCUGAGAUCCGCCGGUUUUGACACCGACAUUCAUGCUUUCAAUGAGAGUUCCUCUGUGUCGUUGCUGUAAGGAUCGAUGGCUUCUCCAACCUUCAACAAUGUUGUCCGGGGUGAGGCCUUCCUCCCCGGACAGAUCUUCGUGUUCGGCGGCUUCGCACUACGGGCCAACUCGCUUGGCCAUCUGGAGCAGAUCGAGAGCUACGCCCCUGGCCAUCAGGACAGGUUUGGGAACCUAAACUGCAUUGCCGACAUCCGCGGAGACUUGAUCUUCGACGGACUCAAGCCCACGUCAGGAGCACCGAAUGAUCGCGAUGUGCAUGACUUAGAUCUGCCGUUGGACAAUAUUCGGGAUAUCGCGCCUGCUACCGCUCUGGAUUUUGAUCCAGAGCAGAUCAUGCCAUCCGAGGACGGGGGGAUGGACCCCUCCACGGAGGUCACACACUCAUCAACGUUAGAGACGAACAUAGAUUCCACUCCUAAGGAAAUCUGUGUCGCGGCACCCCUGGACUUGUCUCCGGCCGCAGGUUCCGGACCGCGCGCAUCCGUGCCCGUCGCAACCGAUCAGGCACCAAUCAUGGAAUUCACCACCGCGGAUAUCUUUCAGCACUCCCCCUUUGGCGAUGUGCUAAAUUCGUUAAAGUCUCUCUCUUUAUCAGGAGACUCUUGGCCGAACUAUGCCUGGCCCGUGUGGGGCUCGGAUGACGAAGAAAAUCGCAACCCACCCACCACCCACUUUAUAGCCACUGUCGAUGACCUAACAGACAUGCUGGGAUUCGACUCCGACAACAUCGAUGGUAUGGAUGUCGAUGUAGGGGAUGAUCUGGAACCACCGCCCACGGGGCGCUGGACUGCCACUUCAUCAUAUGACGUCUACAUGGUAGAUACACCUAAAGAAGACAAUGGUGAAAAAAAGGACACAACGGAGGACAAACCCCCCGGACAAAAAUCAAAACGACGACGCAAGCGCCGCUCUAAGUCCAGUCACAGUAAAAAUAGCGAUAAUAAUGCGAAAAAGGAUGACACUCCGGUUGACUCCAAAGGCAACAACGACCAUAGGGACCCAACGAUGGAGCAGGAUAAGCCAGGUCGUGCCGAACACAGCCCGGAGUAGACGCCCAACCACGGCGAUCCCGAGGGCCAAAAUCAGCAAACUGCCUUCGGAGAGGAGGACUGUCCGGUUGACGAUGCAUUCAUCAUCCCGGAAAGAUGUUCGGAACAAGAUGACCUCUAAAGAAGAAGAAACAGAGGCUUAACGCCGUGAAGGAUAUGCUCAACCAAAGAUGGAAGAAAGUGCUAGACACUGAAGAAAUAUAUGGCGACGAUCGCCACACAAAGAGCUACCCAAAGCACAAGCUGCUGCCAGAAUUCGAUGAUGAGGCUGCAGAGCCCAUUCUGCCAAAGAACAAUACGGCCAAUCGGCCGGACCAACCACUUAAUGGACGCAAUAGAGCAGCCACUGACGCCGCACACGAUUUACGUGAGCUCCUAGACAAAAAGGUUGGUGCGACCAGGUCCGUCUAUGGAUCCAGAGGGCGCGCUCCGGCACAGGAUUAUGGUCACUAAAAUGAUCAUACUGAUCAAAUACCAGUUCGGAAUCAAAACCGGAUACAACAACCGUCGACAACAUGCCACGACAUGUCUAGGUAUAGAGGGGCCGCGCACCCCCUGUGUUUCACUGAUGAGGUGCUGGACCACGAAUUUCCACAGGGGUUCAAACCCGUGAACAUAGAGGCAUACGACGGAACAACAGAACCUGGGGUCUGGAUUGAGGAUUUUAUCCUUCACAUACACAUGGCCCGUGGGGACGACCUCCACGCCAUCAAAUACCUUCCCCAAAUCGUCAACUGUCCGGAUGCCGAAGCCCUAGCGGCCUUUAAACACAGUAUCCGGGACGAGUGGCUGGCCAGGCACCUCGGCAAAGAAAAGCCAAGGACGAUGGCGGCCUUAACAAGCCUUAUGACCCGCUUUUGUGCGGGCGAGGACAGCCAGUUGGCCCGUAGAAGCACCAGCGACCCGGGCACAUCCGAUAUUCGAGAUGGCAAUGGGAAGCCACGACGCAACAAGAAUAAGAUUUGGAGCAAUGAAGAUAGUUCGGACAACACGGAGGUCAACGCCGGAUUCAGGGGCUCGCGACCCGGUCAAAGAAAGAAUCCAUUUAAAGGCAGCAAAGAAGGACCGUCCGGCCUAAAUAAAGUCCUGGACAGACUAUGCCAAAUCCAUGGCACCCCGGAAAAACCUGCAAAUCAUACUCACAGAGAGUGUUGGGUCUUCAACCAGGCCGGCAAGUUAAACCCCGAACACAAGGGAAGGGAAACAACAAGCGAAGACAAGGAUGAGCCUUGCCAGCCGAACACUGGGGAACAGAAAAAAUUCCCACCAGAAGUUAAAACAGUAAACAUGGUCCACGCAACCCACAUGGAGUUUGUUGCCCCCAAAAUUCAACCCCUGGGCGUCCUGCCCGAUCACUUUUGAUCACAGGGACCACCCGGCCAGUAUCUGGCAUGGAACAUCAGCUGCCUUGGUGCUCGACCCAAUAAUUGAUGGAUACCAUCUCACUCGAGUCCUAAUGGACGGCGGUAGUAGUCUUAAUCUGAUAUAUCAGGACACCAUCCGCAAGAUGGGGAUAGACCCAUCCAGAAUAAGCUAGAGUAACACCACCUUUAACAGAGUAAUACCAUGCGUUGAGGCCGGCUACCGGGGCUCCCUCGUAUUAGAAGUAACAUUUGGUUCUCCCGACAACUUCAGAAGCGAGGAAUUACUCUUCGAUAUUGCUCCCUUCAACAACAGUUAUCAUGCAUUAAUAAGAAGAACAUCCUUCGCUUGAUUUAAAGCAAUACCGAACUACGCCUGGCUUAAACAUAAGAUGCCCGGUCCACGUGGCAUCAUAACAGUUAGUGGAAACACAGAGCAGUAUGCGGCAGCUCCUGUAGCCGGACACUAAGCGGCCUCUCCCACUAAAACACAUGAUCGGUCGUUAAGACCAUGGACACGGCUAGACGAGUCCGGUGCACCACUAUCAAAAACAACCCGGAUAAACCCUGGCUGGGUGCUAUACAUACAUCCCCAUAAGUGGUACUAGGGGCUGUCAACACAUAAUAAAGCCCACAAUUCGGCUUGCCUUAUCAAUAGGCCAAUAUCUCAUAUUUCUAAUAUCCAUUGAGAAUAACCAACUUCCCGCACGCUUACUCCUCUAUAUGAGUUUUCGUUUUUACAAACACUACUCAUGCGACACCCUUCCGGGAUACGGCACAAUGAAGACAAAGGCGCAGACGUGCAGCAGGGCCCCGCUCAAAGGUUUCUCUUUAGAUUAAGCCCCUGUGUAAACUUUCUUUACUGUCUUUUGUUGCUUGACAUCCCAUGGGUAUUCCAUAUACCCACAAGGGACACUGGCGUUAUAGGCUUUUCGCCACGACAGAUCAACACACGUACCUGGAAAUACAGGGUCAAGGGCGGUACUCAGCCCAGUAUUUGUUAUAAAGUCCGAAUACCUUUGGGAGUGUUUGGCGUCGCGAGUUUGGCCUUAUAUGCAUCAGCUCUGAAUCAUGUCUUUGGUCAAAUGUUGGGUUAGCCCGGCUCCUGGGUUUGCUGCCUUACGUUCCGUUCUAUCGUCUAAGGCGUCCAAAGGAGAACUACUGCAAUUAUGCCCUGGUUAUUUCGGAUGAGCACCUCAGUAGAGAAAGCCGAAAACUGACUGUCAUGAUAUGGCGAGAGACUGGUCAACCACUCGAGGACUCAUUGGAAUCUAUAGGAUUCCUCAGUAUUAACGAAGGACCGGUCUACUGGUCAAGUUGGCGCACCAUAUCCGGAUGCACGCGGAAGUACCAGGGGCUAUAUAGUAGCCCCAUCUUUCAACUCCUAUGGCUAAGUGAAAGUGUUACAGCUAUAUAGUCCGGUUGCCUGGUUCGACGUGCGAUCACCUCCUUAAUGGACCCAGACGUUGGAUCAAGUGUGUUCACGCAUAUUUUCUCGAACACCUCCGCAUUAUGCGCGUGGGGGCUGAAGCCAACGACUGCUAACUUUCACGAUUAUAUGCAUAUAUAAAUAGCCGCACAGGAGACACUAUAAUACUUUCAGGCAAACAUAUGCAAAAAAGCAGCCUCCAUAAUUAAACACAUAGUUGUUUACAAUUUCAUCACUCAAACAUAACAUUCUUGGAGCACUGGGCCUCUAUUCUACGAGCAACUUCUAUAACCUGCUCAAAAUAAUGCUCGGUUGGGUCUUGGCUUCCUGUCGGACCCUGGGUUGCAAUGCUGGUGGCCUCCAUAUCCGCCCAAUAUGUCUUAACAUGGUCAAGAGCCAUUCGCGCACCCUCCAUGCACGCAGACCUCUUCAUGGCAUCGAUGCGUGAUCUGGCGCUAAAUAGUUGCUGCACUAAACCAAAGUAACUGUCCGGCCUCGUUCCUUUCGGCCACAGAUGGUCUAUUACAGACCUCAUUGCAAGACCGGAUAACCUAUGGAGCUCGGCUAUAGCGGCCAUCUUCUCACUUAACGGCAAUGAGUGCGUUGGAGCACUAAAUUGCGACCAGAAUAGCCUUUCUAUUUCAUUAUCUUUAUGAUCCUUGAAUAACUUGGUCGCAUCAGCCAUACUCUUCGCCAAGUUCGCAUACUCAUCUGCGGCGCUCCAAAGUUGAUCCAAACGAGCAUACUUUGUAUCUAAGAACUUCAUCCUCAACAAAUAGGGGUUUCCAGCCGCGAUUUCUCCGACUUUUCGAAGUUCCUCCCGCGCGUCUCUAUUGUCAGAGCAUAUCUCCUUAGCCGAAUCCAGCGCCUUCUUUAGGUCAGCCGCCUUUGCCUGAUUCUCCUUCUCGAGAAGCUCAUACCGGCCGGCGGCGUCCCUAAGCUCCAAAGCCAUCUCGGCUAUCUUUUCUUCGCUUCGGAGAUGAGCAUCCUUUUCGGCUCUCAAGUCCUUGGCUGCCUUUAGGGCAGCCGCAUUGCUAACCCGGGCUCGUUCCUUGGCUAGGGCAAGUUCCGCCCUCAAGGCCUCAAUGGCAGCAGCUCCACCUGCAGCCACAUCACAUCAUAUUAAUAUUACAACCUCUUACAAUUUCCUAAACAAAUAAGGAAAUAUGAGUGCAUACUCUGCGACCCAUCGAAUCACUUGUUUGCAAGCGUGACGUCGGCAUCCACCACGUCAAUAUGUCGCCUCAAUUCGGCGAAUUUGGCAGUCUGGUCUACCGCCGGGCCCUUAGCAACCUGCACAUAAAUACAGUGCGACCAUUACCUAGGAGUGUGAUCCUCCGUUUGCUGCCAUGGGCUGGCAAUCACAGUCUCAGGGGCUACUAUCUAUAUAGGGGACAUCUAUUACGUGCGGUGCAACCAAAAAUUACGUAUUUCGUUGCUUGCCUCAAAGCCUUUGAGCAAGCUUCUAAAAGGUCAUUUAACUCGCUUGUGGCGGAGGAAAUUUUCUCCAACACCAUACUAAUUAGUGUACGGUGAUCCUCCGAGAGAGCAGCAUGCUUCAGGAGGCCCGUCAGUAUGUUCGGCCGGGCACCGGACUCUCCCGGACCCUUCUCAUUGCCCUCCACAGGAGUCAAACGCGCUGGGCUUGGGACGGCCGAAGUGUUAGCUUCUGGCCUCAGUAGAUCCGAACUCCUCCGUGACGACACCUCAGGGUCGCCUGCCCCAUGGGGCGGAGAGACAGGUGGGGUUUCACUCUCCAUCAUCUCCGGAAGAAGAUCCCCCAAGGACAAACCCUGUUGAGACGAACUGCUAGCCGGGCUGCAAAAAAUAGGUCCUGGUCAUUACUCUUAGAGGAAAAAGCAAUAAGCUUCUUGUUUAUUAACUUACAGCUUGGUGGAGGGCUGGCCCAUUAGAGGGCACGGUGCGGUAGGAACGCCCUUCUGGGCAAGGCCCUUUGGUGAAGUAUUCUUCCCUUGUUUAGGCGCCUCCGUUUCCAAGUCUUUGGAGGCAGCCCUCUUUUUCCCGCGGGGGGAGGAAACCUUAGAUUCACCUCCCCGAUUGUCCUCCUCCAUGGAAACGUUAAUUCCCCCUGUUCAGAUGCACAAUGUGUGAAGCACACUCUUGGCUUCUCUGCUCCUCCCUUCAUCUUUCUCCGUUGGCACAUGGUUUAGCGCCCGUUUAAGCAUCUUGGCUAUUGCCGGACCGGGCGAGCCUUCGGGAAGCGGGGCCGGACACCUGAUUCUCUCUGCCUUACUGAGCCAAUCCUGGUCGCAGACAGUUUUUCAGAACAAUGUUAUGAUUAAUAUAAACGAAGUGUUCGGUCACAGGUUUACUUACUUGGGUAUCUGGGCGGUUGUAGCUCAGGCCCGCAUCCUCGGCGGUGUCCGGACACUUUAUUCGUGGUCUGAAGAACAACUUAUACAUUCCUUCAAGCGUCAUGCCGAAGAAGUGUUGAAUAGUUCAGGGACUUCUGGAUUGAACUCGAACAUCCGGAGAGGUCGACGUUUGCACGGCAGGGCCUGCCGAACUAGCAUUACCUGGAUUAUUUUUACAAGACUAAUAUCCCUCUCAAGAAGCUCCCGAAUGCGGCUCUGCAAUGUUGUUACAUCGGUUGCAGACCCCAGUCCAGUCCCACGUUGUCCCACAAUGCCAGUUGAGGCGGAGGGCCCGAGCGAAAGGUAGGGGCGGCCGCCCACUUCCUGCCUCGGGGAGCUGUGAUGUAAAACCACCUCCGUUGCCAUAGAUCGGACACCUCCGGGAAAGAACCUUCUGUCCAUGGAACAUCGGCGUUUCUUCUUAUUGCAGCGCCCCCGCACUCCACGUGUCGCCCCGCAAUCCCCUUCGGCUUCACAUUGAAGGUUUUGAGCCAUAGCCGAAGUGGGGGUGAUGUGGAGAAAGGCUUUGCACACGAUGAUAAACGACGAGAUGUGGAGGAUGGAAUCUGGAGCUAGGUCGUGAAAAUCUAUCCCGUAAUAGAACAUGAGCCCCCUCACGAAGGGAUCAAGAGUAAAGCCCAAGCCUUGGAGGAAGUAAGAGACAAAUACGACGCUCUCAUCCGGUUCGGGAGUAGGGAUGACCUGCCCUGCGACAGCAAGCCUGUGCUUGACAUUGACGGUCAGAUACCCGGCCCCCUAAGCUUCGCAAUGUCCUCCUCUAUGACAGAGGAGGCCAUCCACUGGCCUUGAAGGUCGGAUCCGGACAUGAUUGAACAUCCGAGGUGCUUAAGCUUGGGCUCUCGGUGUUGGAACUCGAAGUGCGGGAAGCCACAAGCAUGGAGAUAGAGUGAUAGGCCUCGACCCCUCUAUAAAGGGGGAGAAUAUCAAGCGUCCCCAGCGUAACCAUUCGGGACUUGCCUAAAAACACGGAGUCAUACGAACAGGCGUGGUUGGAUUACCCAUACCCAUAUUGAUGAGGAUCCCACGAUAAGAGGGACACGAUCUCUGCUUCGACAAGACAUGCCAAAGGAACCGCCUCGUAAUGUGUGCGGUAGCUGGUAAUAAAAAAUGGUUUUAAUAAAAACCGGAUUGUGGCAUGAUGUCAUGUUUCGAAGAGUUGGCAGCGGAUUAGAUUUGUGAUUCUCUCUACGGUGGUAUGUGAAAUUUAUCUUGCGGAGACCGGACACGAUUUAAGUGUUCGAGGAUUACUUUUGAGUAUUCGGAGAUGGAACCCGCCUUGCAAUGCCGAAGACAAUCUGCAAGCCGGACUCAUCGUCAGUGAAGCCUGGUUCAGGGGCUACUGAGGGAGUCCUGGAUAAGGGGGUAUCCGGACAGCCAGACUAUAUACUUCGGCCGGACUAUUUGACUAUGAAGAUACAUGAUUGAUGACUUCAUCCCGUGUCCGGAUGGGACUCUCCUUUGCGUGGAAGGAAAGCUUGGCGAUCCGGAUAAUAGAUCUCCUUCUCUGUAACCGACUCUGUGUAACCCUAGCCCCCUCUGGUGUCUAUAUAAACUGGAGGGUUUAGUCUAUAGGACAACAACAAUCAUACCAUAGGCUAGCUUCUAGCGUUUAGCCUCUACGAUCUCGUGGUAGAUCAACUCUUGUAAUACUCAUAUCAUCAAGAUCAAUCAAGCAGGAUGUAGGGUAUUACCUCCAUCGAGAGGGCCCGAACCUGGGUAAACAUCGUGUCCCCAGCCUCCUAUUACCAUUAGCCUUAGACGCACAGUUCGGUACCCCCUACCCGAGAUCCGCCGGUUUUGACACCGACAACUACACCUGCUUAGGCCAAAAAAUAAAUAAAAAAAAGCAAUGAAAAUAAAUGACUUAACUAUUGAUUAUAUACAGUAACCUGAAAUAAGAAAAUGAGAAUGAAAUAAAAACAUUUGUGCUACCCAGAAUUGUUUGGUAAACAAAAAAGCUAAACAAUGAAAAGGAAAAAAGAGAUGCUAAUUAGCUCAAAUAAAUAUAAAAACUAAUUAUAUGAUACGGAAAUUCAGAUUCCCUAAUGAUUCUAAAAAAAGGUGGCGGUUGAACAUUUGUGCUCCUGAAGUAAUAAUGCGCCGACUGUGUUCCAUGCACCAUAAAAUCAGUGCAAAAACUUGUUCAUGUGUUCGACGCACAUAAAAUUAGUCAGUGCAUGAAACUUGCACAAGAAGUGCAUUCAUAUUGUACAACCAUAACAUGUUACAUGCUAUAAACUUUGGUAUGGCUAAUUACAUCGAUGCUGGAAAAAAGAACAUUCAGACAAACUUGUUUUCUUAUUACUAAAAAAAUGACCAUCAAUCAUUCUUUAAAAGUUUAGCGGAGAUUUCCAUCACAACACACAAUACUUCAGCUUGAUCACAUAUCAGAACCAACUCUGGGUAGAACAGGCCAGCAAUCGGCAGGUCUACUGUGAUCCAAAGCUGGUACAUAAGCCCGUUUCAAAAAAAAAACAAAGCUGGUACAUAAUGGGUACUAGUACAAUUGUCCCAAGAUAACACCAAAAAAACAUUAUACUACCCAUGCUAGGAAAAGCUAGGAAAUAAAUGGACUAUGCAUAAGCAAAGUAUAAUAACUUCAGUUUGCAAAAACUGAUGAACAUGAUCAUGCGCUUAAAAAUGUCUACUGCACGCAAAACUGGCACCAGAAAACACAAACAGGCUGCGGAAUAUUAGCAUCAAAACUCAUCCUACUCGUUGACAGAACAAUGAGUACCAACAUCAGAUGACAAAAACAAAAGAACAUCACAGUAUACUACCAACGAAACAACUGCCUAACAAAAAGAGAAUAAGAAGUACACUUAUAUCUUUUGGAGUAGUUUGUCAUUUGCUCUAGUGCUUCACUUAUAUCUUUUUAGAGCAAGGCGGUGGUUUUAUUUUGAAGAAAUUGUUGAAAUAUCAUGAUUCACUUAUAUUAUUUUGAGAGUCUUAAACAACAUGUUAAUUUGCUUAGGUUAUGAAUUUGUCCUAAUAUGAUGGGCAUCCAAGAGGGAUAUAAUAAAAAAAAUCAUAUAAAGUGCAUUGAAUACUAUGAGAAGUUUGAUUCUUUAUGAUUGUUUUGCGAUAUGAAGAUGGUGAUAUUAGAGUCAUGCUAGUGGAGUAGUUGUGAAUUUGAGAGAUACUUGUGUUAAAAGUUUGUUAUUCUCGUAGCAUCCACGUAUGGUGAACCGUUAUGUGAUGAAGUCGGAGCAUGAUUUAUUUAUUGAUUGUCUUCCUUAUGAGUGGCGGUCUGGGAUGAGCGAUGGUCUUUUCCUACUAACAUAACCCCCUAGGAGCAUGCGUGUAGUACUUCGUUUCGAUAACUAAUAGAUUUUUGCAAUAAGUAUGUGAGUUAUGUAUGACUAAUGUUGAGUCCAUGGAUUAUACGCACUCUCACCUUUCCACCAUUGCUAGCCUCUCUAGUACCGCGCAACUUUCGCCGGUACCAUAAACCUACCAUAUACCUUCCUCAAAACAGCCACCAUACCUACCUAUUAUGGCAUUUCCAUAGCCAUUCCGAGAUAUAUUGCCAUGCAACUUUCCACCAUUCUGUUUAUUAUGACAUGCUCCAUCAUUGUCAUAUUGCCUUGCAUGAUCAUGUAGUUGACAUUGUAUUUGCGGCAAAACCACCGUUCAUAAUUUUUCAUACAUGUCAUUCUUGAAUCAUUGCAUAUCCCGGUACACCGUCGGAGGCAUUCACAUAGAGUCAUAUCGUGUUCUAAGUAUCGAGUUGUAAUUCUUGAGUUGCAAGUAAAUAAAAGUGUGAUGAUCUUCAUUAUUAGAGCAUUGUCCCAGUGAGGAAAGGAUGAUGGAGACUAUGACGCCCCCACAAGUCAGGAUGAGACUCUGGACUAAAAAAAAGAGGCCAUAAAAAGAAAAAAAAGAGAAAAGGCCCAAAUAAAACAAUGAUAGAAAAUGAGAGAAAGGGCAAUGCUACUAUCCUUUUACCACACUUUUACUUCAAAGUAGCACCAUGAUCUUCAUGAUACAACGUCUCCUAUGUUGUCACUUUCAUAUACUAGUGGGAAUUUUCAUUAUAGAACUUGGCUUGUAUAUUCCAAUGAUGGGCUUCCUCAAAAGUGAGCAGGCAAUUUGGAUGCACACCCACUUAGUCUUCUUGUUGAGUUUUCACACACUUAUAGCUCUAGUGCAUCCGUUGCAUGGCAAUCUCUACUCACUCACAUUGAUAUCUAUUGAUGGACAUCUCCAUAGCCCGUUGAUACAACUAGUUGAUGUGAGACUAUCUUCUCCUUGUUGUCUUCUCCACAACCACUAUUCUAUUCCACAUAUAGUGCUAUGUCCAUGGCUCACGCUCAUGUAUUGCGUGAAGAUUGAAAAAGUUUGAGAACAUCAAAAGUAUGAAACAAUUGCUUGGCUUGUCAUCGGGGUUAUGCAUGAUUAAAUACUUUGUGUGAUGAGGAUAGAGCAUAACCAGACUAUAUGAUUUUGUAGGGAUAACUUUUUUUAGCCAUGUUAUUUUGAGAAGACAUGAUUGCUUUGUUAGUAUGCUUGAAGUAUUAUUAUUUUAUGUCAGUAUUAAACUUUUGUUUUGAAUCUUAUGGAUCUAAAUAUUCUUGCCACAAUAGAGAAGAUUACAUUGAUAAAUAUGUUAGGUAGCAUUCCACAUCAAAAAUUCUGUUUUUACCAUUUACCUACUCGAGGGCGAGCAGGAAUUAAGCUUGGGGAUGCUUGAUACGUCUCAAACGUAUCUAUAAUUUUGAUGUAUUCAUGCCAUGUUUAUAAUAUAUUUACAUGCUUUUGGUAUGAUUUUGUUAGAACUAACUCGAAUUAAUCUUAGUUUUCAGCAGAACUACCGUGGUGUUGUUUUUGUGCAGAAAUAAAAGUUCUCGGAGUGCGCUAAAAAUCAACGGAGACUUUUUUUGGAAAAUAUAAAAAAUACUCGAACUAAGAGUUACAAGAGAGGAGGCUCGUGGGGCCCAUGAGGGUGGAGGGCGCGCCCAACCCCUGGGGCAUGCCCCCUGCCUCAUGGACACCCCGUGGGUCCCCCUGACUUGUUCUCGACGCCAAACCAUCCUAUAAAUACCCAAACCUCCAGAAAUAAACCUAGAUUGGGAGUUCCGCCGCCGUAAGACUCUCUAGCCACCAAAAACCUCUCGGGGUCCCAUUCCGGCAACCUGCCGGAGGGAGAAUCCAUCACCGGUGGCCAUCUUCAUCAUCCCGGCGCUUCCCAUGACGAGGAGGGAGUAGUUAACCCUCGGGGCUCAGGGUAUGUACCAAUAGCUAUGUGUUUGAUCUCUCUCUUUCUCUCUCUCUCUCUCUCUCUCUCUCUCUCUCGUGUUCUUGAUUUGGCAUGAUCUUGAUGUACCGCGAGCUUUGCUAUUGUAGUUGGAUCUUAUGAUGUUUCUCCCCCUCUAUUUCCUGUAAUGGAUUCAGUUUUCCUUUUGAAGUUAUCUUAUCGGAUUGAGUCUUUAAGGAUUUGAGAACACUUUAUGUAUGUCUAGCAUGGGAUACCCGUGGUGACAAUGGGGUAUUCUAUUGAUUCACUUGAUGUAUGUUUUGGUGAUCAACUUGCGGGUUCCAUAACCUUGGGAAUCUAUGCAUAGGGGUUGGCACAUGUUUUCGUAUUGACUCUCUGGUAGAAACUUUGGGGCACUCUUUGAAGUACUUUGUGUUGGUUUGAAUACAUGAAUCUGAGAUUGUGUGAUGCAUAUCCUAUAAUCAUACCCACGGAUACUUGAGGUGACAUUGAAGUAUCUAGGUGACAUUAGGGUUUUGGUUGAUGUGUGUCUUAAGGUGUUAUCUUACUACGAACUAUAGGGCUGUUUGUGACACUUAUAGGAAUAGCCCAAUGGAUUGAUCGAAAAAAUUACUAGAAUCAGGGAAUUUGCCGUCUGCCAUCUCUUUGCCCUAACCUAGCGGACGGCAAAGAACCAUCAGCUACCAAGAAGCAGACGGCAAACAAAUGGUAGACGACAAACAAGGUCUUUGCCAUCGGCCAUUUCUUUGUCGUCCGCUGGCUGACGGCAAAGAGGGAGGUGGCACCCACUAACGAAAAAACUUAACAUCCCCCCUCUUUGCCGUCUGCAGCAGACGGCAAAGAUAAACAAAAGCGGAUGGCAAAGAAGGGGAGGACGGCAAAGGCUAACCUAACUAACGGCUGAGCCCCCNNNNNNNNNNNNNNNNNNNNNNNNNNNNNNNNNNNNNNNNNNNNNNNNNNNNNNNNNNNNNNNNNNNNNNNNNNNNNNNNNNNNNNNNNNNNNNNNNNNNNNNNNNNNNNNNNNNNNNNNNNNNNNNNNNNNNNNNNNNNNNNNNNNNNNNNNNNNNNNNNNNNNNNNNNNNNNNNNNNNNNNNNNNNNNNNNNNNNNNNNNNNNNNNNNNNNNNNNNNNNNNNNNNNNNNNNNNNNNNNNNNNNNNNNNNNNNNNNNNNNNNNNNNNNNNNNNNNNNNNNNNNNNNNNNNNNNNNNNNNNNNNNNNNNNNNNNNNNNNNNNNNNNNNNNNNNNNNNNNNNNNNNNNNNNNNNNNNNNNNNNNNNNNNNNNNNNNNNNNNNNNNNNNNNNNNNNNNNNNNNNNNNNNNNNNNNNNNNNNNNNNNNNNNNNNNNNNNNNNNNNNNNNNNNNNNNNNNNNNNNNNNNNNNNNNNNNNNNNNNNNNNNNNNNNNNNNNNNNNNNNNNNNNNNNNNNNNNNNNNNNNNNNNNNNNNNNNNNNNNNNNNGAAGAAAAGAAGUAGAAGAAGAAGAAAAGAAGAAAAGAAAAGAAGUGAUAUACAUAUUUUUUUCUUUUUUUUGUUGUUUAAUUGCUGUUUAAUUGUUAGUGUUAGUGUUAGUGUUAGAAAAGAAGAAGAUUUAGUGUUAGUGUUAGAAAAAAGAAUAUGUAGAAGAAAAGAAGAAGAAGAAGAAAAGAAGUAGAAGAAGAAGAAGAAGAAAAGAAGAAAAGAAAAGAAGUAAAAGAAGUAGAAAAAAGAUGAAAAAGAAGAAGAAGAAAAGAAGAAGAAGUAGUAGUAGAAGAAGAAAAGAAGAAAAGAAAAGAAGUGAUAUACAUAUUAUUAUUCAUGUCGGUAUUUUUUUAUGUUGUACUAAUUUCGUUUACUCUUUGUCAUGGCAGGUGUUGAAAGAUGGUGGGCGCUGGUCGGGAGCGCUCCGAGGACCCUUCUUCGUCGGCGCAUGGUGCAAGGUCUUCCAUUCCACACGCACUUCUCUGUCGAGCGUUGCUGGACAGUAUGGCGACACUGCUGGGUCCUUCUUUGUCGACCGCGGUGCCGAGCAGGGGACGAGGUAAGAAGAAGAGAGGAGAUGGAGCACGUGGUCGCGGGAGAGGAGGUAGGGUGACUGCGAGGGUGCCUUCCUCGCCGCCACCCCCAGCUGUUUCACCCGAGCACGUGACUGCUAGGGUGGACUCGUCCGAGGAGGAGGCUACACAGACUCCGGUCCACGAGCCUCCGGUCCACGGGCCUUCAGCCCACGAGCCUCGGGUUGAUGGGCCUUCGGGCCACGAGAGUUCGGCCCACGAGACCUCGGAGGAACACAUGUGUGGAUGGGGUACCUGGCCGGAUCAUCCUGAGGGGCCGAGUGGCCAUGCUGAUGAUGGCGGGGAGACGACUGAUAUUGAGGAGGAGGGGGGCACCGUCUACCAGCGUGGUUGUACACGGCUCCCGGACGUGUCGACGACCCGCGAGCAGAGGUGGUUGAUUUUCCCUGAUGGGGAGAGGUAAGUGCAUUUAAUCUUUUUGUACCCUUCUGCAUUCACGUUUCUUCAAAUAUCUAAUGCAUUGGCCUUGUCAUGCUGCAGGGGUUGGGACCACCAUCAUAGUGUCCGCCGGCCCAAUUCCGUCCUUAGAGUUCUUUGUCGGCAAAAUUUCCCAGGGUUUGUCACGUUGCCUGGUGAGGGUCGGCUUCCAGAGCUUGGAUUGAAUUGGUAGCACUACUUGGCUGCCUCGGCCCCGCCGGGUGAGAUUAUCGACGGUGUCUUGUGCAAGACAAGGGCAGACGUGGUGAUUAGAAAGUUAAGUGUAAUUUCUCCUUUACACAAUUAAAAAUCUUCAACUAGCUAGUUAUUAAUUGUACUAAUAAAUAUUGUCUCAUUUGAUUGCAAACAUUCUACAGGUGUGAGGAGGGAUACGAGGAGGAGGAGGCAAAUGUUAACGAUAACGUCUGCAAGCGCCUACUGUAGAACUUACGGCACGAGGCUCGGGUGCAGGCUGUUCGAGACUACUACGCCGCGCGUGGUAUCAACAAGACCAAGCCGGCGUGCCGUGAGAAGUUCUUGGGUAAGGAGGAGUACAUGAAGGUAAUUCUUAAGGCCUUGUACUUUACUUCCUUCAUUUAGUAAUUCAUAGUCGUAGCGCUCAAGUUUCUAUUUCCUAACUUAGGCCCCUCCGAGAUGGUGUGCGGAUCAGAUGGAUUGUUGGGAGGUGUUGGUCAAUGAGUGGUGCUCAAAAGAAUGGCGAGCCCUCCACAACGAGGUCAAGGACAAACGUGCCCAAAUGGAAGGUGUGCCACACCAUCAAGGCAGCUCCAACUUAUAUCAGUACGGGCGGAACCGGGUAUGUGGUUUGCUUCAUGAUUCAUGCAAUUCGUUCGUCAUGCUAGCUUUCAGCCCUUUAAUUACUAAUUUACUUUGUUUCUCUCUUUCAGACAUGCUACAAUAAGGCGGAUAAGGUGCCAGAGGUGUACGACCUGUAUGCCAUGGCCCACACUGGCUCUUACAAGAAAGUCAAGGUAUUCUCUGCGUCUGACCUCGAUGAUCCAAAAAACUUCACCAACAUCUCCUCCCAUGACAAGCUCAUGAAAUAUAGAGAUGAGGGGAAGUCGAGGAAAGGGGAGGACUUUAACCCGAGCCAGGGUCCCAUUGAUACCGAACUGCUGAUGAUAUCUGGUGGCGGGAGGUCCCAUGGCUCCAUAGCCAUGGGAGAUGGACUUAUCCGUUGUCCUAGCACUCUCCCGGAGAUCAAGGCGCGCCAGUCGAGCUCUGCUCCUGUGAUAAGGCCUCGUGAACGGCCAGUCCAACUCACCUUCAAGGUUAGUUAUACGUACUCAGCUAUCUUUCUCCAUUACAUUGUGUGCGCUUCCAUCAAUGAUUACAAAUGGUAACGAGGAGUGGUGUUGCAGGCUGCUAUACAAAGUGAGAGAGAUAGAACGGAGAAACUUCUGGCGGAGGCAGCGGAGAGGCAGCGGGAGUUGGAGGAGAGGACGACAAAGAUGUUGGAGGAGGAGAGGGCAUGGAAUGACAUGCAGGCAAGGGCCAUGUACGAGCUCCUUGUGGUAAGUUUUUUCUACACAUUAUCCAAAACAUUCAUGUAGUGUUUGUCUCAUUACUAACUAGUAUGACUGAGUCAUCAAAACCAAAUGUGCAGUCUGUGUGUGAGAAGUCCGGUCAGACCGCUCCACCGAUGCCAGUGAUUGCUCCUGGGACCACGGUGAGUUUAAUUUGAAUGGACAUUACUUGCUAGUCUUAACAUUUGAGUGUCAUCAUGCUAACGAGACAUUGGAAAUGAUCUUUGGUGCACCGUAACUCCAGACAAGCAUCGCAUGAUCCUUCUCCAGCUACCGGCACAAGCCACCCCGCUACAACACCUCCAUGAUCAUGGUAAGUGUCUCUAGUGUUUUGCUUAACAAAUGCAUAAAGACCUAGACUUAGCUUUAUUUCCUCCAAUAUGCUUACCAUAAUGACUUAGAGUUAGCUUCUUUUCCUCCAAAAUGACUUAAUAAGCUUACUAACCUCCAAAACCAUCCAUUUUACCUAUGUUAGCUCUAAAACGAUAUGUACUUAGCUUACUUAUGUAAAAAAAUGGCAUAAUUAGCUUAGUUAGCUCAUAAACGAUCCNNNNNNNNNNCGACCCCCAGACCCCGACACGACACCCCGGCACCCUGACCCCGAAACAGCACCCCGACCUCGACACCGACACGACACCCCGACCCCUGAAAGCUCAUGAAAAGGUGCUCCUUGGCCUUCCAGAGGCCGACGGGGUCAUGUAUUUGUGAAUUAUGAGUUAGGUCAUAUAUUUUUCGAUUUUGUUAUGAAAAACAUCAUAUUUAAUUGUGUUGAUCGGGUUGAUUUAAAUGUGCAGUGGUUUCAUCGCUGCGAGGUUUGGUGUUCGAUGACCUCGCCGUGCGUUUGACGUGCUCUGCCCCUUCAUUCGUGGGUGAGCACAAAUGACAUGCACGUCCUUCUCCCCCAUUAAUUAUUUUCUCUAUUCCGGUGUUCGUGCCGAUGAAACUUGAUAGCUAGCUAUAUAUGUGUCUUGAAUCAUCAGUAUGCGUAACCAAUAUGUGUAUCCCGUUCGGAAGCGUUAUAGUUAUAAAUAUGCAUGCAUUUGCAUAUUUAUAACCUUGAUUCUUUCGAAUUGUCCAACGCUAUCCAUGGACAGCCCGAGUAUGUGUAGAUUGGCUUCGUUUUCCCAUAUGCUUUGCUCCGGAUCCGAGCAUAAAUUUCGUUAGUGCCUCCCCUGUUGUUCUCAGGGUACACAUCCUCUCUGUUUAUUGCAGAAACGUGUAUCAGGAGAACAUCGGGGAGGUGCUGCCGAAAUUUUGCGUCGGAUCCGGAGCAUAGCAUGGGAAAAUGAACCAAAUCUACACACACUCGGGUGGGAUUAGGACCUAUCAUUACCUAUUAGAGUGUAGGUUGCAUGGACGUAAUAAAAUUGACAAAGUAGAUCAACUGAUGAAUAUAUACAUGGUCAAUUAUAUAUAUAUUUGUUGUGUGUCCAGUAGCUCUGAAAGUCAAGAUGAAUGAUCGUGCGUGGAUGUAUACCGGUCACACUGGUCAGAACAAAUGGAGCGCUGAAUGGUUCACAAAAACCAAGGGGUUUGUGCAAGCCACAUUUGCAAAUGGCCAGAGGAAAACCCGGUGCCCCUGUUUCCAGUGCGGCAAUUGGGAAAAGAGGACAGAGGCUGAAAUGGGCAAACACCUGCAGAAGAGUGGUUUUAUGCCCGAUUAUACGGUGUGGAUAUAUCAUGGUGAGUCUGCCCAACGUGACCGAGCUGAGGUGGAUCGUCAUCGCACCGACGAGCAUGGUACCGGGAUGUUAAACAUGGUGCAAGACUAAGAUGAUGCUCGGGAUUCGGACAAGGAGAUGGAGGAAUCUGCAAAGGCCUUCAAUGAAAUGUUGGAGUAAUCAGAAUGUCCGCUUCACGAGCACACUGAGCUUUGUCAGUUGGAUGCCAUCUCACAAGUAAUGGCUCUGAAGGCUUAGUUCAACUUUGGCAUAGAAUGCUACGAUGCAAUGAUGACAGUAUUUGGACGCUUUCUACCAAAAGGCCAUGUAAUGCCUGCAAACCUGUACCAGUCAGACAAAAUCCUGCGUGCACUGAAUAUGCCCUAUGAGAAGAUACAUGCCUGUGAGAAAGGAUGUGCCUUAUUUAGGCUUGACUAUGCGGACUUGAACUAUUGUCCCAUUUGCGAGUCUUCCAGGUAUGUUGUGGUAGACAAUGGUAUGGGUGAGAAGACACAGACCAAAAUCCCUGUUAGUGUUCUUCAGUAUAUGCCAAUCGUACCAAGACGUCAACGUCUUUCCAUGGUCAAAGAGACGGCCAGACAGAUGACAUGGCACAAAACAGGCAAAAGAACCGAACUAGAUGCUGAUGGGAAUCUGAUGAUGGUACACACAUCGGAUGGUGUUGCGUGGAAAAAGUUUGAUGAAUUACAUGGUGACAAAGCGGCAGAUCCGAGGCAUCCUCGAGUCGGCGUCAGCACGGAUGGGUUCAGUGUGUUUGGUAUGACGACAGCCCAAUAUAGUUGUUGGCCCGUAUUUGUCUUUCCACUCAAUCUCCCCCCGGACAGAUUAUGCAAAGAAAGAACAUUUUCCUAACGUUGAUAGUUCCAGGGCCCAACUAUCCGGGGAAAAAUAUGAAUGUGUACAUGCAACCGCUUAAGGACAAAUUGUAAGAAGCCUGGGAUAAUGUGUUUAAGACAUACGACGCCUAUAGCAAACGGAACUUCAUAAUGCGUGUCUAGUACAUGUACUCGAUGCAUGACUUGUCGGCGUAUGCGCUAUUCGUUGGCUGGUGUGUGCAUGGAAGGUUCCCGUGUCCCACAUGCAAGGGAGCUCUUGAGUUUCGUUAGCUUCAGGCCGAUCGCAAGGUUUCUUGCUUCGACAUGCAUAGACAGUUCCUGGAUCCUCGCCAUAAGUUUAGGAAAGACAAGAAGAACUUCAUCAGAGGUAGAGUUGUCAAAAACUCAGCACCACCUGCGUUGACAGGCCAACAGACCCUGGAUCAGUUAAACACUCUCGAGCCAGAUCCAGAGCGUCCAGGGUACUUCAAGGGGUAUAAUGCUGAGCACACCUGGACUCACAAGACAUGCUUAUGGGAUUUGCCUUACUUCAAAGACCUCCUUUGCCCACACAACAUCGACGUGAUGCACACUAAGAAGAAUAUUGCCGAGGCACUUUUUGGUACAUUGUUCGGCAUAUAUGGGAAGUCAAAGGAUAAUACUACGGCUAGAGUCAAUCUGGAGGCGCUAUGUGAUAGGCCAUUACAAAACAUGAAAGAACCGAAAGGAAAGCAGAACUGGACGAAGCCGAAGGCAUGGUUCAAUCUUGGAAGGCCAGCUAUGAGGGAAAUUAUCUUGUGGGUGAAAAUGCAGUUGAUGUUCCCCGAUGGGUAUGCAACGAAUCUAAAGAGGGGAGCAAGUCUUGAUAAAUUGAAGAUAUUUGGUCUCAAUAGUCAUGAUUGGCACAUAUGGAUUGAGGGGUAAUGCCGGUGAUGUUGCGUGGCUUCAUCCCUGAAGAUGAAUGGCUAGUACUGGCAGAACUCAGCUAUUUCUUCCAUGUUCUUUGUGUGAAAGAACUAUUGCCUGGCGUGCUAAAAGAAAUGGUAGAGUUGGUACCGAAGUUGAUCUGCAAGUUAGAGAAGAUCUUUCCAUCGGGCUUCUUUGAUCCAAUGCAGCACUUGAUUUUGCAUCUCCCGACCGAGGAAAGAUUGGGGGGGGCUUUGUAAAAUCGUUGGUGCUACCCAACUGAGAGGAUGCAGAAGACGCUUCGAGAAAAAUGUAAAAAUAAACGUAGAAUUGAGCAUCGAUAGCUGAGGCAUUCAUCACUGAGGAGGCGGCAAACUUCGUGACAGCACACUACGAAGCCAAAAAUCGUCAUUUGCAUAACCUGAAGCCUCGGUACAAUGCUGACGACCCUAAGAAGGGUGGAUUUGACCUCAGCCUAUUCAAAGGGAAUCUCGCACCAGCCAGUGUUUCAAAUCCAGUAUCUUUGGAUAACGAAGAAUGGCGGACCAUUUCGUUGUAUAUCUUCAACAACCUGAUAGAAGUGCGGCCAUACAUCGAGUAAGUUCUCGGUACAUUGUUUCGCAAGUUCUAUUUCCUUUUAACUGCUCUUAUUCCUGGAUAUUUCAUACAGUCGAUACAUCGCCAUAUUCUCGUAUGGAGCGGUGAUCCAAAAGGAUUCCAUCGAAGAGUAUGAGAUUCUCGCAAAGCAAGAAGGCGGCUAUCCAGGUUACAUCUCUUGGUUCAAACAAACAGUAAUUUCUAUUAGACAAUUUCAUUUCAUUCGCUAAUUUGUGCGUAAUGCAACAAUCCUUUCGUAUGAAACUUGUAGGCUAAUUCAGAGUCUAUGGACGCCGAAUUCAGAAAACUCGCUAAUGGUUUUGACUAUAAGGUCCGUUCAUUUGACAAAUACGACAUCACCGGGUAUCGCUUUCGUACCUAUGGCAAAGAGCUAUCUAUGGCCGGCCGAAAGUCUACAAAUUGUUGUGUAUCUGCUAUCGGCGAAGGAGGUACCGAGUAUUAUGGGAGAGUUGAAGCAAUUUAUGAACUUCUAUUCUAUGGUGAAAACCCACCGAAUGUCGUAGUCUUCAAAUGUUAUUGGUUUCAGCCGAAGGAGACUAGAAGGACUCAUGAACAUAUAAGGCUAGUUGAAAUCAACCAAAGCAGCCAUUUAGAUGUUCCUGAUGUCUAUAUUACAGCUCAACAGGCGACCCAAGUAUUUUAUCUACCGUGGGCCUGCCAAACUAAUCCAAAUAUGAAAGGCUGGGAUGUUGUUUAUGAAGUGCCGCCACGUGUUAGACUAUCUCCCCCAAAGGAAGAGGAUUAUGAACCUCACAUUAACCCAGACACAUAUGAAGGAGAAUUCUUCCAAGAGACACGUCUUUCCAAAAAGCAUUUCAAGAACCGUUAUACUUCACCCCAAGACAUUGAAGUAGACAGCAAAAGUGAAAUCUACAUCACCCGAGAGGAGGAACAAGAAGAGCCGGAACAAGAAGAGGUUACUGUUGCCGAUAACUUGUAAAUGCUUGACUGAUUACGUCAAGGUGGCCUUCCACAUGUUGAUGCCACUAAACCCUAUGAGCUCGUCAUUGAUUAUAGUGAUGAUGAUGAUUAUGCAUUUAUUGAUGAUACUGAUCGAGAUUAUUAGUAGUGUGAGGUAUUCAAUUUUUUUAUGUUGUACUUGAUGAUGAUACACUUAAGUGAUAUACAUAUUAUUAUCAUGUCGGUAUUUUUUUAUGUUGUACUAAUUUCAUUUACUCUUUGUCAUGGCAGGUGUUGAAAGAUGGAAGGGGAGCCGACUGAGGCCAAGGACAAACGUGCCCAAAUUGAAGGUGUGCCACACCAUCAAGGCAGCUCCAGCUUAUAUCAGUUCGGGCGGAAUUGGGUAUGUGGUUUGCUUCAUGAUUCAUGCAAUUCAUUCAUCAUGCUAGCUUGAGCCCUUUAAUUACUAAUUUACUUUGUUUCUCUCUUUCAGGCAUGCUACAAUAAGAUGGAUAAGGUGCCAGAGGGGUACGACCUGUAUGCCAUGGCCCACACUGCCUCUUACAAGAAAGUCAAGGGGAAGGCGAGGAAAGGGGAGGACUUUAACCCUAGCCAGGGUCCCAUUGAUCCAGAUCAGGUGAUGAUAUCUAGUGGCGGGUGGUCCCGUGGCUCCAUAGCCCAUUGAUCCAGAGAUUGCCCCUGAGACCACGGUGAGUUUAAUUUGAAUGGACGUUACAUGCUAGCCUUAACAUUUGAGUGUCAUCAUGCUAACGAAACAUUGGAAAUGAUCUUUGCUGCAGCGUAACUCCAGACAAGCAUCACAUGAUCCUUCUCCAGCUACUGGCACGAGCCGGCCCGCUCCUACACCUCCAUGAUCGCGGUAAGUUUCUCUAGUUUUUUGCUUAACAAAUGCAUAAAGACCUAGACUUAGCUUUAUUUCCUUCAAUAUGCUUACCUUAAUGACCUAGAGUUAGCUUCUUUUCCUCCAAAAUGACUUAAUAAGCUUACUGACCUCCAAACCAGCCAUUUUACCUAAGUUAGCUCUAAAACGAUCUAUACUUAGCUUUGUUUCCUCCAAAAUGACCUAAGUUAGUUGUAAUAUGCUUAGUUAACUAGGUUUGCUCAAUAAUGACAUGUACUUAGCUUACUUAUGUAAAAAAACAACAUAAUUAUUUUAGUUAGCUCAUAAACGAUCUAUUUUACCUAAGUUAGCUCUAAAAUGACCCAUUUUACCUUAGUUAGAUCAUAAAUGAUCCAUUUUACCCAAGUUAGCUUUAAAAUGACCCAUUUUACCUAGAUUAUCUCAUAAACGAUCCAUUUUCCUAUGUUAGCUCUAAAAUGACCCAUUUUACCUUAGUUAGCUCAUAAAUGAUCCAUUUUACCCAAGUUAUCUUUAAAAUGACCCAUUUUACCUAGAUUAUCUCCAAAAUGACCCAUUUUACCUACGUUAGCUCCAAAAUGACCCAUUUUACCUACGUUAGCUCUAAAAUGACCCAUUUUACCUACGUUAGCUCCAAAAUGACCCAUUUUACCUACAUUAGCUCCAAAAUAACCCAUCUUACCUACGUUAGCUCUAAAAUGAUGCAUUUUACCUAAGUUAGCUCAUAAACGAUCCAUUUCACCUAAGUUACCUCACAAACGGUGGACUGCUUCUUCUUCUAGUCUUCUUCUUCUAGUCACUUUUUCCUAACUUUCUUAUUUGCCAUUUUGCAGAUUUCAUUCACUUCUCGGAAGCUAGCUUGCUAUGAUGGAGUGCUUGCUAUGAUGGAGUGCUUGUUUUUUUUAUUUCAUUCUCUUCUAGAUUGCUACGAUGGAACUUGCUAUCUUGAUGAAACUUUGCAUUGUAAUAUGUAUGUGCAACUUCCUAAUGGUUGCAACUUAUGUGUAUGUGCAACUUGCUAUGUAUGAAUGGAUGGAACUAUAUAUGUAUGUACGAUGAAACUUAUAUGCUGGAUAUGUCAUAUGUUUGCUGUUAAAUAGCCCUGUGAAAUAUAUAUAUAUAUAUAUAUAUAUAUAUAUGUCAUAUAGAUGUGCUGUGAAAAUUGUUGGAUUCAAAAAACAGAAAAAAGAGGCAAUGCAUGAUCUUUGCCGUCCGCCGCUGAUGGCAAAGGACCCUUUGCCGUCCGCUGCGGACGGCAAAGAAGACACGUGGCGGCCACCUGUGCUCCCUCGGAGCUGACCCAUUUGGCCAGUUUGCCUACAGUGGCAGACGGCAAAGGGUCACCACAUUUGCCUACAGUGGAGGACGACAAAGAAUAGGUGGGCAGUGACGUCCAUAUGACGUCACCAGGCGGACAACAAAGGCAAGAUAAUUUUUGCCGUCAGCAGCUGACGGCAAAGGCUGCCGUUAGCCAUCUAACGGACUAACAGCGUAUUUAUUGCCGUCAGCUUUCUUUGCCGUCCGCUGCUUAUGGCAAAGUACCCUUUGCCGAUCCUUACUUUGCCGAAGCCUGUUGUCGUCCGCGGCAGAUGGCAAAGGCCUUUGCCGUCCGCCAUUCCUGCCUUUGCCGUCCCCGACGGACGACAAAGUAGCUAAUUCCUGUAGUGAAAGAAUAACUUUGAGGUGGUUUCGUACCCUACAAUAAUCUCUUCGUUUGUUCUCCGCUAUUAGUGACAUUGGAGUGACUCUUUGUUGCAUGUUGAGGGAUAGUUAUAUGAUCCAAUUAUGUUAUUAUUGUCGAGAGAACUUGCACUAGUGAAAGUAUGAACCCUAGGCCUUGUUUCCUAGCAUUGCAAUACCGUUUAUGCUCACUUUUACCACUUGUUACCUUGCUGUUAUUAUAAUUUCAGAUUACAAAAACCUAUAUCUACCAUCCAUAUUGCACUUGUAUCACAAUCUCUUCCCCGAACUAGUGCACCUACACAAUUUACAAUUGUAUUGGGUGUGUUGGGGACACAAGAGACUCUUUGUUAUUUGGCUGCAGGGUUGUUUGAGAAAGACCAUCUACAUCCUAUGCCUCCUACAGAUUGAUAAACCUUAGAUUAUCCACUUGACGGAAAUUUGCUACUUCCAUACAAACCUCUGCCCUUGGAGGCCCAACAACGUCUACAAGAAGAAGGUUGUGUAGUAGACAUCACACACCACAAAAAAAUGGAGACUGGAGCUCUAGAUAAAAAAUGGACGACUGAAAGGAACCGAUGAACAUGACUAAAACACACCAUAAAAUAGAAAAGAAUUACCAAAUGAUUGACUAUGUUACUGGUUAAAUAGAGCAAACAUCUUAAUAUGGCCAUGUAAAAACUGAGAAACUCAGGGCUUGGAUUAUUGCAUUAUUUUUACCAAAAUUAUACAAAGCAUCUACAAUGUGGGGCGCUCCUGAAUUUCCAAAUAAUUAAUGUCCAGAGUCGAAUCACAUGACAAGGAUAAAACAUUAGCAGUAUCCUAGUCGUAAUAAAAACAUGACCCCGGAAUUGCAACUGGUUGUGACUAUACAAACUAAAAAAGGGAAAAGGGCCCGAGUUGCAAGUCAAAUGUUGGCUUGCAACUGGGCCCCACUCCUGAAUUGCGAGUCCAUGGUCAACUUUAUAUUAGGGUGCUUAUAUAAACUAAAAACACAAAUGCCCUCCCCCCCUGAGCUGCGGGUAUGGGGUCAACUUGCAACUAGGGUGCCUGUACACACUACAAAAAACAUGAAAAUUCCCUAGAGUUGCAAGUCUAGGAUCAACUUGCAACUAGUCACGACUAUACAACUAUAAAGGGAAAGGGGCCCAGUUGCAAGUCGAAUGUUGAUUUGCAACUGGGCCCCACUCCGCGAGUUGCGAGGCCGGGUUCAACUUUGAAAAUAGGGUGCUUAUACAAACUACGAAAAACAUAAAUGGCCCCCUGGGUUGCCAGUUCGGGGUCAACAUGCAACUAGGGUCCCUAUACACACUACAAAAAACAUAAAAAUAGCCCGCAAGUUGCAAGUCUAGGGUCAACUUGCAACUUUUCACGACUACACAACUAUAAAAGGGAAAAAGGCCCAGUUGCAAGUUGAAUGUUGAUUUGCAACUAGGCCCCACUCCCUAAUUUGCAAGUCUGAGGUCAACUUUAAACUAGGGUUAUUAUACAAACUACAAAAACAUAAAUGCCCCCCCCCCCCGAGUUGCGAGUUCAGGGUCAACUUGCAACUUGUCGCGGCUAUAUACAACUAUGAUGGGAAAAGGGUGGACUUGCAACUAGGGAAACUCCCUAGAGUUGCAAGUCAAGGAUCACCUUGCAACUGGUCACGACUGUACAAUUAUAAAGGGAAAGGGGCCCAGUUGCAAGUCGNNNNNNNNNNNNNNNNNNNNNNNNNNNNNNNNNNNNNNNNNNNNNNNNNNNNNNNNNNNNNNNNNNNNNNNNNNNNNNNNNNNNNNNNNNNNNNNNNNNNNNNNNNNNNNNNNNNNNNNNNNNNNNNNNNNNNNNNNNNNNNNNNNNNNNNNNNNNNNNNNNNNNNNNNNNNNNNNNNNNNNNNNNNNNNNNNNNNNNNNNNNNNNNNNNNNNNNNNNNNNNNNNNNNNNNNNNNNNNNNNNNNNNNNCGAGUUGCGAGUCCAGGGUUAACUUGCAACUAGGGUGCCUAUACACACUACAAAAAACUUAAAAAUGGCACUCGAGUUGCAAGUCUAGUGUCAACUUGCAACUUUUCACGACUACACAACUAUAAAAGGGAAAAGGGCCCAGUUGCAAGUAAAUGUUGAUUUGCAGCUGGGCCCCAUUCCUUGAUUUGCGAGUCUGAGGUCAACUUUAAACUAGGGUGCUUAUAAAAACUAUAGAAAGGAUAAAUGCCCCCAUCCCUGAGUUGCGAGUCCGGGAUCUACUUGAAACUAUGGUGCCUAUACAAAGUACAAAAAACAUAAAAUGACCCCCGCGAGUCCGGGGUCAACUUGCAAGUGGCUUGACUAUAUACAACUAUGAAGGGAGAAGGGUGGACUUGCAACUGGGCAUCUACUACUAGGGAGCCCCUAUUGCGAGUCGAUGGUGGACUUGCAAUUGGCUACACAACUAGAAAAUCUCGAUUUACGAGUCGAGGAUGAACAUGCAACCGGGACAAGUCUAGUUACGAGUCGAGAGUGCACUUGCUGGGGCAACUACACUUCUACAAAAGCCUAGUUGCGAGUAGAUGACACACUUGCAACUAGGGGACCACCUACAACUACAAAAAAGGCCCAAGUUGCAAUUAGGGCAACUACACUACUACAAGCCCAGUUGCGAGGCAAUGGUGGACUUGGAACUAGGGCACCCCUACAAAGGAAACCCUAGUUGCAAGUCGAUGGUGGACUUGCAACUAUGGCAACUGCUACAAAGCCCUAGUUGUGAGUAGAUGGUGGAUUUGCAACUUGGACAAUUAAAACUACAAAACAGCCCCCAGUUGCGAGUCGAGGGGUGAACAUUCAACUAGGGCAAUUGCAACUACAAAGCCCUAGUUGCAAAGCGAUGUUGGACUUGCAACUGCGGCAAUUGCAAAUACAGAAAGGCGCAAUUGCGAGUCGAGGGUGAACAAAAAGGCCACGGGUUGUAUCUAGGGCAACCUACAAGCACAAAAAGAAGCUCCCAGUUGCAAGUCGAGGGUUAACUUGCAACUGGGGGUCAACUAAAACCAAGGAAAAAACAAGCCACCAGUUGCGAGUCAAUGGUUGACUUGCAACUAAUGGCCUCGCCUUGCGAGUCAAGGUCUGACUUGAAACUAGGUCAAACACAACUACAAAAACCAAACCCCCAGUUGAGAGUUGAGGGUUGACUUGUAACUAGGGGACCCAAGUAGCGAGUUAGUGGCUGACUUGCAACUGGGCAACCUACAACCACAAAAAAACAUCUUUUGCGAGUUAGGGGUUGAUUUUCCACGACUCGGGCCUCAAGUUGCGAGUUAGGACUGACUUGCAACUGGGGCGAACUUACAAGUACAAAAGAAGCCCCAGUUGCGAGUUAAGGGUUGACUUCAAACUAGGGCCUCGGAUUAUAAGUCAAGGUUUGACUUGCAACUAGGUCAACUACAAACUACAAAAAAACAAGCCCUCGGUUGUGAGUCGAUGGUUGACUUGCAACUGGGGCCUCGGGUUGCAAGUUGUGGUUUGACUUGCAUCUGGUUCGACUACAAACUACAGAAAAACAAGCCUCAGUUGCGAGUUGAGGGUUGACUUGAAACCGGGGCCUCGGGUUGCAAGUCAAGUCUUGACUUGAAACCGAGCCUUGGGUUGCAAGUCGAGGCUUCACUUGCAACUGGGGCAACUACAAAUUAUGAGAAUAAGCCCCCAAUUGCGAGUCUAUGGUCGACUUGCAACACGGGCAACCUACAACUACAAAAAAUUAAGCCCUCCCAGUUCCGAGUCGAGGGUUGACUUGCAACUAGGAGGCUUCGAGUUGCAAAUUAGGGGCCGGAUUGUAACUGGGGCAACCUACAAGUAUGAAAAGAAGCUGCCAAUUGCGAGUCAAGGGUUAACUUGCAACUAGGGGUCAAUUACAACCACGGAAAAAAGCCCCCAGUUGCAAGUCAAUGGUUGACUUGCAACUAAGGGCCUCGAGUUGCGAGUCAGGGUCCGAUUUGCAACUGGGUCAAAUACAACUACGAAAACCAAAACCCCAGUUGCGUGUCGAGGAUUGACUUGUAUCUAGGGGAUCCAAGUAGCAAGUUAGGGUCGACUAGCAACUAGGCAACCUACAACCCCCAAAAAAGGCCUUAGUUGUGAGUUAGGGGUUGAUUUGCAACUAGGGCUUUGAGUUGCGAGUUAGUACAGACUUGCGACUGGGGCAAACUUACAAGUACAAAAGAAGCCCUAGUUGCGAGUCAAGGGUUUUCUUGCAACUGGGGCCUCGGGUUGCAAGUCGAGGCUUGAAUUGUAACCGGAUCGACUACAAAAUACGCAAACAAGCACCUAGUUGUGAGUCGAUGGUUGACUUGCAACCGGGGCCUUGGUUUGCAAAGUUGAGGCUUGACAUGCAACUAGGGAAACUACAAAAACUAUGAAACAAGCCCCCAAUUACGAAUCGAAGAUUGACUUGCAACUAGGGUGCCCCAAAGUUGUGAGUUAGUGGUUGACUUGCAACUGGAGCAACCUACAAUUACCAAAAAAAGCCACCCCCCCCCCCNNNNNNNNNNNNNNNNNNNNNNNNNNNNNNNNNNNNNNNNNNNNNNNNNNNNNNNNNNNNNNNNNNNNNNNNNNNNNNNNNNNNNNNNNNNNNNNNNNNNNNNNNNNNNNNNNNNNNNNNNNNNNNNNNNNNNNNNNNNNNNNNNNNNNNNNNNNNNNNNNNNNNNNNNNNNNNNNNNNNNNNNNNNNNNNNNNNNNNNNNNNNNNNNNNNNNNNNNNNNNNNNNNNNNNNNNNNNNNNNNNNNNNNNNNNNNNNNNNNNNNNNNNNNNNNNNNNNNNNNNNNNNNNNNNNNNNNNNNNNNNNNNNNNNNNNNNNNNNNNNNNNNNNNNNNNNNNNNNNNNNNNNNNNNNNNNNNNNNNNNNNNNNNNCCUUGAGUUGUGAGUCUGGGGUCAACUUGCAACUUGGGGCAAACUACUAUGAACAAAAAAGGGAAGAACAUUAAAACAUGGAUUUGAUAAAAAACUAUUUUACAAAAAAAAUUCUUAGAAAAAGUUCAUGCAAGCAAGUGUUGCUGGAUUACCGCUGAAGAGCGGAACUCGUCCCAUACAUAGUAACAUAGACACUACACCUGCUUAGGCCAAAAAAAAGCAAUGAAAAUAAAUGACUUAACUGUUGAUUAUAUACAAUAACUUGAAAUAAGAAGAUGAGAAUGAAAUAAAAACAUGUGUGCUGCCCAGAAUUGUUUGGUAAACAAAAAGGCUAAACAAUGAAAAAGAAAAAAGAGUUGCUAAUUAGCUCAAAUAAAUAUAAAAACUAAUUAUAUGAUACCGGAAAUUCAGAUCCCCUGAUGAUUCUAAAAAAGGUGGCGGUUGAACAUUUGUGCUCCUGAAGUAAUAAUGCGCCAAUUUUGUUCCAUGCACCAUAAAAUCAGUGCAAAAACUUGUUCAUGUGUUCGACGCACAUAAAAUUAGUCAGUGCAUGAAACUUGCACAAGAAGUGCAUUCAUAUUGUACAACCAUAACAUGUUGCAUGCUAUAAACUUUGGUAUGGCUAAUUACAUCGAUGCUGGAAAAAAGAACAAUCAGACAAACUUGUUUUCUUCUUACUAAAGAAAUGACCAUCAAUUUUUUUAAAAGUUUAGUAGAGCUUUCCAUCACAACACACAAUACUUCAGCUUGAUCACAUAUUAGAACCAAGUCUGGGUAGAACAGGCCAGCAAUCGGCAGGUCUACUUUGAUCCAAAGUUGGUACAUAAGUCUGUUUCAAAAAAAACAAAGCUGGUACAUAAUGGGUACUAGUACAAUUCUCCCAAGAUAACACCAAAAAAACUUUAUACUACCCAUGCUAGUAAAAGAAAGGAAAUAAAUGGAUUGCGCAUAAGAAAAGUAUAAUAACUUCAGUUUGCAAAAAUUGAUGAACAUGAUGAUGCGCUUAAAAAUGUCUACUGCAUGCAAACUGGCACCAAAAAACACAAACAGGCUGCGGAAUAUUAGCAUUAAAACUCAUCCUACUCGUUGACAGAACAAUGAGUACCAAUAUCAGAUGACAAAAACAAAAGAACAUCACAGUAUACUGCCAACAAAACAACUGCCUAACAAAAAUAGAAUUAGAAGUACACUACUAAAACACUCAGCAACCAAUGUGGCCAACACAAAUCUGCUACAACUAUAUAUCCGCAACACACAGGGAUAAAAUAUCCCCAAAACUAACUUGGAAUGAAAACAAUACCAAAUCUGAAACUGAAAAGGCCUACAUGUGAAAAAUGGAAAAUGAAUUUGGGAACCAUAUGUGCUAACACACAGAAAAAGAUGAAACGUCUAGAAACCCCUAGAAAAGUUACUGAGCCUGCUUACUACAAAAAACACAACAAAAACCCCUAGAAGACACCCCCAGGGACAGCUGAAACUGUGUACUGAAAAAAUCUAAUAAAACUACACCAAAUUUACAAAGCGUUUGAUCAGGAAUACACAACAAACGCAACACUUAUGAAGCGUUUGUGCGUGCUAAAAUCCCCUAGUAGAUUAGCACCAUGAAACUAAUUUAUAUGCUGGAUACAACCUAUAAGAACUACAACAUGCUUUUGUACAGAUUACAAAACUGGAAAAUUCCAUAACAAAAGAAUUAUAUCAACAAAGAAUCACUACACUGAAAAUUUACUUGAGUAAGUAUACCAUCAGCAAAAAAAUACUAUAUAGAUGAAAUACACAAUUGGGUGAACUAAGAAUACAAAACCCUAUAUAGAUGAAAUACACAAACAAAAAAGAGAUAUGUAUAAGUUGAUGCAUUCGUGAGGUGCUUCUUUGUUUAUGUUCAUCUCUUUUUCUUUAAAAAAAAUCUUCAUCUUUUUUUUGCGGGGAAACAAAUCUUCAUCUCACUUGAAGCAUUUCUAUGUAUUGCCUAACCUAAGCAACUUCACCAUCACGUAUGAUCCAUCUCCAAGUUUUCCGACAUCAGAUCUCCCAUCUAGAGAAGGUGUGAAACAUCCUAGUAGUCUUAGCUACUCACCCAUGGGUCACCGUCCUGGGACAUGAACAGCUGUGUCGCAUGCACAGCGUGAGUUCUUCACCUGCAACCACUUGAUGCAAGCCGGCAUGGAAGGCGGUCGUCAGUACCCCGAGCAGAUCAUUGUCUCUGCAUCAGAUCCUUUCGCUCCUGCCAAGAAUCCAUCAGUCACAAGUCAUGAUUAGGCAAAUUUUCAUGCCGUGGCUGUGAACUGUUCCACAUGCAUGGAUAUGCCAAUUUAGCGGAGGAAAAUUGUACCAGCUAAACUUCUCCGACAACCUUGAUCGUUUUGCACGCGUUUAAUGAGAACUCCGAUAGACAAGCACUUAAAAAGAAACAUAAAAUUUUCAUCGGCAAGGUGCCAUGGAUCCAUCCUUGGAUUGAUACUUCAUCAGAGCAAUAAUAGCAAAAAUACAAAUUCAGAACAUACCCAAUGCUGCACUAGGUAGUAAAAUGCAGAGUUUUGCCGAUGAUGACAAGUAGCCCCAUCUUUUUGAAGCUGUGGGCCCCAUAUUGAAGUCAAAGCAGGCCUUAGACCAUUUCUAGGAUAUUUAGUUAGAGUGAAUCACCACCAUGGCGCCUUAACCAUUAGGCAGAUAUCCCCUAAAGCCAUUUGUGAAACUUUGACGAGUUGACUGACCCCACUGGUUAUGUGACUGCAUCCGUCUUGAAAGACUCUUGAACAUUUGAUAGGUUGAUAUAAAUUGUUUGCUCCAACAAUCGUGCAUUAUGCCAGAAGUUCUUUACAACUAUAAUACGCUGACCAUCUUGAUGAUUUACCCUAUGACCUUUCCAAUAUGGUAUCUUCUCUAUGAACUUACUUGGCAUCUGAAACAACUCCACAUUUUCCAGAUGUAUGGGGUUCUCGAUGCUUCGGGGUAUCUCGGUGAGUUCAAGACAUAGGCCAAGCGUCAGUAGACGUAAAUCUGCAAGGCUGUCCUUUUGAAAUUCUAUGCUGGUAAGGUUAGGCAAUCCCUGUAGGUUUAGUUGUCUAAGGACUAGAAAACAACCUGCCGGAAAGGUCAAGCUACUCUCGUUGCAUGCAUUGAUGAGACUAAGGUGCAACAGACUGGGAACUGACGAGAGUAGCGCAAUUGAAUCUUCUCCAAGUUUAGAUGAAUGCAAAUGCAAAUGUAUGAGGUUGGUAAGAGAACCAAACCACGAUGGUAGCUUAUCCCUUGCCAACUUUCCAUUUACAUUGAGGGUUUUAGCUUCACUGGUGCUGGAGAAAAUGACUCCAAGUCCAAUGUUACAUUAGCAUCGGAAUUGAUUAUUCCCAAGCGCAGAAGGCAGCUCAUUUUGGAUAUUGCUAAGGGAAAAUCGAUAAGAAUUCUCUGGUCUACUCCAGAUAGCUCUAAGCUCCUCAUCUGUUCCAAGCUUUCUAAGGAUUUGACCACCUUCUGAUCAGCUUGAACAUAUUUAAGAGUCUGCAGGCAUUUGAGAUUUUCAAGCCCAUCUGGAAGAGAAACUGUUGUACCAGGUUCCGGUUCCAUAAAAUCUGUGGUUCCACGUGUAAAUAAUAUCAGGUGCUGGAGGUUCUUCCGUUUGGUUAUGAUACUUGGUAAUACCUUGAUACUGGACCAUUUGGCAUCUAAAGUGUGCAAAUCACGUAGUCUCCCCAGUUCUUUCAGUAGUUCUUCAAUGUAGGUGGAGCGUACGCCAAGGUACCACAGAUUUGGAAGAUUGGCCACUGCACUAGGCAGUUUACAUGCCUUAACGUACCAAAGAUUUAGCACAGUUAACAAUCUAAAAUGAGAAAAUAGUGCAACAUCUAGGUCUGAUCUAAGCACAUAGAAGGAGCGAAGUGAGGGCAUAUUUGGAGUUGACUGAUGGUCAUUUUUGCACUGGUAAAGUGUACGAUAACGGAUUUUCUGUUUUAAGUCCACCCCUGCACUUGUAGAUAACUGAAAGUAUCCAUCUUCUUUUGAUCUAUAUGCAACAAUCUCCCUGAUCAGGUCGUGAAUGUGUAACCGCUUUGCACGCCCAAACUCAUUUUUCAACUUGACAAGCAACAAGUUCCGUUGCACUAGCUCGUUCACGUAACCAUCCGCGACCUCCUCCAUGGAGACAUGCCCAGUUUCCACUAUCAAACCUUGUGCUAUCCACUCUCUGAUAAGAAUCUUCCUUUUGACAAAGAAAUCCAUAGGGUAUACACUGCAAUAGAGGAAACAUCUCUUCAGGCGGUAUGGUAAGUCAUUAAUACUGAAAUUCACUAUGCUCGCCACUUGCCCAAUUCCAUGGUCAUCUCUUUCAUCCCACACAAGGCUAUCAUGGACGUUCUUCCAAGCAAACUCUGUUUUCUCCUUCAACAGAAGGAGGUUUCCAACCGAUAUAAUCGCCAAUGGCAGCCCACAACAUUUUUGCAGUAUCUUGAGAGCCCAAUUCUGCAGGUGAUAUGGGCACUCCUGGUUUGCAUUUUCCCUGAAUGUGGUGCUACAAAAUACAGACCAUGCUUCAUGUUCACGGAGCGGCUGCAACAUGAUGGUCCUGUUGUCUGAUGCCAGAGCAGCCACUUCUUGAUUGUGUGUGGUGAUGACUACUCGGCUCCCGGUUUCACUGUCAAGCAAUACACUACGGAGAUGAAACCAGGCAUCCGCAUUCCAGAUAUCAUCCAGCAAGAGGAAGUACCUUUUGUGAGCUAGAUGCCCACGAAGAGCCUCGACUAGUCACCGCUAGUCCAUCUCCUGUGUGUCCCCCAGCGCAUUGUCUCGGACACCCCGAUGAAGUUCCUUGAUGAUUCUCCUCAUGAGGUCCUCAGUCGUGAAGUUCUUGGAGACGGUAACCCAUGCGGUGCAAUCGAAAUUGCAGUUUGCAGCGAUUUUCUUGUAUACGUUAGUGGCAACAGUAGUCUUGCCAACACCGCCCAUCCCGCAGACCGCGACUAUUACCCGCCACGGGUCGGUGUCCCUGAUUUUCAUCAGUAACCUUGUGUGCUCGGCAAAACCGGCAAUUUUCCCUUCCUCCACGAAGUGCGCUGCCUCCGAUAUGUUCCGGCAGAUACCGGCCACUGCAGGGGCUGAGCUUGACGCGGAUGCCUCGGCCGGCCGGAUGCCAAGCUGCUCCUUCACGGUGGACAGGGCGCGGAGCCUCUCCCUUGCCUUCCGCAUGCACCUCAGGAGGGCGAACAGGGCUGCUACGUCAGCGCAGGCACGGACGAAGCGGACGCUCGAGAGAAAGGUAUACUCGUCGGUGACGUCCUCGAGCUCGAAGCCGACGUGGCGAACCUGGUUGACCCAUGCGUCGACGAGCUCGUCAGUGCCGCGGUGGGAGUCGGCGAAGCGGAGGAAGGCAUGGAGGAGAUCGAGGUCGCGCGCGCGGCGGCUAUACCGGAGCGGAUGGAGACGAAGGAGGCGAGGAAGAUGGCCGUGCUGCGGCCCGUGCGGAGCAGCGCCACGACGACCUUGGCCGAGAGGGAUAUGGCGAGCAGCUCCGCCAUGGCUCUGCUCGUAGUAGGGUGAUACGACUUACGAGUCAUAUGAGGUUCAAAUUCAACGACCGGUCGACGCGGGUAUGGGAAUAAUUCGGAUGGUCUCGAGCGCAGACAACGGACCGGCUCAACAUUUGCGCCGGACGCAUGCUGACCACGCGAUUAAAGUCGAUCACGCGUCCAUGCGAGGCUGCAGCAUGUGUCCAUUUGGGCGGAAGGAAACAAAUAUCUCUGCCUCGCUUCUCCAUUAUCUACCCGAGUGCACUUUUCUGUAGUAGCGCGAGCUGCCUGGUACUCAUUCUAUUUCUUUUUAAUCUGCAUAUAAGAUUUGAUCAAAGUUAAAUUUUAUAAAGUUUGAUUAACUUUAUAAAAAAAUAUCAACAUCUAAAACAUUAAAGCUAUAUGGUAUGAAAUUAAUUUCAUGAUGCAUCUCACAAUAUUGAUUUCAUAUUCUGAAUCUCAAUGUUUUUUUCUAUAAAGUUAGUCAAAGUUAACAAUGUUUGACUUUGACCAAAUUUUAUAUGCAGACUAAAAAAUGGAGGGAGUACCCUAUACCAGGUGCCGUUCAUAAAGUAUUCAGUGGCACCGAGGUACGUGCAAUCGCUUUGCUCAUUAGUAAAACAACGCUCUUAACUGGAAUCCAUUUGGGCCUACUCCUCCUGACAUGCAUCGGAUUCCUAGCUGGGAGAUAUGUCCCUGUCAAAGUAUUCGACUUUUUCUAGUUGGAUCCUCUGUGCCUAUGUUCUUUAGUAAUAUCUCAUAUUGGCCACAAGAGAUCCUUGAUAGCUUCAGCCUUCACUGCACGUCCACAUGCCUGAGACAUAUUGGUGUGCUCCUAUUUAUGAGUAAGUACAUGUUACAGGAGAGUCUCUGGCUAAGGGGUUGUUUGGUUGAUGUCCUGGACAUCGUGCCUGGCAAAUUUGAGCGCCUGGCUCACGCGUGCGAAAGUGCAGCUUUGUGCCAAGCCUUGUUUGGCUUGUGACCAUGCCUGGUGGUGAAUAAUGCAUGUCACAUCAGUGUAUUUAGCUGUCUUUUCCUUCUCACAUGCAUGAUUAGUACUCCCAGGCAACACCCAGGCGUCCUUUCUCGGUUGCCUAGAUCAGGCUAGUGACUCUCUCCUACUUUCUAGACAGGCUAAUGACGCAUUGAGAUUCUUAGGCCAGGCUAGCUUCAACUUAUCCAGGCACCAACCAAACAAAGUACAGGCAGAACUUAGGCAAGCUUCAGGCCGGGCAAGUUUGCUCCAGGACAAGAACAAAACAGCCCCUAAAUCCCUGUGCAUGGAGAAGAAGACAUCUGUCUCAACCUCCGUUCUUGGAGGCCUACUUUGUGGUCUUCAGAUGCAAAUCCCGGGUAAGCAGGUCUUUAGCAUUGUUUCAGCUUUUACAAGGAGGCCAACACCCGAACUUCUACGACGAAAGUGAACUUGUAGUCCAACAAUGUUAAGAGUAUAUAUCAUCUGACAGGGUGCGCUGUCGCCGCCACCCUCAGCCCCGCCCCGCCGCGGUCGCUGCCGCUGGCCAUGGCCCCGCCUCGCUGCGGCCGCCGCCCUCGGCACCGCCCUGCCGUGGCCGCCCAGGCCCCGCCCUGCCGUCGCCGGACCUAGAUCCCAUGGUGGCUGGCGAUGUUGCCAUGCGCGCCGCACUGGCGGGCUAUGGCUCCUCCAAGUUCGCUUUUGAAUUCUUUCAUCUUGCUUCAACCUUUCUAUUAUUCAUUGUUCUAGAGUGUCUCAACAAUUCUGGCUGUGUUCCUCGUCGUCAUUCUCAGCAUUUGAAGACCAAAUAAGAGUUUUCUAAUAAAUUAUAUUCGUUCUCUUGAAGAUUCAUGGUGCUAGCUUCAUGCAUCCUCUCAGUUGUUUCGAGUCGUCAUAAAUUUCUUUCAUCACCGUCCCAAAUCUUGUCAUGAGUUGUUUUCGUUAUGGAUUCUCUGAAGCCCAUCAUUUCAGAAGAGUUAUUCAUUCUAUAAUUUUAGCUUUCAUUCUCCUAUUCUAAAUUCAAGUCUCUUCAUUCAUCUCCAAAUUCUUACUGCUACAUCAUUCAAGUAUUCUCUAGUCAUCUCGUGAUCUCUUUGUUCUCUUGUAUCUAAAUUCCCUCAAGUAUCUUCAUUCAUUUUCUAAUUCGUCCCCGGUGAUUCGUUCUCUUUUCUUCGUUCGUAUCAAAUUCUUAUGACGGUUCUUUCAAGAUUCCUCUUCCUUUUUAUCAUAUCAAUUCAUUUGUUGUUUUCAAAAUCGUACCGGUGGUCUGUUGAGUUUGUGCUAUAUCUCUCCUUAAUACUUUUCAAUGGUAAUAAGUAGUAUGCUAAAUCCAUUGCUUGUCAUCAAUUUAAUUUGAUGAAGGAUGGACAUAUACUAGUUCUAAUUCUUGUUUCCUCAAGGUAAUUCAAUUAUUUCUUUUGGAGUUUGUUCAUGAUGAAUGAAUUCAUAAUUCCAAGUGAUUUCAUCUUCUCUUUUUUGUAGUUCCAAGUUUUAUCGGUAUCUCAUCAUAGAGCUUCUUCUCUUUUCUUUAUCAGUGUUCGAAGGAAAUCAUCGCAAUGUUUCAUCUUGUUCUUUUCAACCUUCAUUUCCUUCAUAUCAUUUCUUUCAUUUCAGAGUGUCUUCCCGAAGGUUCUUCAUGGUGGUUUGUGAACGAUUUCUUUCAUUCUCGAAGUGCCCUUCAAGAUUCUCCUCGAAGUAAAGAUCUGCCAAGCUAUGCUCGGAAAUAAACAUGGUGUUCAACACAUGUUUGGUCUUGAGGAGUUCAAGCAUGUUUCAUCUUCCAUUCAAGUGUGCAAAUCCUUUCUACCUUGUCUUUCGAGCUGGUCGUAUGUCAUUAUUGACAAAUUUCCCAUCGUGUUUCAUGACUCAUAGGUUGUCAAGAAUGAGAUAUUAAACCCACCAUUUUCUCUUCGUUCAGGAGUUCCUUUCAGCCCAUCAAUCUCUUUGUUGGAGUUAUCUUGGGUUUGGUUUCACAUAAAUCCUUCCCUAAGGAAUGUUGGCAUUAUGGUGUGUAUUUGUGAUUGAGGUUUUCUCUCUAUCCUCUCGGUUAAAGAAGUUUUGCAUCUCUCUAUUGCUCUCAAGCAUCAUAUUUUCUGCAAAAGGCAGGUUUUAACCUCAGAAUUUUGGAAUGUUUCCAUAAGGCCAUUUGAAGCAUAUCUAUUGCUUGUUGACUAUUUCAACAACUCCCUUCAACUCUUCUUCACAAGGAUGCUCUUUCAUGUUUAAUUGUGUUAGAAGAUGUUGGUUUCUCCUCCGUUCUUUUUGUCCCAAGUAUCUAACUCAAAUUCUUUUUCUAAGGAAGCAUCGUGUUGGUGCACUUUCCCAAGUCCCUCGAUGUUGCCAACUUCAUGUUCUACCUAUUAUUUAUAUUUUAAUCGGAAUCUCAUCCAGGUGCUUCCAUUUUCUCAAGUUCAUGUUCUAUCCCUUGCUUCUCUUUAACUGGAGUGGUUUCAAAUUCUUUCUCAUCUUUGAUGCCAUCUGUUAUGUCUUUCCAACCUCUAGGAUUAUUUGGUCUCACUCAUUUGUCACAGAAGCAGCUUUAUUUUACCUCUUUCUCUUCCUCUUCCUGUUCUCAUUCCUAGGUCUCAGGGAGAGAUCUCUUGUAAGUGGGGGUGAUUUGUGGCAGCCCAAGACCGACGCUCCAGAUGCCUCCCACUAUUUCCCCUAUAGACACAUCAAUUAUUUGGUUGUGGCAUUAAUCGUCAUAUCAUUUGCAUUGCAUCGACACUCAGUUGCCAUCAUUUUUUCAAAACUUGCAUGCAUCCGUAGUUGCCACUUCUCUCCGCUGUCUUUGUUGAUCGUUCCGAGUCCAACCACAAACUUGCACAUGCCCCCGGCAUCGUUAAAUAAUUAUUUUCAAAGUGGGAUUAAAAUAUUCUCGUAAUGGGUGAAAAUUUUACGUGCAGUCUUAAUAUUAUGUUAGUAGACCACCUGCCAAAUUUCAUCGCAUUCGAAAGUCGUUUGGUACCCUAGCCAUUAAACUAUAGACACACUAUAUCCGGUUAAAUAUAUGAUGUUUUUGUAAUAAAACUGGUUACUGGGCUACCCGACUUCCCUCUCAUCUCGGCCCACCAAAUCUACAUAGCCCACCUAAACCUACCCUAACCCCCUCGACUCUAGAGCCUCCCGAUUGUGAUCGUAGGGCUCCAACAACCCCCCAAAACCCACAACCCUCCCCAUCCCUGCCUAUUUAAGCAACCCAUACCCUGCAUAAUUUGGAACCCUACCCCUCUUCCUCAUUUUUCAUGUGUAGCCUCUCCAUCGCCGCCACUUGUCCACCUUCUCCACCCUCGAGCCGUCGUGGCCCUGCGAGCCCAUCGUAGACCUGCUCGAACCCAUCUAGUCCCGAGCCAGCUCAUGCGCCACCGCCAUUAGUUCUCGCCUCCACCGCUCGCGCCCGUGCUCCCUUCACCCUACCGCCAGCUCUCCCUCGUGCGGGAUCUCCCGUCGACUGGGGAGUUGCCAGAGACCGCUGCCGGAACAGGCCGACCUCACCGCCUCUUCUCCUUUUUCCUCCGUCUCUCUUCCUUUACACUCUAACCCUCUCUCUCUGUUGUUGCCAUGGACGCUACCCAAGCUCGGAGGACACGCCGCCACAUCACCUUGCCGCCGCCUCCGGCCAAAUCUGGUGGCCACGACACCGCCCGAUCCGUCCAUCGAUGCCGCAGCCGCGCCGAACCCUGCCAUGGCCUCUGCUUCGCCCGCCGAUACGCCCUCGUCCCAGGAUCCACCAAGCCCUCCAAACAAACGACAUCCGGAACCGCUCCAUCCUACUUUUCCUGUGAGGUCAAAUUUUUGCCUGUCCUUAGAUUUUUUCACAUCAGAUUGCAAUUUGUGAUGGUAACUUUGUCCAUUUUGUCUAAUAGAAAUAAUCUUUCUAUGAAAAGUGAUCUACUCUCUCUGGGCUUUAUGGUGGUUGCAUUUGCAUCCUUGAUAGGAUUCAUCUACAUAUUGUAAUCUCUGUUCCAAAAGUGCAUCAAGUCAUAAUAUGUUACAUUGAUCCUUGCCACCUAUCCAUAACUCAUAUGCAUAUGACUCCUUCACGUGUUUUGCACUAUGAAAUAUUUAUUUUAAUGCCAUUCCCAUGGAUGCCAUGUCAAGUUUCUUUAGCAUGUCUAUUUCUUGCUCUUAGGUGGCUAUCAUGAUAUAAAUACAUUCCUGUUAACAGAAAGUUUCAUUUUGUGAAAAUCAUAGUAAUUAAUAAAUGCUUCCUAUGAAUUUGAGCAUAUGAAGUAAAAUGAACAUUGCAGUGUCUAAUGCAUGUACAUAUUUUUCAUAAAUAUUGAAAUUGGUUUACUUAAUGAUUAGUGCAUCUCAAUUCAGCAUCAUAAUGUUACUGUUUUGCAAAUCCCGAAUUUUCCCGAAGUCUCUAAAACAUAGCAAAACAAAGCAUUUUGCAUAACACAUAUUAAACUAACCUUGAUGCUUAUGAACCUGACCUUAUAUGAAAAGUGUAGCAUGUUAAACCAACUAUAAAUGCAGAUCCUUUUCAUACAUUUUAGCAACACCCAUAUUGAUGUUCCGUUGCUCCCAAGUAGGCAUCUUGUUGUUUUGGCAGAUUACAAUCAACACAAGUUGUUCAGGUAUGUGAUGGAUGAUGUUAUAUGUAUCCAGUUUGCUUGACAUUUUGUUCAUGUAAACAUACAUGCAUCUAAAAUUGUAAUUGUUUCAUUCUAGGCAAUGUGUUUGGUUACAACUAUGGGAACACAUUUGAUUAACUGAAGAAAUGAUGGUUGCGAUCCACUCUUUUAAGAUGUCAAAGAUUUUUGCACCAAAAAUGGCGUUCAGAUACUAAAUAUGGAUGCCAUCUUUAGUAAAUCGGGAAAAUCAAGAAAAGAUGGGACAAAAAAUGUCACUAUUGAUCAUUUUUUCCAUGUGGACACCUUCUUUGCUGUUAUAGACUCCAUCACCACAAAGGUUGAUCAUCAUUUUAACGAGGUAUCUUCAGAACUGCUCUAGAACUUCUCUUCUCUUGACCCUAGAGACUCAUUUUAUAGGUUCAAUGUGAAAAAGCUUGAGAAUCAUACAGAUUUAUCAAGAGUAUUUCUCUUAGUAUGAAUGUGAACAUAUAGAAGAUAACCUUGAGAUAUUCAUUAUUUAUACGAGAAGAAUUGAAAACAUGUCAUGCUAUUGCAAGCUUGGAUAAAAAGAUAGUUAAACUUGAACAAUACAUCAUGUUUACUAUGAUUUAUCACCUCAUUGAGUUGGCCUUGCUAGUACCAGUAGUGAUGAAAACAAUUUAAAGAGCCUUCUCAGCAACGAAAAUCCUUAAGACCGCGUUGCGCAGCAUGAUGUCUCGUGGUUGGCUUAGAUAUUCGGUAGUGUGUUACAUUAAGCGAGGAGGGAUAUUCAAAAGUCUUCAUCGCGGUAAAAUUAAGAAAGAUUUUCAGAAAGAUGGUAGGGCAUGACCAUUGCCUGGGUCUUCUAAACAUCAUUGGAAGUUUCAUUGUCCAUAUGUUUCCGAUUAACGACUAAAAUUUCUCGUUGUGUUGCAUUAGUGGGAUUUCAUAUGCCUCGUCGAGAAUAGCUAUGUUAUGAACAUGCUUGAGAUUUAUCAUAUUUGGUGAGAACUGCUAAAAAACAGGAUGAUUUGUAUGCCUGUUUAUGAAUCUCGGAGGGUUAUAAGCAAAAUUUGACACUGGUGUAUGAUAUUUUUUGUAGCUAGAUACAAUUUUUUAGUUGUUUGGAUUUACAUCUUUGAGGUUAGCUAUAGUUGGUUUUUUAGCAAAAGCUAGAUUUGGUAGAAUUUAUAAGAAUAAUAUCCCAAAUCAAGGGUAAUUAUUUUGGUAUUGAUUAACACCUAUACAUGGGCAAAAAAUGUACAAUGGUGGUCUACACGCGUCCUGUCCAUCUAUAUGACAAUGAACCCUAAAAAAAUCUCCUUUCUUUUGAAAUAAAUCAAUUUAAAAUGUAGAAGUAAUUUGACAACUAAAACAUGACCCAUGUCAACAAAAAAUUGUCGGGUUUCCGUGGUGCCUGUCAUGAUUUUAAGAUCAGCGGACCAUGCAUGUUGUCAUGAUCCAAUAUUAAUUUAUAGAUGCGAUCUUUGGACAUUUGCUCUUUUCUGUAGUCACUACUAAUUACAGGGCUUAAAAAUAUAUAUCAUUUAUGUCGUCGUUGCUCUUUUUAUACUCUAACCUCACAGAUUUCGUUUCACAUCCUAUCCUUACAAGUUUUCCUCGCCUUCGUUGUUCCUAACUAGUAAGUCCUAGACUUAGACACAAGUGGGUAAUAUUUGUCAAGCCUAGUGACACCAUGGAUACCAUGGACGUCAAGUAUCGUAAUGACUUCGUCAAGAAGGUGAGGCAGGCGACCGUGGCGUCGGCAGUGGAAGGGUGAAGUACAAGGAGUGCGGCAGGAACCAUGCGCUGGCUAGCGGUGGGCACGUUGUAGACGGUUGCGGGGAGUGAAUGUUGUUUGGGGACCUCAACCCCGCUGAUGCUUCGUCAUACAAGUGAACGACCUGCGGAUGACACCAUAGCUUCCACCGCAAAGGUGAUGACGGAGAGGUCGCCGCCACUGCUGCCCGGGCAGCAGCAGCGGCGACCUCUCCAUCAUCUUCUUGCGGUGCAAGAUGUCGUGGAAACCGCAGGCCGCCCACUUGUAGGAUGAUGCGUCAGCAGGGUUCAGGUUCCCCAACGGCAUCCACUCCCUGCAGCUGUCCACGACGCACCCACCGCUAGCUAGCGUGUGGUUCGUACCACACUCCUUGUACUUCACCCCUUCCAUCGCCGGCGCCACGACCGCGUGCUUCACCUUCUUGUCGAAGCCCUUAGGGUACUUGACAUCCAUGGCCCCCCUGGUGUCACUCGGCUUGACAAAGAUUACCCACUAGUGACUAAGGCUUGGAUUUACUAGUUAGGAUCAACGAUGGCGAGUAAAACUCGUAAGGAUAGGAUGUGAAAUGGAGUCUGUGAGUUUAGGGUAUAAAAAGAGCAACAACGACUCUAAAGAUAUAUAUUAUUAAUCUAUGUAAUUAGUAGUGACUUUAGAAAAGAGAAAAUCUCCAAAGAUCAUAGUGAUAAAAUAAUAUUGGAUCAUGACAACAUGCAUGGACCACUGAUCAUAAAAUUAAGAUGGGCACCAUGGAAACCUAGCCAUUUUUUGUUUGACCUUGCUCAUUUUUUAGCUGUCAAAUUACUCCUACAUUGUGACUAGAUUUUUUUCUGAAAAAAUAGCUUUUUUCAGGGGUCAUCGUCACAUAGAUGGACAUGACGCGUGUAGACCACCGUUGUACAUUUUUUGCCCACGUAUAGUUGUUAAACAGUACAAAAAUAAUUACCCUGGAUUUGAGAUGUUAUCCUAUAUACCUAAGAGAUCCACCCCAACUAACCUAUUUAUCUUGACAUGUAGCAUAUCCACCUCAACAUGUAUGCCCCACACGUGCCACCUUCUGGCACGUCAGCGACUCUUUACAUGGAGCGUUCAGUUACCAAUGUGCAAAAUCAACUAUCCACCUGCCUUCUUUCAAUAUCCACUUUCCAUCCAUAAGAGCAUCUCUAGCAGACCCCUUAUAAUGUCGACCUGCAAAAUGUGUUUACAGUUCGCGGAAAAACAGCUUUGCGGGCCGACGCGUAGGAUAUCCGUUUUUAGGGAUUCGCUUUGCGGGUUCUACUCGGCCGCCGUCCACACGGGCCCGUAAAUCAGUAAUUUGCAUUUCAAUUUCGGGCAUGAAAAAACAUUUCUUUGCUUCUUGACUUUCUUCAAGCGCAUUGGAUACAUAAUAAUUCACCAAAUCUUUGCUAGAAUAGCAAGACAAAAGAAAACAAGAACCACAAUUAGGCCUUGUACAAUGGGAGGUGCUUAGAGAAAUAAAUCAGGCUUUUCUUAAGCACCAGUGCUUAUUUACACAGGAUAGACGCUUAACUAAGCGCCUCUCCUGUAGAAAUAGGCACCGGUGCUUCAGAAAAACCUGGUUUAUUUUUCUAAGCAUCUGUCUAAGCACCUCCCAUUGCACAAGGCCUUAGGAGUUUUAGAAGAUAUCCAACUUCCAUAACUGCUCUCACUAGUUCGACCAACAUCUUCUCCAUGCCUUGAUUGUUGAUCUGCGGAUUCUCUAAAUUGCAUUCUUCAUUCUUCUUCUUUGAUUCUAAAGAAGUACACAUUGCUUCCCCUCUAGUUUCUUGUGUAAUUGCACAUGUAGCCGCAUCAUUAGCCUCAAUUCAGCAAACGAGUGCACGAACAUCAAUUAAGUUUCUUCCUAUCAAUAAAUCGAUCUAUUCUUCUUCCCUAUACCAAAAUGAGCAUCUGCCUUCGUACACACAUGAUCAUCUCAAUAAUCUACCGAAAAUUAAACGAAUAGGUUGACAAAGUUGAAUGAAAACAAGAACAUGCCUCGUAGUUUUCGCAUUUGAAGAAUACCCAUCCGGGGUGUUUCAGCGUGCUAGAUGUUAGCUGCAGCAUUGUUUGUGUGCAGUCAUCGCACUGUAUGAGCUGCACCGACGAGCAGGUGAGCCGCUGCGCUAGCACCGACCAGGGGUGACAGACGGCCAUGUCCUUGCCGGUAAACCGACGACGACGCCUAGAGGAUGAACCAGUACCUGCAUGCAGCGUUGGGGCUGUGCGGGGUGCUCCCUGACCAAUCCAUGGCUUGGCGCAGCCGCCGAUGGCCGGAAAUGCUAGAACUAGCUGCUACGACAAAUAGCCGUCGAUCUGCAACUUUCCGGCCAGCCGAGGCAGGAGGAAGUGGUGAGGGACAAUCUCGGGCGUGUGGCGGCCCGCCAGUGUGAUCCCGCCGGCUUGUAUGGUCGGAAUCAUUGGCGGUGGCACGGCGGAGGUGGGUGGGGAAAAGCACAGGCUGAAAUUACCCUCCCACCAACCGCUCCUGCUAUAUACAGGGCACCGAUGGGGCGAGGGGAGAAACUUUAUUUUCGCUGGUUGGGGUGGGAAUUUUGCGGGGCCCCGCUAAAAUAUUUACGGGUGUGACGCGUUUGCGGGGUCUGAUCGGACAGUUUUUCUCAUGCGGACCCAUAUUUUGAUGGUUAUUUUAUGGGUCGGGGCAUUAUACGGGUUUGCUAGAGAUGCUCUAAAUCGCGGAUGCCUAUCUCCCUCCCUCGGAAAUAAACACAAACUAAUUGACCUCUCUCCCCCAGAAAAAUUGACGCCAGUUUUCUCCUUGGCUACAGGUGCAGCACGUGGGAGCCGAUCUGUGCAUCAAGGGUCCUCCCAUGGUGUAUGAUUGUAUGUUGUAUUGCUCCUGUGCAUAGGCACAUAUAUAUGAUGUAAAAUGUGGGCCAUGGACCUCAACUAUACAAGAAACUAGGAGGCGUUCGCCACCGCACAAUACUCAGCCUUAGCACUGGAACGAGAGACCGUAGGCAGCCGCUUGGUCGACCACGAGAUAAGUGAGGGUCCAAGGUAGACACAAUAGCCCGAGGUGGAGCGACGAGUGUCAGGGAAGCCCGCCCAGUCUACAUCGGAGUAGACGGUGAGGGUAGUGUCGGCGGAGGCGUGAAGUGCGACGCCAAGAUCCAUAGUGCCACAGACAUAGUGGAGAAUCCGCUUGACAGCAGCCCAGUGAAUGCCUCGAGGAGCAUGCAUAUGAAGACACACCUGCUGCACGGCAUACUGGAUCUCCAUUCGAGUCAGAGUGAGGUACUGGAGAGAACCAACGAUAGACCGACAGAAAGCAGCAUUUGAAGCAGGAGAACCACCCGUGGCAGAAAGCUUGGCCUUCGUUCGACACGCGUGGCAGCGGGCUUGCAGUUAAGCAUGCUGGCACGCUCUAGGAGCUCAUGAGGGUACUUCUUCUGAUGAAGGAAGAAGCCAUCCGGAUGGCGCACCACCUCGACACCGAGGAAGUAGUGAAAAUGACCCAAGUCCUUGAUGGUGAACUCAGCGCGAAGAUGAGCCGUGAGCUGACAGAGGAGACCAGUCGUACACGCCAUCAGGAUGAUGUCAUCAACAUAGAGCAGCAAGUAGGCCGUGUCAGAGCCCUAAUGAUAGACGAAGAGCGAGGCGUCCGAGCGGGUAGAGUGGAACGCAAGCUGGUGGAGAAAUAUAAUGUUGGUCUGGGCCGCUUCAUCAACCAAUACCGCUGAAUCAAAGUAAGACGUUGGUGGUAAGCAAUAUGACUAUUAUCACCCAGAACUCUUUGUGUUCUACUCGUGCAUAAAACAUCUACACAUAGACAUGGCUCGGAUGCCACUAUUGGAUAACAUAGUAUUUCAAAACUUUCCUACGAUCAUGCAAGAUUUGUCUAGGAGAUGCAUAGCAAUGAGACAUGAGAGUGUGUCCAUGUACCCUUGUAGACCCAAAGCGGAAGCGUUUAGUAACGUGGUUGAUGUAGUCGAGCGUCUUUGCGAUCCAACCGAUCCAACCGAUCCAAGUACCAAACGUAUGACACCUCCGUGUUCAGCAUACGUUCAGCUCGAUGACGUCCAUCGUGCUCUUGAUCCAGUUGAGGAUGAGGGUAAGUUCCGUUAGCAUGACGGCGUGGCAACGGUGAUGAUGAUGUUACCUGCGCAGGGCUUCGCCUAAGCACUAGAACGAUAUGAUCGAGGUGUCUAACUGUGGAGGGGGGCACUGCACACGACUAAGGAAAAACUUUGUAUGUUCUAGGGUGCCCCCUGCCCCCGUAUAUAAAUGAGGGAGGGGACGGCCGGCCAGCCAGGCUAGGCGCGCUAGGAGAAGGGGAAUCCUACUAGGACUCCAAGUCCUAGUAGGUUUCCACCUAAAGGAGAAGGGGGAAGGAAGGGAGAGGGGGGCCGCGCCCCCAACCCCUUGUCCAAUUCGGACUGGGCUUGGGGGGGAGGGGGCGCCACCUCCUGGCCACUGCCUAUCCUUCCCACUCGGGCCCACUAACGCCUAACAACUCUCUAAGGGGUUCCGGUAACUUCUCGGUACUCCAAAAAAUACCCGAAUUUUUCCAGAACCAUUCUGAUGUGUGAAUAUAGACGCCCAAUAUAUCAAUCUUUAUGUAUCAACCAUUUCAAUACUCCUCGUCACGUUUGUGAUCUCAUCCGGGACUCCGAACAAACUUUGGUCAUUGUCGUGGAAAGGUCACGGGAAAUGUCCUAGCAAAAGGACAUAGUCGUGGAGCCAUCACAACUAGGAAGCUUGAAGGGGUUAAAACAGGACAAAGGACACGAGAGUUUAUACUCGUUCGGCCCCUUGCGGUGAAGGUAAACGCCUAAUCUAGUUGAGGUGGUAUUUCUUAUGUCUCGAUUACCAGGGAGCGAAAUACGCUUGACCUAGAUCUCGAUCUGAUCUUACUUGUCCUGAACCGCCACCGAGUCGUCCCUUUAUAUACAGAGGUCGACGCCCAGCGGCCCAUAGAGUCCCGGCCGACUCAUAAAUAGUAUCCGGCUUGAUGACUAUCUAUUGUUGCCUUACAAUACAAGUCGUACAUACAUGGUGGUUUAUCUCUAUAGGCCUUAAGUGCCUUUGGGCCUUGGGCCCUUAGCUGAACCGCCAUCUUCAAAUAUCUUCGUGGGCUUCAUAAUGAUGAAUCGCCAUAGGUAUGACCCUGCCCCUCCUGGGAAAAAAAAGAAAAGGCCCAAAGAAAAAAAGAGGCCAUAAAAAGAUAAAAAAGAGAAAAGGCCCAAAUAAACAAAAAAUGAUAGAAAAAGAGAGAAAGGGUGUCUGUGUCAAAACCGGCGGAUCUCGGGUAGGGGGUCCCAAGCAGUGCGUCUUAGGAUCAAUGGUAACAGGAGGCAAGGGACACAAUGUUUACCCAGGUUCGGGCCCUCUCGAUGGAGGUAAAACCCUACGUCCUGCUUGAUUGAUAUUGAUGAUGUGGGUAUUACAAGAGUUGAUCUACCACGAGAUCAGAGAGGCUAAACCCUAGAAGCUAGCCUAUGGUAUGAUUGUUGUUGUAUAUGUCUAUCGACUAGCCUGGCCUCGGUUUAUAUAAUGCACCAGAGGCCUAGGAUAACAAGAGUCCUAGCCGAAUACGCCGGUGGGGGAGGAGUCCUUGUCUUGAUCGCCAAGUCUUGUUGAUUCUUCCUUGUAUGCGGCAGCUGUCUGGACCGGCCCAUGAGUAUACGGCCAUGAGGGUCCUCGGCCCAAUCCAACUGAUCGGGAGACGACGCGUUGAGUACCCCCUAGUCCAGGACACCGUCAGUAGCCCCCUGAACCGGUCUUCAAGUUAGGGACGUUCCUCAAUUCUUCCGAACUGUUCUUCAUCUUCGGUUGUCGGUCUUGAAAACUGGUUCAACAAAUCUUCUCAUAUUCUAUCUUGAGGAUCGCCGAAAUGCAUUCGACGAGUUUAUGCGUUGGGUAUCCGAGGAGCCCCUUUAAGUUUACGGCCUUUAUCAAUGCCUUGUUAUUCUUAUGCGUUGGGUUUGAAGUUGUUCUCGGGUGGCAACGUCCUCUUGCGUUCGAGCUCCAACGCCGGACUGCAUUCGAGGUAUCUUUUGCAGCCGAGCACCAAUGUCGGACUGCUUCCCAGCUCUAACGCUGGACUAUGUAUCCGAGCUCCAACGCCGGACUAUAUCCAAGCUCCAACGCCGGACUAUGUAUCCGAGCUCCAACACCGGACUUUAUCCGAGGUGUCAUAAAUCGCCUUGGUUCAAAGAAGUUUGAAGGAGUUUAACCGAGAUUAAUGCCGGAAAUGCCCUCUAAGGAGCCAGCCACUUGUAUCCGAGCUAUAUGUUGAACUGCUUCCGAGGUGGUUAAGCACCUCGGUCAUGGGCUGAUUUUUGGUCAAUGUUUUUUAUUGAUGUAAUUUAUUCUCUAACGAGAUAUAUAGCAAGUAGCCCUCAAGGUAUGUAUCGGUCUAAAACCCGGGAUGCACCUGAAGGAUGACAUAAGACCGCUGAUCCCCGUAGCCGCUGAGACUCAGGUUGAUUUGCAAAAUCGGUCUGAGGAUCAAGUCCUAGCUCGGAAGAAUACUUCAGGACACAAAAAGCGGCAUGCUCAGUCCUCGAGACUCAGGUUGGGUGCGGCCGACCAACCUGAGGAUCAAAAUCUCCUCGGAAACUGUAUUGCACUUAGGAUUUUCUGCAUAGAACAAGCAAUGCAGUAGCCCACGAGACACUGGUCGGGUGGCAACACUAGAUCAGGGGAUCAAUGUGCCCCUUUAAUAUUUGUAAAUAAUAAGCCCGAAGCCCAGUAGCCUCCGAGCCUUAAUGCGGGCACGAGCGGCCGAAUUAAGGAUCAAUAUCCAUAGUAAAAUCACAAAUUAUGUGUAAUGACUCAAUGUAUCCAAGUACUUUAUGUCAUUAAUGCUCGAAUCCGCAUUGUACAAAACUUUGUUGACCGACCAUGAGCUUCAACAUCCUCGGCCGGUAGCCGAGGAGUGUUUGUCCUACUUUAUAAAGCCUUUAUGAGGGCAAAGAUUUACGACAAACAAGGCAAUCUGGUCAUACGGCUUUCUAAACAAAGGUACGCAGAGAGAUAUGUUAUAUUGCUGUUUAACAGAAGAAAUGUCUUCCAAAGAAAAUAGUCCCGCUAUCGGUUCCUUUCUUUGGGUUGUCAUGCUAAGCAUGAUCAUGAAACCUCAGCUCCAAUGUAAGAGCAAAAGAUCGAGGAUUUAGUUUGGGAGGCCAGUUAAUAGCCCCCGGUAGUAUUCGGCGACAGUCGAGGUCAAGCCGGAAACACUUCGGCCAAUGUUAUGAAUGGCCCGUCAUUUAAUAUAGUCAUUGGAUCGCUGACCAGUUUACACCUAUUGUGACAGUCAGUUUUCGACUUUCUCCACUUAGGUGCUUGACCAUGCGAGCUGGAAGCACAAUCGCAGUGGUUCUCCCUUUGCACACCUAGCCGAACAAAGCAGAACGUAGGAGGCAAGCGCGGGAGCCGGGCAACCCAACUAUUAACCGAAGACACAAUUCGAAGCUGAUGCAUAUAUAGCAAUAUCCGAGAAUGUUUUUGCCGAAUCUCUAAAGAUGUCCGGCGUUGCACUGCGAGACUUGCACUGAAAACACACAAAUAGUUAAGAGUGCCAAAAGCUUGGAAAACCAAAAAACGUCAGUAAAAACAUGACGUGCAAACAAGAUCAAGUGUUCGGUGCCAAUCCGAAAAUUGGACUUUAGAAAAAAAGUGCUUCUGCUGUGCUUUAACUUUGCAACGACUAAGAAGAAAAACACUUAGUAUGAAACGUCUCAAAUAAACAUAAGAGCCCCCAAGCGACUUGGGUAAAAGUUGACUAUAAAAUAUAAGGUGACAUGUAGAAUGCCUUCUAGCCGGCUUGUAGAUCGUUUGUCGUAGCGGACCUUUUUGCUUCAACCUCUGGACCCAAUAGUCCGGAGUGUGUCCGAAUACCCUCGCGGUUAUAAAAACCGGGACAUGCGUGGAGACCAGGCAGAGGGUCAUUAGUGCUUUAUCAGACAAGUGCCCAACUAGUUAUGUUAUAUUACAUGGUUAGUAAGAAACAUCUUCCAGGGAGAAUAGUUCUGUUAGGGGUUCCUUUCCCUGGGAGGCAUGCCCUAAAGUGCAUGUUCUGUCACAUCCCUGGUCCUGUUAUGCACUAGGCUAGACCUCAUGUGAGCAUCAUGUUUUAAUUCAAAUGAAAUUUGAAUUGAGGAAUUUUUCAAAGCCUCAGAAACCUUCUAAAAAUGAUCAACAUUAAAAUCUUCGCAAAGAAGCCCAAGAAAAUGUUCCUCUUAGUCUCUGAAAAUAUUGCAAAGAGGUAAAACUCAAAACAAUAUUUUUGGUAUCUCAGAGUUAAUUAUUUUGGGCCUUUGAAUUAAAUAAAUAGCUAUUUGCAUUGGAUAUACAUAUUAUAUAUAAAUAAUAUAUGUCCAAUAAUUACUGGAACAUUUUAUGUGGUUUGGUAUAUUUUAGUUCUAGCCACAUAAUUAUUUUCAGGAUUUUAUAAAAUGGUUUAGUAUUUUUACUAAACCAAAACAAAACAGAAGAAAAAUAUGAAACAGAACAGAACUUACCAGGCGCCACUUACCUGGCCCAGCUCCAUCUGGCCGGCCCAGCCCACCUCCUCCCCCUUGUCCUCUUCCUCCUCUGCCAGGAGGACGAACAGAGGCGAGGCGUGGCGCGCGCCCGAGAGGCCUCGGCCACCUCCUGCUUCCCCCUGGCCACCUCCUGCCUGGUUGCCUCCCUCCUCGACGCCUGGAGACGCCACGCGCCUCCCCGACCCCCUCCCACUUCUCCCUCGCUCUCUGGACCUCCCUCCCCCUCGCUCCCCCUCGCUCCUCUGCUCCCCCUCCCGCGACCGAAUGGAGCCCGUCGCCGCCGACCAGCGCUCGCGCGGCCACAGCCACCGUCUCGCCUCCCCGACGCCUCCCAAAGCUCCGCUGUUCCGCCCCCGUCCUCCUCGUCGUCUCACGCGACCAGAAGGGCCCCGAGCAGCCGCCAUCGCCAUCGUCUCAAGCUUCGGCCCCGGCGCCCUUCUCCGUCGAUUCGGCCACUCCGGCGCGCCCCCGAGCCCACUAACCCUCCCUGCAGCUUCGCGGUGAGCCGCUGACCCGUUUCCCUCUUCUUCCCGUGCCGUUUGGCCGCUCUAGCCAUUGCUUCCACCGGAUCUGAGAGCUCGCCGCCGCCGUGCCUCGUCACCGUCGUGGCCAGAGCCACCGUGGCUCAAAGCCGGGCACACCACCGUGCUCCAAACCUCAACAGGUGCACGUAGAACCCACCAGCUUCCCCUCCCGAGCACCACAACGCCAAACCCGCAGGUGCCCGAACUCCGGCCGCCGCCUUGGAGCUCGCCGCCGUCGACUCAGGCCACCCCAGCUCCUCCCGUUCGCUCCAUUAGAUGCGCUGCUUUGCCAGCUAGCCGUAGCCGCAAACCACGAGUAAAACGGUGCCCUGUAGUGCAAACCCGACGCGGACGCCGCCGCGAUCUGAGGUUGCCGGCGGUUAAACGCCGGCAGCUGACGUGGCGCUGAUUUAGUUAGCACUAAUGACCACGCUAAACACCCCCCACAGCCACUGAUAGUGGGCCCCACCCCUGGUCAAACCCCAGUCAGCGCUGGGUUUGACCGGGAUUAGUUCCUGUGUCACUGAUGUGUGGCCCCCACACGUCAGGUUUGACCUGGGGCGCCCAGUUGACCCUGCUGACGUCACUGUGACAUGGUGUUGACGCCAUAAUCAUUUCUGGAUUUAAUAUUAUUCAGGAAAUUCCAGAAAAUGCCUAAAACUUCUAAAAAUCAUAGAAAAUUAACCGUAACUCCAAAUUAAAUAAAUUAUAUAUGAAAAAUUAUCAGAAAAAUUCAAGGAAUCCAUCUGUACCAUUUUCAUGCAUGUCAGAACAACUUAUAGCUGCUGUUUAGCACAAAUCAAUUAAAUGGCAUUUGAAUAAUCACAUAUGGAGUUUGAAUUUGAAUAUUAUAUUCAAACCAACUUCAUUUAAUCUAUUGCUAGUUGCAUUAGCUCAAAGCACAUUCAUAUUGCCAUGUCAUGAGCAUGCAUCAUAUUGUGCAUUGCAUUGAUUGUGUUCCUUUCUGUGUUGCCGGUAUUUGUCCCCUCUCGAUAGAUGUGAUACCGAUGAUGUGAUCGUUGACACUGAUGAAGACUCAAUGUUAUCUUCAGAAGUGCCAGGCAAGCAAACCCCCUUGUUCAUUCCGAUAAAAUCCCACUCUCUCGCUCCUGCUCUCUUUUACUGCAUUAGGACAACAUCGAUUCAUCUGUUACUUGCUGCGGUAGCUGAACCUCUUUGUCCUUUGCAUGACCUGUCAUUGCCACAGUAAAUAGAUGAAACCCACUAGCAUGAGUAGGAGUUGUUUGAGCCCUGUUGUGCCUACUCAUUCAUGCUUGUUUGUCAUGCCUGCUACUGCUUAGAGUCGAGUCAGGUCUGAUUCAUCCGGGAUGAAUCAGAGGUGUGUGAACAUGUCCUACGGUGUGUGAGCUAAGCGUGUGAACACGAAUUGGUAAAGGUAGCGGUGAGAGGCCAUGUAGGAGUACAUGGUGGGUUGUCUCAUUGCAGCCGUCCUUAGGAACUGAGUUCUGUGUUUGUGAUCCAUGAUUCAGCUACUACCACGCAUUGGGCCCGAAACCAAUGGACCCUCUCGGCUUCUUGAUCACCCUUGUCCUCUGUCCAGGAGUUGCAAGUAGUUUCUGGUGUUUGUAGUAUGCUGGAGGCCGUGGGCAGCGCUGACCGUAGGGGUGGCCUGUGAUGCGGUAGGCACGUGGCACGGUGUACCGGGUGCCCGUUUGGUGUCUCGGGAACCCUGUUCACAUCGUUUGGGGCUGUGAGCGAAACUCCGGCCGGAUCUCCUCAUGGAUGGAACCGGAAUAGGCGAUAAACCUGGACUAGAGACUUGAGUGUUUAGGCAGGCCGUGGCCGACACCCACGUUGGGCUUCCGCUUGAAGGUUGCCGAGUACAUGUCGUGUAAACGGCGGUAAGUGGUGGGAGCGUGUGUGAAGAAGUACACCCCUGCAGGGUUAACAUCAUCUAUUCGAAUAGCCGUGUCCGCGGAAAAGGACUUCUGGGUUGCUUAUAUCAGUUCAUUGACAAGUGAAAGUGGAUACUCUAAAAUACGCAAGAUAAGCGUGAGUGCUAUGGACGGCGUUCUCGUAGGGAGACGGGAGCGGAUCCAUAGUGGUGUAUUGAUAUGGUGAAUAUGUGGACUCGCGUGCGCCACCUGAAGAGUUACUUGCAAUCAUAGUUUAGGUUAGCCACUGAGUCAAAGCUGGCUUGCUGCAGUUAAACUCCACCAUCCCCUUUGUUGAUAAUGAUGCAUAUGUAGUUAGCUCUGAUGUAAGUCUUGCUGGGUACAUUUGUACUCACGUUUGCCUAUUUUAUGUUUUGCAGAGAGACUUCGGUCUCGCUAGUAGUUCCGCGUGGACUUCGACGUUUAGCUUGAUACCUCAGCUACGAUCUUGUGCCCUCGACAGGAUCUGAUAGAUAGUCAGGCUUCUCAGCCUUUUUCAUUUAUAGAUGUCUGUACUCAGACAUGAUAGCUUCCGCUUGUGCUUUGACUUGUAUGCUCUGAUUGUUGGGUCAUGAGACCCAUGUUUGUAAUAUCUCGCUCCUCGGAGCCUAAUGAAUAAAUUACUUGAGUCGUAGAGUCAUGUUGUGAUGCCAUGUUGUAUUUGCACAUAUCGAGCAUAUUGUGUGUAUGUUAUUGAAAUGCUUGGUAUGUGUGGGAUCUGACCAUCUAGUUGUUUAUCUUUAGUAGCCUCUCUUACCGGGAAAUGUCUCCUAGUGUUUCCACCGAGCCAUGGUAGCUUGUUACUGCUCUGGAACACUUAGGCUGGCCGGCAUGUGUCCUUCUUCAUUCCUGUGUCUGUCCCUUCAGGGAAAUGUCACGCGAUGAAUACCGGAGUCCUGUUAGCCCGCUACAGCCCGGUUCACCGGAGUCCUACUAGCCCAGUGCUACAGCCUGGAUUUACUCGCUGAUGACCGACACGUUCGAUGCUGGGUCAUGGAUGCCUGUCCCUGUAAGUUUGUGCCACUUUGGGUUUACAACUAGCCAUGUCAGCCCGGGCUCUUUAUCAUAUAGAUGCUAGCGACACUGUCAUAUACGUGUGCCAAAAGGCGCAAACGGUCCUGGGUAAAGGUAAGGCGACACCCGUGGGAAUACCGUGCGUGAGGCCGCAAAGUGAUAUGAGGUGUUACAUGCUAGAUCGAUGUGGCAUUGAGUCGGGGUCCUGACAGCGUUGGUAUCAGAGCUUGACUGCCUGUAGGAUUACCAAGCCAAACUGGUCGAUGUUGAGUCUAGAAAUUCUUUAGUUAUAUGUAGGGGAAUUGAUUGUGGGAUGGAAUGUAAGGCUCUUUUUAUUCCUUAUACCUUAUGCCCUUCUGAUCUGAGUCAUCUUAUCAUUCCUACAGGGUUAAGGAACUAGGCUUUCUCUUCUUUCUAUCAGGAUCACGUGUUAUUAAUCCGUAGACUUAUAGAAUUGUUGGACUUAAGCCUCGUUUCAGUUCCUAUUACUUCUGUAUGUUAAUUGUUGAUCUCGGAACCUUGAUAUUGUGCUUCUGAGUGGUUAUGCCACCAUUUUGUGAAUGUCUCAAAUCUUUUCUGAGCAUUUACAGCCGUUAUGCUGUCCGAGUCAUCCCAGGUUUCUAAAUAGUUUGAAGCAAUUUGCAAAUUCCUUCCUCCUGUUUCGAUGUUCCUUUGGGCCAGAUUAACCACACUAAUCGGUGAGUUGAGGUACUUUAUUGCCUUGACAUAUAUGUUGGAGCUGGUAUUAUGACCCUAGGUGUCUUAGGGGAUCAUCUAGUAAUUUAGCCAUGAUUUGUGUCCCAGUGUGAUGAUUCUGGCCUUUAUCCUUGGAAGCAUCCCGUGAUGCCACUUAGUAGUAGGUAUUCUACUCCUGGGUUUUGAACCCGAGAUUCACCCUACUUGCUUCAUGUUGAUAGUUUUGCUCGUUCCUUUAGGUUAUUAGUAAACUUGUGAUAGUCCUCGAAGUUCGUGGUAUUUCCUUCUUCCAAAUACUAUGAACCACUUUAUGGCAGAUAUUUAUUGGAUCAAAAGAUCACAAUUAGAGUACUCUUGAGGAGUUCUCCAUUCAUAAAUCGUGACUCUGCCAGUCCUACCUCUCUGCAUGGGUUAUCCGGAAGAAACAUGUUGAACUUGGUUCGGCAUACUAAUCUAUGCAUCCACAACUCAGAAAAACAUAUGUUCCUUUGGGUUGUCCCUCUUUAGUUGUCUUCUGACCCUCGUCUAUCAAUUGAUAGUCAAGAUUAUGUGUGCAUUCGUGUUAUCGAUGCUUAUUAUUCUUGUGGUCCGUCGAGCCAUUCUAUUCUGGAAUGACUAGGAGAAACAAACUCCAGUACCUCUUCCAUAUUCAGGAUUGGGUCAAAGAAGUUGUGCUCCGCAGAACAAAUUGCUAAUCCAGCUUUUGCUCUGUUCUACCUUGGAGUAUUACCAUCUUUUAUAUCAGGAUUGUUAUAGGAAUUACACACCAUCCUAUGAACUAUUGGUACAGUGAUACUUCUCGCCAUCAUUACUCAUUCCUCGGUUCCGUGUGGUUAUAACCGGAAUGUCGACAAGUGAAUCGUGAUGUGUGAAAUCAAUACUCCUAGCAACCUUGUUGCUUGGUAGUUAAAUGGACAAUAACCUCAUUCUUAACGUGUUUGUUCUUGAAUCAUCAUUCUAAGAUUUAUCGUGCUACCUUGUCCAUCUUCCUGGUGCACAUUUCGAUUGAUGAGUUAGGAUUUUGUCAAGUCCUCGCUCAUUUGAUCAUAUUGUCUUGCCCUGUAAGGCAAGAUUGUUCUCGAGCUUAGUAACAUACCGGUGGUUCGUGACUUUCCAAAUAUCUUCUUGGAAGCGUUACCGGGUUAUUUCCUGACUGUUAUGUUGGGCUCGUGAUCAAGUUGGUUUCUUGUGAACCACCCUUUCUCCAAGAAUCUGUGUUGGAUAUCCCGGAGCUAGUUGGUUAAGCUAGACAACAACUUGGAGAGUUGGAAGAUAAAAGCUUGCCUGACUUAGUUCGUUCCAAAGGGAUAUUCUAGUGUAGUGUGUGUUGAAGAACGAUGAUAUCUUCAUCGAUUGGUCCCUAUGAUCAGUUGCUGGACCUAUUGUCUUAUCAAUCCUUUGAUUUGAGUGUGGACUAUCGUCAAAUCAAAUCAGUACCAACGAUGCUCGUAAUGUUGUCUUACUCGUGGUUGAUCCCUCGAGCAUACACCCUUACAUCUUUGGUCUGACCAAUGCUAUCACUUGUUUACUUAACUAUGGAAUUCCUUUUAAAAGGAAACCCAGAUGAAUUGUUGUUGAGCCCAUUGACAACAUCCUUAUCUCCUCCAUGGUCUUGUGGGACAACAAGUUAGUGUUGGAAACUUUUGAAGCAUUUUCUUCAUGCUAGCUCAUGAAGUAUUUGUUUGAUGAAAGGAGUGACUUCCUCUUAUACACGUGCAUUUGGUGAAAGUUGCCGCCGUGAAUUUGAGAAAGUUAAUUUUGCUUCCUAUGGAAUCAUCCCAAGUCAGUCAUGCAUAUGUGCGAAGUAUUCUAUGGUUUGGAGACUUGCAACCUUCAUUCCAUAUGUGUUCCGAGCACACCAAGCCACUGAUUGAGUUGUUCAAGGAGAAGAAGUUCCUUCUUAAGAGCAUGCCUUAUGCAAGGACUUCAAUAUCCUCGAUUAUGGUUCCCCACCUGAACUCGGUAGUGUUUUGUUGUAAGACUACCAUGUGAUAAUGUUUUGUCUAGGACAACGUGUUCACAUGUUUGUAGCAGAACCAGCUCAUGUUUUGGAGCUUGCUAUCGUAGUUCAUUCCCUGAGAAUCUCGCAACGUCAUCUCGUCGAUUUGUGUUGCAAACUUUCAUUUUUCUUCCUAGACUCGAUGAGUCUGGAAUAUCCUGACACCAACCAGAUCUGAGUCUUAGGCAGAUAUGAUGGUUGGAACAUUUCCCAAGAACUAUAAUAUUGGUCCCUCGAUAACCGGUAAAGUGGAUGUCGUGGCCAACACACCCAGCCGAAGGACCUAUUAUUGUAGUAUCUUGAUUGAAGUAGUUGGCCACCUUCCCAUAAGGACUUCGUAGGAUUUACUCCUUAGAUGUUCCUUAUGGACUUUCUUUUGUGCUUCCGAAGUCCGACCUUUUACUUGAUGUUCUGGGAAUCAAACCAUUUUAAUUAAUGGGUUGCACUAGAACAUCAAGGAGAACAUUAGAAGCGGAGUGCUAAAUGUCUCUUGGUCGAUCAUCCAGAUUUUAUUUCCUUGGCCCCGCCAAGGGUGAAAUCUGAGGAAGUGUUAUCUUCCUUUGCAUCUGCAUCGUCCAUCGUUGUUCAUCAUGGUGGUAUGUUGUGUUGCCAGGAUCCUUGACACGGAUGUUUGUAAAACCUUGAUGAAUAUGGAAAUGCUCAAGUUCUUGAGAGCACGCACAAGCGCUAGGUAUUAUCAUCGACACUAAUUGGGAUGCUCUCAGUAUCCUCGGCAAUGCUAUGAUCUUUUCAACCAGCGAAUUCACACUCUAUUGUUGGGUUCUUCCCCAGUUAACCGAAUCAUUCCCAGCAUUUGCAUUUUGUUCCCAGCUUGCACCGCCAUUGUGCCAUUCUACCAUGGGUCUCUUCCAUUUCCGGUGGUAAGCAAAUUCAUCCAUUACGUUGUCUUCAACAAGGUAAUCCACAUCAUCCAGUCCGAGUAUGCCAUUCUACCGACCCCCUCCAAACGAUCGUUGUGAAUUGCCUUAGGCUGGUACGAAGAGUUUCAAUGAUCUCUGAAUCAAAAGUAAUUCUUUUUGCCACUUAAGGUAAUAAUCUACGAAUCACCCUACUCCAGGAUGUUUCGUCGUGGUAUCAUGGCAACUCAACUCCUCGCUACGUUGACAAUCGUUUACCACCUUCUUAGGUGUGCAAUUGUUGUCUACCUAGUGAACCUUCGUCAUCCGUUUCUUUCCACCCCUCUUGAUGUGUAUCUCGUGUCUCAACCCGAGAGAUGGUGCUAUGUCUCAUUCCGUGAGUUAAUCCUGAGUUGUUCGACCUUCGAGAAGAACCAUUCUUUUAGGGUCUUUCCUUUCCUCUCGUUGUCAUGUUAGUUGGAGUUCUCAGAGCAAGACUUCGAGACAAUGAUGGUGAUCGAAUCAACGCUCUUAUGAAGUGCACCUUGGAUCGUGAAGAUUAUACUAGUUGCGUUUCCUUUUCACCUUACCCUACGCUUGAAUCUCGGGAGGAGAUUUUUGUUUAGUGGGGGUGAGUUGUCACAUCCCUGGUCCUGUUAUGCACUAGGCUAGACCUCAUGUGAGCAUCAUGUUUUAAUUCAAAUGAAAUUUGAAUUGAGGAAUUUUUCAAAGCCUCAGAAACCUUCUAAAAAUGAUCAACAUUAAAAUCUUCUCAAAGAAGCCCAAGAAAAUGUUCCUCUUAGUCUCUGAAAAUAUUGCAAAGAGGUAAAACUCAAAACAAUAUUUUUGGUAUCUCAGAGUUAAUUAUUUUGGGCCUUUGAAUUAAAUAAAUAGCUAUUUGCAUUGGAUAUAUAUAUUAUAUAUAAAUAAUAUAUGUCCAAUAAUUACUGGAACAUUUUAUGUGGUUUGGUAUAUUUUAGUUCUAGCCACAUAAUUAUUUUCAGGAUUUUAUAAAAUGGUUUAGUAUUUUUACUAAACCAAAACAAAAUAGAAGAAAAAUAUGAAACAGAACAGAACUUACCUGGCGCCACUUACCUGGCCCAGCUCCAUCUGGCCGGCCCAGCCCACCUCCUCCCCCUUGUCCUCUUCCUCCUCUGCCAGGAGGACGAACAGAGGCGAGGCGUGGCGCGCGCCCGAGAGGCCUCGGCCACCUCCUGCUUCCCCCUGGCCACCUCCUGCCUGGUUGCCUCCCUCCUCGACGCCCGGAGACGCCACGCGCCUCCCCGACCCCCUCCCACUUCUCCCUCGCUCUCUGGACCUCCCUCCCCCUUGCUCCCCCUCGCUCCUCUGCUCCCCCUCCCGCGACCGAAUGGAGCCCGACGCCGCCGACCAGCGCUCGCGUGGCCACAGCCACCGUCUCGCCUCCCCGACGCCUCCCAAAGCUCCGCUGUUCCGCCCCCGUCCUCCUCGUUGUCUCACGCGACCAGAAGGGCCCCGAGCAGCCGCCAUCGCCAUCGUCUUCAAGCUUCGGCCCCGGCGCCCUUCUCCGUCGAUUCGGCCACUCCGGCGCGCCCCCGAGCCCACUAACCCUCCCUGCAGCUUCGCGGUGAGCCGCUGACCCAUUUCCCUCUUCUUCCCAUGCCGUUUGGCCGCUCUAGCCAUUGCUUCCGCCGGAUCCGAGAGCUCGCCGCCGCCGUGCCUCGUCACCGUCGUGGCCAGAGCCACCGUGGCUCAAAGCCGGGCACACCACCGUGCUCCAAACCUCACCAGGAGCACGUAGAACCCACCAGCUUCCCCUCCCGAGCACCACAACGCCAAACCCGCAGGUGCCCGAACUCCGGCCGCCGCCUUGGAGCUCGCCGCCGUCGACUCAGGCCACCCCAGCUCCUCCCGUUCACUCCAUUAGAUGCGCUGCUUUGCCAGCUAGCCGUAGCCGCAAACCACGAGUCAAACGGUGCCCUGUAGCGCAAACCCGACGCGGACGCCGCCGCGAUCUGAGGUUGCCGGCGGUUAAACGCCGACAGCUGACGUGGCGCUGAUUUAGUUAGCACUAAUGACCACGCUAAACACCCCCCACAGCCACUGACAGUGGGCCCCACCCCUGGUCAAACCCCAGUCAGCGCUGGGUUUGACCGGGAUUAGUUCCUGUGUCACUGACGUGUGCCCCCACACGUCAGGUUUGACCUGGGGCGCCCAGUUGACCCUGCUGACGUCACUGUGACGUGGUGCUGACGCCAUAAUCAUUUCUGGAUUUAAUAUUAUUCAGGAAAUUCCAGAAAAUGCCUAAAACUUCUAAAAAUCAUAGAAAAUUAACCGUAACUCCAAAUUAAAUAAAUUAUAUAUGAAAAAUUAUCAGAAAAAUUCAAGGAAUCCAUCUGUACCAUUUUCAUGCAUGUCAGAACAACUUAUAGCUGCUGUUUAGCACAAAUCAAUUAAAUGGCAUUUGAAUAAUCACAUAUGGAGUUUGAAUUUGAAUAUUAUAUUCAAACCAACUUCAUUUAAUCUGUUGCUAGUUGCAUUAGAUCAAAACACAUUCAUAUUGCCAUGUCAUGAGCAUGCAUCAUAUUGUGCAUUGCAUUGAUUGUGUUCCUUUCUGUGUUGCCGGUAUUUGUCCCCUCUCGAUAGACGUGAUACCGAUGAUGUGAUCGUUGACACUGAUGAAGACUCAAUGUUAUCUUCAGAAGUGCCAGGCAAGCAAACCCCCUUGUUCAUUCCGAUAAAAUCCCACUCUCUCGCUCCUGCUCUCUUUUACUGCAUUAGGACAACAUCGAUUCAUCUGUUACUUGCUGCAGUAGCUGAACCUCUUUGUCCUUUGCAUGACCUGUCAUUGCCACAGUAAAUAGAUGAAACCCACUAGCAUGAGUAGGAGUUGUUUGAGCCCUGUUGUGCCUACUCAUUCAUGCUUGUUUGUCAUGCCUGCUACUGCUUAGAGUCGAGUCAGGUCUGAUUCAUCCGGGAUGAAUUAGAGGUGUGUGAACAUGUCCUACGGUGUGUGAGCUAAGCGUGUGAACACGAAUUGGUAAAGGUAGCGGUGAGAGGCCAUGUAGGAGUACAUGGUGGGUUGUCUCAUUGCAGCCGUCCUCAGGAACUGAGUUCUGUGUUUGUGAUCCAUGAUUCAGCUACUACCACGCAUUGGGCCCGAAACCAAUGGACCCUCUCGGCUUCUUGAUCACCCUUGUCCUCUGUCCAGGAGUUGCAAGUAGUUUCUGGUGUUUGUAGUAUGCUGGAGGCCGUGGGCAGCGCUGACCGUAGGGGUGGGCUGUGAUGCAGUAGGCACGUGGCACGGUGUACCGGGCGCCCGUUUGGUGUCUCGGGAACCCUGUUCACAUCGUUUGGGGCUGUGAGCGAAACUCCGGCCGGAUCUCCUCAUGGAUGGAACCCGAAUAGGCGAUAAACCUGGACUAGAGACUUGAGUGUUUAGGCAGGCCGUGGCCGACACCCACGUUGGGCUUCCGCUUGAAGGUUGCCGAGUACAUGUCGUGUAAACGGCGGUAAGUGGUGGGAGCGUGGGUGAAGAAGUACACCCCUGCAGGGUUAACAUCAUCUAUUCGAAUAGCCGUGUCCGCGGAAAAGGACUUCUGGGUUGCUUAUAUCAGUUCAUAGACAAGGGAAAGUGGAUACUCUAAAAUACGCAAGAUAAGCGUGAGUGCUAUGGACGGCGUUCUCGUAGGGAGACGGGAGCGGAUCCAUAGUGGUGUAUUGAUAUGGUGAAUAUGUGGACUCGUGUGCGCCACCUGAAGAGUUACUUGCAAUCAUAGUUUAGGUUAGCCACUGAGUCAAAGCUGGCUUGCUGCAGUUAAACUCCACCAUCCCCUUUGUUGAUAAUGAUGCAUAUGUAGUUAGCUCUGAUGUAAGUCUUGCUGGGUACAUUUGUACUCACGUUUGCCUAUUUUAUGUUUUGCAGAGAGACUUCGGUCUCGCUAGUAGUUCCGCGUGGACUUCGACGUUUAGCUUGAUACCUCAGCUAUGAUCUUGUGCCCUCGGCAGGAUCUGAUAGAUAGUCAGGCUUCUCAGCCUUUUUCAUUUAUAGAUGUCUGUACUCAGACAUGAUAGCUUCCGCUUGUGCUUUGACUUGUAUGCUCUGAUUGUUGGGUCAUGAGACCCAUGUUUGUAAUAUCUCGCUCCUCGGAGCCUAAUGAAUAAAUUACUUGAGUCGUAGAGUCAUGUUGUGAUGCCAUGUUGUAUUUGCACAUAUCGAGCAUACUGUGUGUAUGUUAUUGAAAUGCUUGGUAUGUGUGGGAUCUGACCAUCUAGUUGUUUAUCUUUAGUAGCCUCUCUUACCGGGAAAUGUCUCCUAGUGUUUCCACCGAGCCAUGGUAGCUUGUUACUGCUCCGGAACACUUAGGCUGGCCGGCAUGUGUCCUUCUUCGUUCCUGUGUCUGUCCCUUCAGGGAAAUGUCACGCGAUGAAUACCGGAGUCCUGUUAGCCCGCUACACCCCGGUUCACCGGAGUCCUGCUAGCCCAGUGCUACAGCCUGGAUUCACUCGCUGAUGACCGACACGUUCGAUGCUGGGUCAUGGAUGCCUGUCCCUGUAAGUUUGUGCCACUUUGGGUUUACAACUAGCCAUGUCAGCCCGGGCUCUUUAUCAUAUAGAUGAUAGCGACACUGUCAUAUACGUGUGCCAAAAGGCGCAAACGGUCCCGGGUAAAGGUAAGGCGACACCCGUGGGAAUACCGUGCGUGAGGCCGCAAAGUGAUAUGAGGUGUUACAUGCUAGAUCGAUGUGGCAUCGAGUCGGGGUCCUGACAUGCUCGAACUGCGAAAAGAGCAGAAAAACAUCUGGGGGCAGGUAAAUAAAUAGGUAAGAAAUCAUCUUUUAGUUCACCGACCGAGUAUUCCCUUAAGAACGCUAGCUUUCGGCUUCACCCAGUCUGAGGUACACAUCCGGCUGACCCGGCAGUAACAAUCGCAGAGGUGCUCCCUUUACCACCUAGCCGAACAAUCGGGAACAUAGGGGUAAGCACAGGAGCCAGGCAACCCAGCAUGGCCAAAGCUUAAGUCAUAUCGAUGCAUAUAAUGGUGAAUCGGAAGUGUGACACAUGUGUUGGGCAUAAAGCCCGUAUUAAUAAGCUUCUGUUAAAGAAGCCCCCAGGUAUAAUGAGCGCGGGUUGCGCGUCAAGUGUGUGCGAACAAAGUUUCGACAAGGAAAAUUUUUACAAGCAAUUUUCUUACAAAAAAGUAUAAUUCUUGGUCGAACCGAACACAAGUUAGAAAUUUAAAACUUUGAGCAUGAAGGAAACUUAGCUGGUUAAUGUGUUCGGUAUUGACGAAGUGGUCCGAGCUUGAUGCGGGACAAGGUUCCAUCCCCCAAGCUGGUCCCGAGGUGGCGGAGCAAGGAGCUCGGCACUCCGAAGAGGUGACAUAGCACGGUCAAUGCAGGACGGCAGAGUGAUGCCGAAGUCCCCGACAUGGGGUAAUGAAGUGUUGACAAAGCCCCCCGUCUAGCCGAGGUGACGUCAAAGGAUAUAGUCCGGCUGAAUCAUUUUCCUGUGCACAAAAAAUAGUACAGACCGGGGAUAAUAGUAAUAAUAGGAAUUAAAAAAUGUUGCAUAAUAAAUAAUUUAUGCAAAGUGAGUAGUAAAAGAAAUAUGGCAUGGCGCCGAAGUCGAUGUCGAUGCAGGUCGUCAGCGUAAUGCAAUAAAGGCGUGGCAAAGCCUGGAUUCACAGGUCGGACCGAGUUCCGGAUGCGGCGUUCGCCGGACUGUGUACGGAAACUGACCGAACCAUCAUGCGACCGUCGAUAAUGCGGCCACCAUUUGAUAGCCCUGUGUACAUAUGCUGGACUAACAAGAGUAAUAAUUCCUUGGGAAAAAUUUAACCCAAACAAGCAAAAAGAAAUACUAGGAUUAAUAACACCUGGUUUAUUUGUUGUAGCAAUCCGAAGGAAGGUGAUUCCCAAAAUUGGGACUCUAUCCGCGCACCCAUGCCUGGUCGGCUAGUGACGCCGAAGUGUCCGGAGUAGGUUGAUGAAGAGAUGGCGAAGCCCCUGGUCCAGCCGAGAUGUCGAAGUAGGUCGGCGUGAUGGACACCAGCUUGAAGAAGCAAUAGUGCGGCCCUGCCGAUGCAGGUCAUGACGUGGUCGAUGUCGGCUUGAUGAAGCGACCGUGCGGGGAUGCCGGUAUGCCCGCUCCGUGUAAUCCAUGGGGCGGCGAUGUUGGUGAUGAUUUAUCCUUCGCGAUGCCGGACUCUUGUUCGGCUUGCCAAGAUGAUGAUCCGAAGAAGUUGAGCUUGGCUCAACAAAGUGACGACGUGUCUAGCGCAGGUCGACAGCCGUGGAGCAAUAUUGCCGGACUGGUUUGACUCUAGCAUGAUGUUAAAGAUCAUGUUCAAAAGAUCUUAAAGUUAGUGGGAUGUGUUCGGGAACAAAACACAAUACCCCAUACAAAAUUUCCUUCAAAAAGGAUGUCCGAAAUCCCGUUCAUAAAAAAGACGAACUCGGGUCGGAUUCGUUUUCGCGCAGAAAACAGAUCCAAAAAGUGAUGCACUAAUCGGAAGUUUCCUGGAGUUUGGACGGUUGGAUGGAGCUGAAUUUUUGGCAGGUGGUAGAUAAGGGAAUUCCGCAGCAAAUCAAUGGUUGGAUCCUCCAAAGGACAUCCGAGCUAGACGUUGGAUACCACACCCUAAACUCGUUCGGAUUCUCGUCCAGAUUCAACAGGGAUCCGGUAUAUCGGAGAUUGCCGGAGAUUCCUCCAUCGGAACUCGAUGAAAUUUUUGCAGGGUUGUUGUAGACUUGAUUCCGCAUAAUUCCAACGAAGUAAUCGUUUAGGCGACACUCGAGGAGGCGGUGACAGCGGAUACAAGUUUGUUGUCCAGAAAAACAGCACGGUCGCCUGAGGGCAAUGUUGAUGUUGAGCCCCCGAGCUCCAUGGAUGACUCCUCCAUGAUCUUGAUAGAGAUCGGAGUUGGUGUUGAUGAAGGCCUUCAUCCGAACAUGACGAUCGGAGGUAGGGUGUAGUCCUCGGUCAAGCCAAGGUGACCAGUCGAGCUGGUGACGAAGAAGCCGACGUCGCAGUCGACCUAAAGUCGAGCCAUUGAUCCUUUCGCCGAUCACACAGCGGAACUCUCAAUGAAAGCACCAAUGUCGGUGUCAAAACCGGCGGAUCUCGGGUAGGGGGUCCCAAGAAGUGCGUCUUAGGAUCAAUGGUAACAGGAGGCAAGGGACACAAUGUUUACCCAGGUUCGGGCCCUCUCAAUGGAGGUAAAACCCUACGUCCUGCUUGAUUGAUAUUGAUGAUGUGGGUAUUACAAGAGUUGAUCUACCACGAGAUCAGAGAGGCUAAACCCUAGAAGCUAGCCUAUGGUAUGAUUGUUGUUGUAUAUGUCUAUCGACUAGCCUGGCCCCGGUUUAUAUAAUGCACCAGAGGCCUAGGAUAACAAGAGUCCUAGGCGAAUACGCCGGUGUGGGAGGAGUCCUUGUCUUGAUCGCCAAGUCUUGUUGAUUCUUCCUUGUAUGCGGCAGCUGUCCGGACCGGCCCAUGAGUAUACGGUCAUGGGGGUCCUCGGCCCAAUCCAACUGAUUGGGAGACGACGCGUUGAGUACCCCCUAGUCCAGGACACCGUCAAAGGGCAAUGCUACUAUCCUUAUACCACACUUUUACUUCAAAGUAGCACCAUGAUCUUCAUGAUACAGAGUCUCCUAUAUUGUCACUUUCAUAUACUAGUGGUAAUUUUUUAUUAUAGAACUUGGCUUGUAUAUUCCAAUGAUGGGCUUCCUCAAAAGUGCCCUAGGUCUUCGUGAGCAAGCAAGUUGGAUGCACACCCACUUAGUCUUCCUGUUGAGCUUUCAUACACUUAUAGCUCUAGUUCAUCCGUUUCAUGGCAAUCCUUACUCUAUCACAUUGAUAUCUAUUAAUGGACAUCUCCAUAGCCCGGUGAUACGCCUAGUUGAUGUGAGACUAACUUCUCCUUGUUGUCUUUUCCACAACCACCAUUCUAUUCCAAAUAUAGUGCUAUGCCCAUGGCUCACAAUCAUGUAUUGCGUGAAGAUUGAAAAAGUUUGAGAACAUCAAAAGUAUGAAACAAUUGUUUGGCUUGUCAUCAGGGUUAUGCAUGAUUAAAUACUUUGUGCGAUGAAGAUAGAGCAUAACCAGACUAUAUGAUUUUGUAGGGAUAACUUUCUUUGGCCAUGUUAUUUUGAGAAGACAUGAUUGCUUUGUUAGUAUGCUUGAAGUAUUAUUAUAUUAUGUCAAUAUUAAACUUUUGUUUUGAAUCUUAUGGAUCUGAAUAUUCUUGCCACAAUAGAGAAGAUUAUAUUGAUAAAUAUGUUAGGUAGCAUUUACCUACUCGAGGACGAGCAGGAAUUAAGCUUGGGGAUGCUUGAUACGUCUCCAACGUAUCUAUAAUUUUGAUGUAUUCAUGCCAUGUUUAUAAUAUUUUUACAUGCUUUUGGUAUAAUUUGGUUAGAACUAACCCAGACUGACACUGUUUUCAGCAAAACUACCAUGGUGUUGUUUUUGUGAAGAAAUAAAAGUUCUCGGAAUGCGCUGAAAAUCAACGGAAUAUAAAAAAUACUAGAACUAAGAGUUACCGGAGAGGAGGCUCGUGGGGCCCACGAAGGUGGAGGGCGCGCCCACCCCCCUGGGGCACGCCCCCUGCCUCGUGGACAGCCCGUGGGUCCCCCUGACUUGUUCUCGAUGCCAAGCCCUCCUAUAAAUACCCAAACCUCCAGAAAUAAACCUAGGCCGGGAGUUCCGCCGCCGCAAGACUCUGUAGCCACCAAAAACCUAUUGCGUGCCCAUUCCGGCACACUGCCGAAGGGGGAAUCUAUCGUCGGUGGCCAUCUUCAUCAUCCCGGCACUCUCCAUGAUGAGAAGGGAGUAGUUCACCCUCGGGGCUCAGGGUAUGUACCAGUAGCUAUGUGUUUGAUCUCUCUCUCUCUCUCUCGUGUUCUUGAUUUGGCACGAUCUUGAUGUACCACGAGCUUUGCUAUUGUAGUUGGAUCUUAUGAUGUUUCUCCCCCACUAUCUCAUGUAACGGAUUGCGUUUUCCCUUUGAAGUUAUCAUAUCGGAUUGAGUGUUUAAGGAUUUGAGAACACUUUAUGUAUGUCUUGUGUGGGAUACCCAUGGUGACCAUGGGGUAUUCUAUUUAUUCACUCGAUGUCUGUUUUGGUGAUCAACUUGCGGGUUCCGUGACCUUGGGAAUCUAUGCAUAGGGGUUGGCACACGUUUUCGUCUUAACUCUCCAGUAGAAACUUUGGGGCACUCUUUGAAGUACUUUGUGCUGGUUUGAAUAAAUGAAUCUGAGAUUGUGUGAUGCAUAUCGUAUAAUCAUACCCAUAGAUACUUGAGGUAACAUUAGGAUUUUGGUUGAUGUGUGUCUUAAGGUGUUAUUUUACUACGAACUCUAGGGCUGUUUGUGACACUUAUAAGAAUAGCCCAAUGGAUUGAUCGGAAAGAAUAACUUUGAGGUGGUUUCGUACCCUACAAUAAUCUCUUCAUUUGUUUUCUGCUAUUAGUGACUUUGGAGUGACUCUUUGUUGCAUGUUGAGGGAUAGUUAUAUGAUCCAAUUAUGUGAUUGUUGUUGAGAGAACUUGCACUAGUGAAUGUAUGAACCCUAGGCCUUGUUUUUUAGCAUUGCAAUACUGUUUACGCUCACUUUUAGCACUUGUUACCUUGCUCUUUUUAUAAUUUCAGAUUACAAAAACCUAUAUCUACCAUCCAUAUUGCACUUGUAUCACCAUCUCUUCACCGAACUAGUGCACCUAUACAAUUUACCAUUGUAUUGGGUGUGUUGGGGACACAAGAGACUCUUUGUUAUUUGGUUGCAUGGUUGUUUGAGAGAGACCAUCUUCAUCCUACGGCUCCCACGGAUUGAUAAACCUUAGGUCAUCCACUUGAGGGCAAUUUUCUACUGUCAUACAAACCUCUGCACUUGGAGGCCCAACAACGUUUACAAGAAGAAGGUUGCGUAGUAGACAUCAAGCUCUUUUCUGGCGCUGUUCUUGGGGAGGUGAGUGCUUGAAAGUACAUCUUUAGAUCUUGCAGUCAAAUCUUUUUGUUUCUUGUUUUAUCACUAGUUUAUUCUAUAAAAUAAAACUACAGAAAAAAUGGAAUUGAGGUUGCCACAUAUGCUUCAUCUUUUUAAUAUCUUUCGUGAAAAUAAGGAUUGCGAUAAUUGUGCUCAAUUGCUAGAGGAAGAAUGCAUUAAAAUGUUUGGCACUAAAUUUUUGAACGAUGAGCAUGGUUGCAAUGUUGUUAGUAUGAAUUCCUUGAAUAUCCAUGAUGCUAAUGAUAUGCAAAGACACAACCUUGGGGAAGCUAUGUUUGAUGAAGAUGAUAUUUUUAGUCCCCCAAGUUUUGAUGAGAAAAUAUAUUAUGAUGAUAGAAUGCCUCCUAUCUAUGAUGAUUAUUGUGAUGACAUUUAUGCUAUCAAGAGCAAUGAUGUCCAUGAAACUUUUCAUCAUGAUUUUAAUGCUCAAAUUGAUUAUGUGAAUAAAGUAUCACAUGAUAGUUAUUUUGUUGAGUUUGCUCCCACUACUAUUCAUGAGAAUAAAUUUUCUUAUGUGGAGAGUAGUAAAAAUUCUAUGCUUGUGCAUGAUGAAAAGAGUGCUUUAUGUGAUAGUUAUAUUAUUGAAUUCAUUCAUGAUGCUACUAAAAAUUAUUAUGAGGGAGGAAUAUAUGCUUGUAGGAAUUACAAUAAUAUCAAGUUUCCUCUCUAUGUGUUGAAAAUCUUGAAGUUAUGCUUGUUUUGCCUUCCUAUGCUAGAUGAUUCUUGUCCCCAUAAGUUGUUUGCUCACAAAGUCCCUAUGCAUAGGAAGUGUGUUAGACUUAAAUGUGCUAUUCAUAUUCUUCAUGAUGCACCUAUUAUGUUUCAAUUCUUAUCUUUUGUAUGAGCAUCAUUGAAAUGAUCGUGCCUAGCUAAAAGACAAUAAAAAAAAGCGCUUGUUGGGAGACAACCCAAUAUUUAACCUUAAUGUUUUUGUGUGUUCACAUGAUUAAGCUACUGUAUUAAACAUGUUUUAUAGCUUUUGUUUCAAUAAAGUGCCAAGUAGAACCUUCGGGAAGACUUGGGUGAAAGAUAAUGCGAUCUUGCUGUAAAAAACAGAAACUUUGCGCUCACGAGAAUAAUUGUCAUUUUUAACAGAAGAGUGAUUUUAAGUUGAUUAUUUUUUAAUAAGAUUAAUAGACAAAUUAUUCACGUCCACCAAUUUAUUUCAAAAAUUUUGGAGUUACAUAAGUAUUCGGGAGUUAUAGAUUACUACACACUGUUCUAUUUUUGACAGAUUCUGUUUUUCUAUGUGUUGAUUGCUUAUUUUGAUGAAUCUAUGAGUAGUAUCGGAGGGUAUGAACCAUAGAGAAGUUGGAAUACAUUAGAUAUUACACCAAUAUGAAUUUAGAAUGAGUUCACAACAGUACAUAAGUGGUGAUUUAUUUUCUUAUACUAACAAAGCUUAUGAGUUUUCUGUUGAGUUUUGUGUUGUGAAGUUUUCAAGUUUUGGGGAAAGAUUCGAUGGACUAUGGAAUAAGGAGUGGCAAGAAACUAAGCAUGGGGAUGACCAAGGCACCCCAAGGUAAUAUUCAGGGACAACCAAGAGCCUAAGCUUUGGGAUGCCCCGGAAGGCAUCCCCUCUUUCGUCUUCGUUCAUCGGUAACUUUACUUGGAGCUAUAUUUUUAUUCACCACAUGAUAUGUGUUUUGGUUGGAGCGUCAAUUUUUUUUCUUGGUGUUUGAAUAAUAUCCCAAGAUCUGAAAUUCUUAAAUGUUAGAAGUCUUCACAUAGUUACAUAAUUAUUCAACUACUCAUUGAUCUUCACUUAUAUCUUUUGGAGUAGUUUGUCAUUUGCUUUAGUGCUUCACUUAUAUCUUUUUAGAGCAAGACGGUGGUUUUAUUUUGAAGAAAUUGUUGAAAUAUCAUGAUUUAGUUAUAUUAUUUUGAGAGUCUUAAACAGCAUGGUAAUUUUCUUAGGUUAUGAAUUUAGUCCUAAUAUGAUGGGCAUCCAAGUGGGAUAUAAUAAAAACUUUCAUAUAAAGUGCAUUGAAUACUAUGAGAAGUUUGAUUCUUUAUGAUUGUUUUGAGAUAUGAAGAUAGUGAUAUUAGAGUCAUGCUAGUGGAGUAGUUGAGAAUUUGAGAGAUACUUGUGUUAUAGUUUGUGAUUCCCAUAUCAUGCACAUAUGGUGAACCGUUAUGUGAUGAAGUCGGAGCAUGAUUUAUUUAUUGAUUGUCUUCCUUAUGAGUGGCGGUCGGGGACGAGCGAUGGUAUUUUCCUACCAAUAUAUCCCCCUAGGAGCAUGCAUGUAGUACUUUGUUUCGAUAACUAAUAGAUUUUUGCAAAAAAUAUGUGAGUUUUGUAUGACUAGUGUUGAGUCCAUAGAUUAUACGCACUCUCACCCUUCCACCAUUGCUAGCCUCUCUAGUACCGCGCAAAUUUCGCCGGUACCAUAAACCCACCACAUACCUUCCUCAAAACAGCCACCAUACCUACCUAUUAUGGCAUUUCCAUAGCCAUUCCGAGAUAUAUUUCCAUGCAAAUUUCCACCGUUCUGUUUAUUAUCACAUGCUCCAUGAUUGUCAUAUUGCCUUGCAUGAUCAUGUAGUUGACAUCGUAUUUGUGGCAAAGCCACCGUUCAUAAUUUUUCAUACAUGUCACUCUUGAAUCAUUGCAUAUCCCGAUACACCACCGGAGGCAUUCACAUAGAGUCAUAUUGAGUUCUAAGUAUCGAGUUGUAAUUCUUGAGUUUUAAGUAAAUGAAAGUGUGAUGAUCUUCAUUAUUAGAGCAUUGUCCCAGUGAGGAAAGGAUGCUGGAGACUAUGAUGCCCCCACAAGUCGGGAUGAGCCUCCGGACUAAAAAAAAGUGGCCAUAAAAAAGAAAAAAAAGAAAAAAAAUUCCCAAAUAAAAAGAUGAGAGAAAAUGAGAGAAAGGGCAAUUCUACUAUCCUUUUACCACACUUUCACUUCAAAGUAGCACCAUGAUCUUCAUCAUACAUCGUCUCCUAUGUUGUCACUUUCAUAUACUUGUGGGAAUUUUUCAUUAUAGAACUUGGCUUGUAUAUUCCAACGAUGGGCUUCCUCAAAAGUGCCCUAGGUCUUCGUGAGCAAGCAAGUUGGAUGCAACACACUUAGUCUUCUUGUUGAGCUUUCAUACACUUAUAUCUCUAGUGCAUCCGUUGCAUGGCAAUCCCUACGCACUCACAUUCAUAUCUAUUGAUGGACAUCUCCAUAGCCCGUUGAUACGCCUAGUUGAUGUGAGACUAUCUUCUCCUUGUUGUCUUCUCAAACACCACCAUUCUAUUCCACAUAUAGUGCUAUGUCCAUGGAUCACGCUCAUGUAUUGUGUGAAGAUUGAAAAAGUUUGAGAACAUCAAAAGUAUGAAACAAUUGCUUGGCUUGUCAUCGGGGUUAUGCAUGAUUAAAUACUUUGUGUGAUGAAGAUAGAGCAUAACCAGACUAUAUGAUUUUGUAGGGAUAACUUUCUUUGGCCAUGUUAUUUUGAGAAGACAUGAUUGCUUUGUUAGUAUGCUUGAAGUAUUAUUAUUUUAUGUCAAUAUUAAAUUUUUGUUUUGAAUCUUAUGGAUCUGAAUAUUCUUGCCACAAUAGAGAAGAUUACAUUGAUAAAUAUGUCAGGUAGCAUUCCACAUCAAAAUUUCUGUUUUUAUGAUUUACCUACUCAAGGACGAGCAGGAAUUAAGCUUGGGGAUGCUUGAUACGUCUCCAACGUAUCUAUAAUUUUGAUGUAUUCAUGCCAUGUUUAUAAUAUUUUUACAUGCUUUUGGUAUGAUUUUGUUAGAACUAACCCGGACUGACGCUGUUUUCAGUAGAACUACCGUGGUGUUGUUUUUGUGCAGAAAUAAAAGUUCUCAGAAUGCGCUGAAAAUCAGCGGAGAUUUUUUCUAGAAAAUAUAAAAAAUACUGGAAUUAAGAGUUACCGAAGAGGAGGCUCGUGGGGCCCAUGAUGGUGGAGGGCGCGCCCACCCCCCUGGGGCGCGCCCCCUACCUCAUAGACACCCCGUGGGUCCCCCUGACUUGUUCUCGACGCCAAACCCUCCUAUAAAUACCCAAACCUCUAGAAAUAAACCUAGGUCGGGAGUUCCGUCGCCGCAAGACUCUGUAGCCACCAAAAACCUCUUGGGAGCCCAUUCUGGCACCCUGUCGGAGGGGGAAUCCGUUACCGGUGGCCAUCUUCAUCAUCCCGGUGCUCUCCAUGACGAGGAGGGAGUAGUUAAUCCUCGGGGCUCAGGGUAUGUACCAGUAGCUAUGUGUUUGAUCUCUCUUUCUCUCUCUCUCGUGUUCUUUACUGGGCACGAUCUUUAUGUACUGCGAGCUUUGCUAUUGUAGUUGGAUCUUAUGAUGUUUCUCCCCCUCUAUUUCUUGUAAUGCAUUCAUCUUUCCUUUUGAAGUUAUCUUAUCGGAUUGAGUCUUUAAGGAUUUGAGAACACUUUUUGUAUGUCUUGCGUGGGAUACCCGUGGUGACAAUAGGGUAUUCUAUUGAUUCACUUGAUGUAUGUUUUGGUGAUCAACUUGCAGGUUCCAUGACCUUGGGAAUCUAUGCAUAGGGGUUGACACAUGUUUUCGUAUUGACUCUCCGGUAGAAACUUUGGGGCACUCUUUGAAGUACUUUGUGUUGGUUUGAAUAGAUGAAUCUGAGAUUGUGUGAUGCAUAUCGUAUAAUCAUACCCACGGAUAUUUGAGGUGACAUUAAAGUAUCUAGGUGACAUUAGGGUUUUGGUUGAUGUGUGUCUUAAGGUGUUAUUUUACUACAAACUCUAGGGCUGUUUGUGACACUUAUAGGAAUAGCCCAAUGGAUUGAUCAGAAAGAAUAACUUUGAGGUGGUUUCGUACCCUACAAUAAUCUCUUCGUUUGUUCUCCGCUAUUAGUGACUUUGGAGUGACUCUUUGUUGCAUGUUGAGGGAUAGUUAUAUGAUCCAAUUAUGUUAUUAUUGUCGAGAGAACUUGCACUAGUGAAAGUAUGAACCCUUGGCCUUGUUUCCUAGCCUUUGUUGGAAAAGGCAGUGCCUAGGAGGCGCUUAGGCAUGCCUAGGCGCUAGGCAAUAACCAAACGCCUUGCCUAGGGCAUAAAUGGAGAUCUAGGCACGACAAGGAAGGAAUUGCCUACCCAAGCAAAAAAUCAUUCCACAUACUGCACAGAUAUGCCAAACGGGUUAUAUUACAAUGGCAGUAGAUAGUAAUUAACUUAUUUAUAUGUCCUAAACUAAUAUCAACACCCACAUAAUAAUCAUAAAUACACUAUGAAUAAAAACUAUAUUACCGCCUAGGUCACGCCUAGGGCGCUUAGGCACCGCCUAGGCACAAGGCGAAGGCCAACCGCCUCGCUUACGCCUACCGCUUUUUCCAACCUCCUAGCAUUGCAAUACUGUUUAGGCUCACUUUUACCACUUGUUACCUUGCUGUUUUUAUAAUUUCAGAUUACAAAAACCUAUAUCUACCAUCCAUAUUGCACUUGUAUCACCAUCUCUUCACCGAACUAGUGCACCUAUACAAUUUACCAUUGUAUUGGGUGUGUUGGGGACACAAGAGACUCUUUGUUAUUAGGUUGCAGGGUUGUUUGAGAGAGACCAUCUACAUUCUAUGCCUCCCACGGAUUGAUAAACCUUAGGUUAUCCACUUGACAGAAAUUUGCUACUUUCAUACAAACCUCUGCACUUGGAGGCCCAACAACGUCUACAAGAAGAAGGUUGCUUAGUAGACAUCACACACCAUAAAAAAUGGAGACUGGAGCUCUAGAUAAAAUAUGGAUGACUGAAAGGAACCGGUGAACAUGACUAAAACACACCAUAAAAUAGAAAAGAAUUACCAAAUGAUGGACUAUGUUACCGGUCAAAUAGAGCAAACAUCUUAAUAUGGCCAUGUAUAAACCGAGAAACUCAGGGCUUGGGUUAUUGCAUUAUUUUUACCAUGUGGGUCGCUCCUGAAUUUCCAUGUAAUUGAUGUCCAGAGUCAAAUCACAUGAUAAGGAUAAAACAUGAGCAGUAUCCUAGUCGUAAUAAAAACAUGACCCCAGACUUGCAACUGGCUGUGACUAUACAAACUAAAAAAGGGAAAAGGGCCCGAGUUGCAAGUCAAAUGUUGGCUUGCAACUGGGCCCCACUCUUGUAUUGUGAAUCCAUGGUCAACUUUAAAUUAGUGUGCUUAUAUAAACUAAAAAACACAAAUGCCCCCCCUGAGCUGCGGGUACGGGGUCAACUUGCAACUAGGGUGCCUGUACACACUACAAAAAACAUGAAAAGGCCCUAGAGUUGCAAGUCUAGGAUCAACUUGCAACUAGUCACGACUAUACAACUAUAAAGGGAAAGGGGCCUAGUUACAAGUCGAAUGUUGAUUUGCAACUGGGCCCCACUCCCCGAGUUGCGAGGCCGGGGUCAACUUUGAAAAUAGGGUGCUUAUACAAACUACGAAAAUCAUAAAUGGCCCCGUGGGUUGCGUGUUCAGGGUCAACAUGCAACUAGGGUGUCUAUACACACUACAAAAACAUAAAAAUAGCCCAGAAAUUGCAAGUCUAGGGUCAACUUGCAACUUUUCAUGACUAUACAACUAUAAAAGGGAAAAAGGCCCAGUUGCAAGUUGAUAGUUGAUUUGCAACUGGGCCCCGCUCCCUAAUUUGUGAGUCUAAGGUCAACUUUAAACUAGGGUUAUUAUACAAACUACAAAAAACAUAUAUGCCCCCCCUGAGUUGUGAUUUCGGUGUCAACUUGCAACUAGUCACGGCUAUAUACAACUAUGAAGGGAAAAGGGUGGACUUGCAACUAGGGCAACUCCCUAGAGUUGCAAGUCAGGGAUCACCUUGCAACUAGUCACGACUAUACAAUUAUAAAGAGAAAGGGGCCCAGUUGCAAGUCGAAUGUUGAUUUACAACUGGGCCCCACUUCCCGAGUUGCGAGUCCAGGGUUAACUUGAAACUAGGGUGCUUAUACAAACUACUAAAAACAUAAAUGCCCCCCCCCGAGUUGCGAGUCCAGGUGAUGAGGAUACAUACCAGGGAUAGGGUGAUAGCCCCGACUUAUACGUCCUACCCAAGGUCACUACCCUAGAAGAUAAGAAGCUCAAGAGGCAACGAAGAACCGCCAGUGAAAGGUGUCGAGUGCAAUCCACUCGACUAAUCAUAUCACUCGGAUACCCCUCCUACUUGUUGUCACUCAACCAUACAAGGAAUCACUCGACCUACCGAAGAUCAGGGGUCACUCAGCACUGCAAAGGUCAGGCAUUCAAUCCGUAGUCUUUAAGGUCAUUAAUAGCACUUAAGACUGGCGUUAUCAGUAACGCCCCUACUUUAUGUACAUUAAGCCCCUUGUAAUGGAGGAUGGUUGGGGUCCUGGCGCGCUCUAUAUAAGCCACCCCCUCCUCUAGGACAAGGGUUGGCACCCCCUGUAACAUGACACACAUAUAAUGCAGUCGACCACCUCCGGGCACGAAGACGUAGGGCUAUUACUUCCUCCGAGAAGGGCCUGAACUCGUAAAUCUCAUGUGUACACCUUCACCAUAGCUAAGAUCUUGCCUCUCCAUACCUACCCCCCCUUCUACUGUCAGCCUUAGCACCACGAUAGUUGGCGCCCACCGUGGGGCAGGUGUCUUAGCAACUUGUUGGUGAAGUUGCAAUUUUUCCGAUCCCCAUCAUCAUGGUUUCCGGUGGAGGUUUGGCUAAGGGGCGCGAGAUCUGUCUCGGCACACUCGUUUUCAUCGGUGACGACUCCACUUGGGUUCAACAAGCUACCCUUGAUGUCGAGGCGCUCCCCGUCCGGGGGGCGACGCACUUUCGCGCGUGCAUUCGUGGCGUCCUUCUCCGGCAGCCGCCGACUCAGUAUCAGUCGGCUCCAAUGAUGUCGUCUCCCUCCGCUUUCGCCGCCGCAAGAAAUCCGGUCGGUCGCGGCUCCAACGGUGGGUAAAACACGCAGUGGCUCGACAUUCGGCCACCCAUCAAGUCACGGCAAUUGAGCCCGAUGAAACUCUCUAUAGCCUGUUCGAUCUAUCGACUGGCUCCAUUGAGACCGCAUCCGAGCGCGAUAGCAGCGAUCCUGCGGCUGAAGUCUUGAUGGUUGAUUGACCACAUAGUCCACCUGGUUUCCACCAUGAAGACGGCGGGGAUGGGCACGGUGAUCUGUCGCGCGUCCACGAGGAGUACCAUCCCAAACCCCUCUCUUCACAGGAGAUAGAAGAACUUCGUUGCCGCAACAUGGAUGCACUCCACACACCCAUCGUUGGAGAAACCCCUGAGUCUCGGGCCUUGGAAGCGGUGCGUUUGGCUAAUUUGGCUGAGCACACUCGACUGGAAAACCUCCAGCACGCUCUCGAAGAGCGUGCUCGGGAACGGAUUCCCGAGUCCAGUCGAUGACAGUUUUUCCCUCCUCCACCUAAGGUAUACCGCACUUCGAUUCAAAAUCUCACAGCUGCAGCCUGAAUAGCAGAGGCAAUUCAACCUUCCCAAUCAGAGGCUGGCAGAGGUUUGAUGCAGAUCCGGGCCUUACUCCGGGCAGCAGGAGAGUUGAACACAAAGGUGUCUCAGUCGCGGGAUAGGAUUCAUAGCAGAUCCGUGGUGGCAGAUACUGUCCAGUCGGCCCACAGUCCAAGAUCGCCCCUGUGGCGUGAGGGCUGUGGGCAGUACGAUCACCGACUCAUCCGCGACAACCGUCGUCGGAUGCCCACACCUCCUCCGAGGAGUACAUCAUAUGUGCCUUGGCAGUACGAUGACAAACGCCUUCAUAAUGGUGAACAUAGAGCACCAGUCGACCCAAGGGAGCCAGGCUCUGAUGCAAGAUCUAUUCUCAUUCAGGGUUUAGUUAACCGGAACAGAGCGCAGAGGGAAGACCUUGGCAGAGAUCACCCGACUGGCAACAGGGUUCAUGUUUCAGGUCCAGAGUGUUUCAGGAGAGCCAUCAGGGCCGCAGUAAUUCCCCCCAACUUCAGAUUGGCAACUGGAGUUAGCAAGUUCACUGGGGAGUCCAAUCCUGAAACUUGGCUUGAAGACUACCGAGUGGCUGUGCAGAUUGGUGGUGGGAAUGAUGAAGUGGCAAUGAAGCAUCUCCCUCUAAUGUUGGAAGGAUCAGCCAGAGCGUGGUUGACUCAAUUAGCCCCGAACAAUAUAUACAGUUGGGAAGAACAUGCUCGAGUGUUCGUCAGAACUUUUGAGGGCAGUAGCAAGCGGCCAGCGGGGUUGACAAAAUUGCAGCAUUGAAUGCAGAAACCGAGUGAGACUCUGAGGGAUUUCAUUCAGAGGUGGACCACUUUGCAUCACACAGUGGAGAAUGUAUUUGAACAUCAAGUAAUGUGUGCCUUCAAAGAAGGCGUUAAAUACCGAGAACUGGUCCUGAAGUUCGGUCGGACUGGGGAUAUGACUCUGACUCGGAUGAUGGAGAUAGCCACCAGGUACGCGAACAGAGAAGAAGAAGAUCGACUUCGCAGCGGAAAGGGCAAACUGGUCGGCCAGGACGCCGGCGGAAUCAGUUCCAGUCGGAAACAAAAACGAAAGGCCGAGCCCGCCGCACCCGGCAAAAUUGCGGCAGUGGAUCAAGGAAAGUUUAAAGGAAAACCUAAGGGACCCUAGACCCCUAAGAAGGUAAAGGACCAAGCAGGAAAUGAUGUGUUGUAUUUGUCGUGUCACAUUCACACGAAGAAGGAUAAAGAGGGUAAUCUGAUUUAUCCUAGACACACCACUCGACAGUGUCGACUCCUGAUCUAGCAGUUCCGAGAGAAUCAACCCAAUGAAAAGGGAAAAGAGACAGACAGAGACGAGGAUCAAGUAGAGGAUGAUGGUUAUCCCAAAGUCAAUUCCACCCUAAUGAUUUUUGCUGAUGUUGAGAGCAAGAGUCGAUUGAAAGUUAUCAACAAAGAAGUGAAUAUGGUCGCCCCAGCAAUGACGAGUACAUACAUGAAAUGGUCCCAAACAACCAUCACAUUCGACCAGCCUGAUCACCCUGCGCGUAUAGCCACCCCUGGGAGGCAAGCGUUGGUGGUCGACCCAGUGGUCGAAGGCACUCGACUGAUCAAAGUGCUAAUGGAUGGUGGUAGCGGCCUGAAUAUCCUUUAUGCUGAAACCUUGAAGGGGAUGGGCAUUCCGAUGUCCAAACUUAGCGAGAGCAAUAUGAGUUUCCAUGGCGUUAUCCCUGGAAAGAAAGCCGAUCUCUCAGCCAGAUCGCCCUUGACGUGGUUUUCGGUGAUUCCAAGAAUUACCGUAAGGAAAAGUUGACAUUUGAAGUUGUGGAUUUCCAAAGUCCUUAUCAUGCCAUUCUAGGUAGGCCUGCCUACACACGUUUUAUGGCUCGACCAUGUUACAUGUACCUCAAGUUGAAGAUGCCUGGUCCUAGAGGUGAGAUCACAAUUACUGGCAAUCGGCAAAAGGCGGAGGAAUUCUUCCAGAAGGGUUCCAAAAUUGCCGAUGCGCAAAAGGCAACAGUUGAAUUUCAAGAAUAUCAGAAGAAUGCAGAUCUGAGCGAUUUACUCCAAACUAAGAUACCUGCCACAGAUUCUGCAUUUCAGUCGUCCGGUGAAAUGAAACCGAUUCAUAUUCACCCAACCUAUUCCAAUGCCGCACCGACUCAUAUCUCAACAGCACUCGACAGCAAAUAGGAAGAAGCGCUCAUCCAGUUCCUCCGUGAGAACUGGGACAUCUUCACAUGGAAACCUUCUGACAUGCCGGGUGUACCCAGGGGACUUGCUGAGCACCGUUUGCGCGUCGAUCCCAAGAUAAAACCCGUCCAAGAGCAUCUUCGGCGGUCCGUCGUAUAGAAGAGAAAGGCAAUUGGUGAGGAAGUGGCUCGGCUCCUAGCAGAAGAGUUCAUCCGAGAGAUCUGCCACUCCGAGUGGCUUGCCAAUGUGGUCAUGGUUCCUAAGAAGUAUGAUUCACUCCUUAUGUGCAUCGAUUUCUAGCAUAUCAAUCAGGCCUGCCCUAAAGAUCAUUCCCUCUCCCCCGCAUCGAUCAAAUUGUUGACUCGACCGUGGGGUACGAGCGCUUGUCUUUUUUAGAUGCAUAUUCCGAGUAUCAUAAGAUCCGACUGUAUGGUCCCGAUGAAAUAAAAAUGGCUUUCAUCACCCCAUUUAGGUGCUUUUGCUAUGUCACCAUGCCAUUUGGUCUUAAAAAUGCCGGAGCCACAUUCAUGAGAAUGAUUCAGAAGUUCCUGCUCACUCAAAUCAGUCGGAAUGUGGAAGCGUACAUGGAUGACAUUGUGGUCAAGUCACAUAAAGGUUCCGACAUACUGAUUGACCUCACAGAAACCUUUGCCAAUCUAAGAAGGUAUGAUAUCAAGCUUAAUCCAUCAAAGUGCACAUUCGGAGUUCAAGGUGGGAAGUUACUUGGUUUCCUCGUUUCCUAAUGAGGGAUCGACGCAAAUCCAGAAAAAGUUGAUGCCAUCCUCCGAAUGAAUUGCCCUGGGUGUGUGCAUGACGUUCAGAAGCUUACUGGUUGUUUGUCCGCCUUGAGUCGAUUCAUUUCUCAUAAAAGGCCUUACCUCUUUACCGAUUGAUGAAGAAAUCUGAUAAGUUCGAGUGGACUGAGGAAGCUGACGCAGCGUUUGCAGAGCUCAAAGCCCUGCUUUCCACCCAGCCGGUGCUUGCUGCUCUAAUUAGCAAAGAGCCUUUACUGCUUUAUAUUGCAGCCAUUGGAAAAGUUGUCAGUACAGUACUCAUGGUCGAGCGGGAAGAAGAAGGAAAGGCUUACAAAGUUCAACGCCCAGUAUAUUAUCUCUCUAAAGUUUUGACUCCAUCCAAGCAACGAUAUCCACCUUAUCAGAAGCUUGUCUAUGGAAUCUACAUGACCAUGAACAAGGUUGCACACUAUUUCUCUAACCACUCCAUUACAGUCAUCAGAAACGCACCAUUAUCUGAAAUUCUGAACAAUAGAGAUGCAACUGGUCGAAUGACAAAAUGGGCGAUUGAACUCCUUCCAUUGGAUAUCAAGUUUGAGGCAAAGAAAGCUAUCAAGUCCCAAGCAAUCGCGGAUUUCCUUGCGGAGUGGAUUGAGAAGCAACAGCCAACUCAAGUUCACUCGAAGCAUUGGACCAUGUUCUUCGAUGGAUCCAAGAUGCUGAACGGUUCCGGUGCUGGGGUAGUGUUGGUAUCCCCCUGUGCGGACAAGCUUAACUAUGUUCUCCAAAAUCAUUUUGACUCUUACAACAAUGAAGCUGAAUAUGAAGCACUUUUGUACGGGUUACAUAUGGCCAUUUCAGUCUACGUCCGUCGCCUUAUGGUCUACGGUGACUCGGAUUUGGUGGUUAAUCAAGUGAUGAAGGAAUGGGAUGUCAGGAGCCCAGCCAUGACUGGUUAUUGCAAUGCAGUAAGAAAGAUGGAAAAUAAGUUUUAGUGGUUGGAGCUACCCCGACUGAAAAAUCAAGCUGCAGAUGAAUUGGCAGAGAUAGGAUCCAAGAGAGAGACCAUCCCUAGCAAUUUGUUUUUGGAACAUAUUCACUCGCCUUCAGUUUAGGAAGAUCCCUUCACUUAAGAGCCCCCACAGCCUAAGAGUGCCAUAGAUCCGACUGAAGUCGAAGUCCCAGCCGUGGUCGACUUGAUCAUGGAGGUUUUGGUCAUCACUCCUGACUGGACAGUACCAUACAUUGCAUACAUUCUUAGGAAAGAACUUCCAGAAGAUGAAGAAGAGGCUCGACAGAUCGUCCGAGGAUCCAAAGCCUUUACGGUGAUAAGAGGACAGUUGUUCACAGAAAGUGUAACUGGAGUCAGCCAGAAAUGCAUCACACCAGAAGAAGGCCGAAUGAUCUUCAAUGAUAUUCACUUGGGGACCUGUGGUCACCAUGUGUCCUCUCGGACCAUCGUGGCCAAAGCAUACCGGGCCGGAUUUUACUGGCCGCAUGCAAACGAGAUGGCGAAUGAAAUAGUAGACAAAUGUAAAUGUUGUCAGUUUUACUCCAACAUGUCCCAUAAGCCUGCAUCAGCUCUGAAGACUAUUCCACUCGUCUGGCCUUUCGCUGUCUGGGGAUUGGACAAGGUUGGACCUCUGAGGACCGGUAGGAGUGGGUUUACCCAUGUGCUAGUAGCAGUCGACAAAUUUACCAAAUGGAUCGAAGCCAAGCCCAUUAAAAACCUUGUAGCGAGUACGGCUGUGAGUUUCAUUAGAGAAUUAAUAUUCAGAUAUGGUGUUCUGCACAGCAUCAUCACGGAUAACGGGUCAAACUUUGAUUCUGAUGAGUUCGGAGCCUUUUGUGCUUCCCAAGGCACGAGGGUCAAUUAUGCUUCAGUAGCCCAUCCUCAGUCGAAUGGGCAGGCUGAAAGAGCGAAUGGUUUGAUUCUCAGAGGACUGAAACCCCGAUUGAUGCGUGACCUCAAGCAUGCAGCAGGUGCCUGGGUCGAUGAACUUCCAUUAGUACUUUGGGGAUUAAGGACAACUCUUAAUCAGUCUACUGGAAGAACUCCAUUCUUCUUAGUCUAUGAAGCUGAAGCCGUACUCCCGAGUGAUCUACUCCACAAUGCACCCCGAGUCGAGCUCUUCUCAGAAGUAGAAGCGGAACAGGCUCGGCAAGAUGAAGUCGAUCUCCUGGAAGAAGAAAGAGAGAUGGCCUUGAUCCGGUCGACCAUUUAUCAACAAGACCCGCGUCGAUUCCAUGCCAGAAACGUAAGGGGUCGGGCAUUACAGGAAGGAGACUUGGUUCUUCGAGUGGACCAGCAGAAACCACACAAGCUCGCUCCUGCUUGGGAGGGCCCCUUCAUCAUCACCAAAGUGCUCCACAACGGAGCAUAUCGUCUUUUCAACGUCGAGCACAAUAAAGAUGAGCCACGCGCCUGGGAUGCGGAACUGCUUCGUCCCUUUUACUCUUAAGCAUUCAGACUGUUGAGAUGUAAUAAGAAAUACCUUUUAGUUUGAUUAUCAAGGACAUGAUUUUACAGUCUUCCGAAUGAUUGUUGUUCAUUUUUUGACAUGUUCUAAAAUCCCCCAGUGGGUGCCUUAGCUGCGAAUCCAUUUCGCCUAAGUUGAAAAGAAAAAUCCUACCGAGUGGUAAGCCAGCCUCUCACUCGGGGGCUUAGCUGCGAAUCCGUUUCGCCUAAGUGUUAAAAAAAUCCUGCCGAGUGGUGAGCAAUCCUCUCACUCGGGGGCUUAGAUGUAGUCCAGCACUCGCCUAAGUGUUAAAAAAUCUUACCGACUGGUGAGCCAGCCUCUCACUCGGAGGCUUAGCUGCAGUCCAGUACUUGCCUUAGUGUUAAAAAUCCUACCGAGUGGUGAGCCAGCCUCUCACUCAGAGGCUUAGCUGCAGUCCAGUACUUGCCUAAGUUUAAAAGAUCCUACUGAAUGGUACGGGUCGACCACGACCCUUCCCCCCGGGGCUGCACUAUCAAGAAGAAGGACGAGAUUGUGCGCACUGCUUAGCUGCAGUCCAGUACUCGCCUAAGUAUAAAAAAUCCUACCAAGUGGCGAGCAAUCCUCUCACUCGGGCGCUUAGCUGCAGUCCAGUACUCGCCUAAGUAUAAAACAUCCUAUCGAGUGGCGAGCUAUCCUCUCACUCGGGGGCUUAGCUGCAGUCCAGCACUCGCCUAAGUAUAAAAAUCCUCCCGAGUGGCGAGCAGUGCUCUCACUCGGGGGCUUAGCUGCAGUCCAACACUCGCCUAAGUAUAAAAAAUCCUACAGAGUGGCGAGCAGUCCUCUCACUCGGGGGCUUAGCUACAGUCUAGUACUCGCCAAAGUAUAAAAAAUCCUACCGAGUGGCGAGCAAUCCUCUCACUCGGGGGCUUAGCUGCAGUCCAGUACUAGCCUAUGUAUAAAAAAUCCUAUCAAGUGGCGAGCAAUCCUCUCACUCGGAGGCUUGGUUGCAGCCCAGUACUCGCCUAAAUUUGAAAAACCAAGCCGAGUAGUACGAGUCGACCAUGACCCCUCCCCUCGGGUCUACACAGUCAAGAAGAAGGACGAGAUUGCAUGCAUUGCCGUGGCGAACUGACGCCAGGGCGAGCUGCUUUCAGGGAUGUCAAGACCAUUGCUGAAUGCCUCGCUGAUGAGCUAAUCAAUGCCACCAAAGGCCCAUCCAACAGCUAGCUGCUUUUAGGGACGUCAAGACCAUUGUCGAGUGCCUCGCUAAUAAGCUGAUCAAUACCGCUCAAGCCUCGUCCAAUUGGUCGAUGUGGCCUCUUCCUCGGAAGCUGCAUCGAGAGUACAAACACUAAUCCGAGUGAAGAGCAAGUCCCCGCUCAAAGACAAACACAACAUAUUCAAAGAUAAGCCAAGUUCAGAUAAAUCCAAAGGUUUCUAAUGGCGAAUUAAAAGUACUUGGGCGUCAGGCCCAAAGGAGUUUCAAUGAUUACAAAUUAACUCGGCAUUCCGAGGCAAAUAAAGGUGAAGCAUAAUGUUUUUUUGAUCACUCGACGGGAGAAGGGAUGGCUGGAUCGCAGAAGCUGUUAAGGUCAAUGCUAUCCGCAAUGUGAGUGGCAGCCUCAAGGAAGGUGUCCAUGAUGGACUGAAAAGUGUGCUUCUUAGUAUUCGCAACCUUGAGAGCCGCCUACUUGUCUUCCCUGGCAUCCUUGCAGUGCACUCGAACCAGUGACAGGGUGAUCUCAGCGCCACAGCGAGCGGAUGACUUCUUCCACUCCUGCACUUGACCAGGAAUCUGAUUGAGUCGAAUCAUCAGCGACUCGAGGUCUUGAGAAAGUUCUGCCUAAGGCCAGAGUUCAGCGUCCACCCAGGUCAUUGCAGCCUUCAAUCGAGCUAGAUAGGCAACGGUGCCGUCCAACCAUGAUUCCAACCGCAACAAGUUCAAUGCAACGUCAUCCUUCACAGGAAAAUUGAUGGGGACGAGACCUUUCUCGACCUGCCCAGUUUCAGCUUCAAAAUCCCGGCAAAGUUCGGUCCCAUCACAAAAAAUAGCGAGUCGACAAUAUUACAACAUACUUCAAUCGACGACAAUUAGCCAGUCGAGCGACUGUACCUUCAAGCUUCAGAACUAGUUUCGCGGCAAGUUGUCCUAGAUAGGACUCUAACUUGCUUGUCUUAGCUCUGAGGCCUCCAACUUCAGUGGUCAGGUUCUCCUUGUCCUUCUUCAGUUGCUCGACUUCCCGAUUGGCUUCCAAGAUGGCGGUCUUCAACUUCGCGUUCUCCUCUUCUGACUUGCCGACUGAAGCCAUCUUCUUGUCCGCAAGCGUUUUCUUCUCACGUGCUUCCUUCUGAGCAGCAGCAAGAUCCUGGUCCUUCUUCUCCAAACCUUCCUUCAUUCUCUCUAAAGAAACAACACUCUUCAGACGAGCCUGAAGUUGACGGUUUUCACUAUGCAGAUCUGCUUGUGUGAAGUCACUCAGUUCAAAGAGACUGAAAGAAAAAGCAGUGAAAGAUGCGAGCUACUAAGUGGGCAAGAGUCGAUUGGUUACCUCCCAUGAUGGUCGUCUCUUCUUGAGAAGUCUUGAGUUUCUUCUUUGCGAGUUCAAGAUCAAGUUCAACGCUGAUAUGCUUCUUCUUUAACUCGGAAAGUCGAUCUCCAAGAUCACAAGACGUCUGCAGUCAGCAAGAGCGAUAUGUCAGUCGACAGAAAUAAGAGACAAUGACAGUGAAAAGUUACUCUAAGACUACUGCCGAAUCCAAUAUUCAAUAGUAGUCUCGGGGACUACACCCAGUGGGUGUACUUAGCGUGCCCCCACUGGUUCAGAUCAACACUCAGCAGAGUCUGCCUAGCGCGAGUCAAAAAAAGAGAUAAUUCUAAGACCUUAGUCGACUGCCAGCAGUCGACCGUGCUCUCGGGGACUACACCCAGUGGGUGCACUUAGCGUGCCCCCACUGGUUUAGAUAAACAGUCGACGUGCCCACACUGGUCCGGACAGAUUACUAAGAAUCAACACGUGACGACUGAUAGGAUAUAAAACAUCAUUCAAAAAGUUCCGCCGAAGUUCGCUGACCUGAACAUUGGUCUGCAGGGCGGUGCUGGCAUUAUAAGCCACCUGACUGGCCUCGUGCAUCACCUUCACCUGCUCCAUGAGAAGGUUCACCUGGUGAAGAGCCUCCCUGGCAGCACUUGGCGAAUCGUCUGGGGUCUGAUAUGCAGCGAAGAGUGAUGGCUCUAAGGGAGCCGAAGCAACUACUGGGUCAGACGAGUGGAGUUGCACUGGAGCGGUAGUAACCGGAGCAGUCGACCCCGACGGACGAUCAGUCGUCAGCGGGCUGGCAAAUGUGACGUUGGUCCGAACCGGAUCUCGGGAAUGCUCGACCACCGCCUCAAGUGCCGGCGUCGACUUAGGGACUUGAACUUCAAGUUUUCUUCUGCUUGAGCCUCCACCUCUCCUCCUCCUCUCCUGUAGAGGCACUUCCUCUUCUUCAUCAUCAGGAAGCACGACGACCUCUCGCGGAACUGCAAAGAGAGAGAAACAUUGGAAAAUCAGUAGACUGAUAGGUCUCCAAUGUAUCUACUUUUCCAAAUGUUUUUGCCCUUGUUUUGGACUCUAACUUGCAUGAUUUGAAUGAAACUAACUCGGACUGACGCUGUUUUCAGUAGAACUGCCAUGAUGUUGUUUUAUGUGUAGAAAACAAAAGUUCUCGGAAUGACAUGAAAAUCCUCGGAGAUAAGUUUCAGAAAAUAUAAAAAAUACUAGCAAAAAAUGAAGACCAGGGGGCCCACACCCUGUCCACGAGGGUGGGAGGCGUGCCCACCCCCUCUGGGCGUGCCACCUUGUCCCGUGGGCCCCCAGCAGCUCCACCGACCACAACUCCAACUCCAUAUAUUUCGUUUCACGGAGAAAAAAAAUCAAAGAUGAAGUUUCAUCGCGUUUUACGAUACGAAGCCGCCGCCAAGCCCUAAUCUCUCUCGGGAGGGCUGAUCUGGAGUCCUAUCAGGGCUCCGAAGAGGGGAAUUCGUCGCCGUCGUCGUCAUCAACCAUCACCAAUUUCAUGAUGCUCACUGCCGUGCAUGAGUAAUUCCAUCAUAGGCUUGCUGGACGGUGAUGGGUUGGAUGAGAUUUACCAUGUAAUCAAGUUAGUUUUGUUAGGGUUUGAUCCCUAGUAUCCACUAUGUUCUGAGAUUGAUGUUGCUGUGACUUUUCUAUGCUUAAUGCUUGUCACUAGGGCCCAAGUGCCAUGAUUUCAGAUCUGAACCUAUUAUGUUUUCAUGAAUAUAUGUGUGUUCUUGAUCCUAUCUUGCAAGUCUAUAGUCACCUAUUUUGUGUUAUGAUCCGACAACCCUGAAGUGACAAUAAUCGGGAUACUUCUCGGUGAUGACCGUAGUUUGAGGAGUUCAUGUAUUCACUAUGUGUUAAUGCUUUGGUCCGGUACUCUAUUAAAAGGAGGCCUUAAUAUCCCUUAGUUUCCGCUAGGACCCCGCUGCCACGGGAGGGUAGGACAAAAGAUGUCAUGCAAGUUCUUUUCCAUAAGCACGUAUGACUAUAUUCGAACUACAUGCCUACAUUACAUUGAUGAACUGGAGCUAGUUCUGUGUCACCCUAUGUUAUAGCUAUUACAUGAGGAAUCGCAUCCGACAUAAUUAUCCAUUACUGAUCCAAUGCCUACGCGCUUUUCAUAUAUUGUGAUUCGCUUAUUACUUUUCCGUUGCUACUGUUACAAUUACUACAAUACUGCUAUCAUUACUAUCUUUACCUUUACCACUGUUACCAUUACUAUCAUAAUACUUUGCUGUAGAUACUAAGUUAUCCAGGUGUGGUUGAAUUGCCAACUCAACUGCUAAUACUUAAGAAUAUUCUUUGGCUCCCCUUGUGUCGAAUCAAUAAAUUUGGGUUGAAUAGUCUACCCUCGAAAGCUGUUGCGAUCCCCUACACUUGUGGGUUAUCAAGACUAAUUUCUGGCACGGUUACCGGGGAGCACAGGUCUCACUACAAAAAAAGACACAUCCGUGACAUUUUGGGCCGAACAAUUUUUUUUCUGUCAUACAUAUGCCACUUCUAUGAUCAUAAUUGUGACAAAACCCGGUAUCAUCAUAGAUGUGGUGGGCUCCUACUUCUAUGACAAAAAAUCAUGACAGAAAAUGGGCUUUUCGUCCUGGGCGGGCCGGAGACGCGGCUGCAUGACAUUCUUUGGGCCAUCCAUGACAGAAAAAACCGUGGUAGAAGCGAGGGGGAUGAAAAUUUCAGGGAGUUGCCAGUUACGGUGGGAGGUCGGGGGCGGAGCGAUGCGCGUUUCUCUCGUACGUACGCAUGUGUGUGCGAGGCGUUGGCUCUAACUAAAGCCGAGCGAGGCAUUGGGCUCUAACUGAACCCGAGCGAUUGCACUACAGGCUACGCAUUACUGAACCCGAGCGAUUGAUCGAUGGCUGCUAACUGAAGCCGAUCAAUGCUGCCUCUAGGAUGAACAGUGAGCGUUGNNNNNNNNNNNNNNNNNNNNNNNNNNNNNNNNNNNNNNNNNNNNNNNNNNNNNNNNNNNNNNNNNNNNNNNNNNNNNNNNNNNNNNNNNNNNNNNNNNNNNNNNNNNNNNNNNNNNNNNNNNNNNNNNNNNNNNNNNNNNNNNNNNNNNNNNNNNNNNNNNNNNNNNNNNNNNNNNNNNNNNNNNNNNNNNNNNNNNNNNNNNNNNNNNNNNNNNNNNNNNNNNNNNNNNNNNNNNNNNNNNNNNNNNNNNNNNNNNNNNNNNNNNNNNNNNNNNNNNNNNNNNNNNNNNNNNNNNNNNNNNNNNNNNNNNNNNNNNNNNNNNNNNNNNNNNNNNNNNNNNNNNNNNNNNNNNNNNNNNNNNNNNNNNNNNNNNNNNNNNNNNNNNNNNNNNNNNNNNNNNNNNNNNNNNNNNNNNNNNNNNNNNNNNNNNNNNNNNUUCUUCCGUUUUGCGGUACGCCACAACCGUCCCGAUCAACAGGACCCCCGUUUUGACCGUAGGAGGUCCGUUUCCUCUGUUUUGCGGUACGCCAGGCCCCUCCCAAUCAACAGGACCCCGUUUCGACUAUAGGAGGUCCGUUUCCUCCGUUUUGCGGUACGCCAGGCAUCUCCUGAUCAACAGGACCCUGUUUCGAACGUGGCCAGUCGAACACAAGGCCGUUUCCUCCGUUGUGCGGUACGCCAGGCCUUGUUUCCAUCGCCUGUUCCGUCCAAGCCCUCCUGAUGAACACGACCACACAUUCCGUUCCGACCCAGCCAGUUGGCUCCCACGCGUUCCGUUGCCUCCCGAUGAACACGACGCAUUUUGUUGCCUCCCCAUGAACACGACGCUGACGCUGUUUCUUCGUUCCGACCCAGCCAUGUACGUAUGCGCGAGUAGGAGUUCGAGACCCUGCCCGUAUGUAUGUACGUGGCCGUAUUUUCUUUCUUGCACCCUAGCCGCUGUACGUACAUGUACGUGCGCGCCUCUACUACGACCAGUAUGUACUUACAUGUUCGUGACCUGAAUGACAACACUACGUACGCUUCGACCAGGUGGGUCCCGACUGUCAGGCACUUCCUUGCCUGCGAAGAUGUAGCUGGUGGGUCCCAUCAGUCAGGGGGGAAUCGUUUUUUUGCCCGGACGCACUUCCUUGCGUGCGAAGAUGUAGCUGGUGGGUCCCAGCAGUCAGGGGGCAAAUCGUUUUUUUUUUCGGACGCACCUCCUUGCAUGCAAAGGUGUAGCUAGUGGGCCCGUCCGGUGGGCCCCCGCUGUCAGGUGGAGGAAUGAUUAUUUUGAGCGUAAUAAGGAGGCACUUCCUUGCUGCAGCCAUGGACCCAGCUGCCAGCCUCUCCACGUACAGUCCACGUCCGAUGGAAGCUGUUCCUUGACCACAUUGACCACGCCGCGCCAAGAGCACUAGGGCGGUGGACGACGGCGAGGCCUAGGAAGGGGACGACGUGGAGCCGGGGAAGACGCGGUAGUGGAUGCCCACGCGUAGAGGAGUACGAGGGUUCACUGGUUCGCUGCGGUGUGAGGCUGCCGUCGCCGCAGAAUAACAGGGGGUGUGGUGAGUAGAGGGAUGGCCUGGAAAGCGGUGGGAGUAGUAGGGGCGGUGAGGCCUCCGCCGCAUCGCAGCCAGCCACGGGAGGUAGGAGCACGAGGCACGACCGGCGCUGGUUUGGGCGGCUGGAGCAAGAAGACCAGAGGUUGAAGAAGCACUACGGCCGUUGGAUGGACAUCGUACAGUCACUGGAGCUAGAAUCGUGCAUAUUGACUAAGUUUACAAAGCCCUCCGUUCCUGUCAACUUAGUAGGCCCACAAGUCAGCCUGCCACUAUACUGGGUCCCAGCUAACAGGGGGAGUAUUCAUUUUUUUGUGCGUAAUAAGGAGGCACUUCCUUGCGUGCGAAGAUAUAGCUGGUGGGUCCGAGUUGUCAGCGGCGGUAACGUUUUUUCGUGAAAUACUUAGGCCAUUUCGGUGGGUCCCUGAUGUCAGGUAGACGAAUCAUUAUUUUGCGCGUAAUAAGGAGGCACUUCCUUGUGUGCGGCUGUGGACCCAGCUGUCGGCCUCUCCACGUAUAGUCCACUUCAGAUGCAUGUCAGUCGUUGACCACAUUGACCAGGCCGCGCCGAGAGCACCAGGGCGGUGGACGACGGUGAGUCCUAGGAAGGGAACGACACGGAGGCAGGGAAGACUCAGCAGUUGUUUCCCACGCGGAGUGGAGUACGACUGAACGAGGGUUUAGUGGUUCAUCUGCCGUCACCGGAGAAUAACAGCAGGUGUGGGUGAGUAGAGGGAUGGCUAGGCCAGCGAUGGGAGUACGGUGGGGCGGUGAUGCCUGUGCGGCAGCACAGCCGACCGUGGGGAGGAGGGAGCAGGCAGUCCCGCCGGCGCUUGUUUGAGCGGCUGGAGCAGGAAGAGCAGAGAUUGAAGAAGCACGACGGCCGUUGGACGGACAUCCAACCGUCACUUCUUGUGCGUCAACCUUUUUUUAGGAAAGCCUCAAAUCUGUAGAAAACAGCAUACAACCCAUAUGCCAUUAUUUCUAAUAAUUUACAGCCCAUUUGCUAAUUCUUAAGGUUUUUUUUUGGAGCCCAUAUUCUUUUUGUUAGCAUUACAGCCCAUAUUGUGGCCACGGUUAAAAAAUUAUACGAAAUUUUGCAUAUUUUGGUGCGGUCUGAACUGUUUUUAAUCCCAAAAUUUUGACUCACAUUCAAACUGAUUUUAAAAAUAAAUAUAUAUCAAUAUAAAAUCCAACAAAUUCUCCACGCAUAAAAGUUAAUGUAAUUUAAAAUCUUGAAAUGAAAAAAAAUAUUUGAAACUAAUUGCCAGUUUUAUGUGUUUUAAAAAUGUACAACCCAUUUCUCAUUACUGAUGGGCCAUUUUCUCGUCCAGCCGAAUGAAAAGCUCUCCUCGUCUUGAAAGAUUUGCAACCCAACAGGCCUAACAAAGCGACUUAAUUGGCAAAUCACAAAAAAGCUGGGCUGUGGCCGUGGACCCAGUUGUCAGCCUCUCCACGUACAGUACUCUUCCGAUGGAAGUCGUUCCUUGACCAUGCGGUGUGAGGCUGCGGUCGCCGCAGGGCCUGGCCAGCGAUGGGAAUAGUAGGGGUCAGUGAGGCCUCCAUGGCAGCACAGCCGGCCACGGGAGGCAGGAGCAUGCGGCACGACCGGCGGUGCUUUGGGCGGCUGGAGCAAGAAGACUGGAGGUUGAAGAAGCACUACGGCCGUUGGGUGGACAUUAUACGGUCACUGGAGCUAGAAUCAUUCAUAUUGACUAAGUUGACAAAGCCCUUCGGCACCGUCAACUUAGUAGGCCCACAAGACAGCCUCCCACCAAGGUGGGUCCCAGCUAGCCGGGGGAGUAUUCAUUUUUUGUGCGUAAUAAGGAGGCACUUCCGGUGGGUCCGAGCUGACAGCGGGGGGAACGUUUUUGUUGGAGUUGGUGAGUAUAGGGAUGGCUAGGCCAGCGAUGGGAGUACGGUGGGGCCGUGAGGCCUGCGCGACAGCAUAGCUGGCCGCGGGAGGAGGGAGCAGGCAGUCUCGCCGGCGCUUGUUUGAGCGACUGGAGCAUGAAGAGUAGAGAUUGAAGAAGCACGACAGCCGUUGGAUGGAUAUCCAACAGUCACUGCUCUCGAUUGUUGACUAAGUUGACAGGGCGUUGCGUGUGCAUCAACCUUUUUUUUAUGAAAGCAUACGCGUCAACCUGUAGUAGGCUCACAAGUCAGCCUCAAAUCUGUGGAAAACAGCAUACAUCCCAUCUGCCAUUAUUUCUAAUAAUGUACAUCCCAUUUGCUAAUUCUGAAGAUUUUUUUUGGAGCCCAUCUUCUUUUUGUUAGCAUUACACCCCAUAUUGUGGCCACGGUUAAAAAGUAUACGAAAUUUUGCAUAUUUUCAUGAGGUCAACUAUUUUUAAUCCAGAAAUAUCGAUUCACAUUCAAACUAUUUUGAAAAAUAAUUUAUAUAAAUAUAAAAUCAAAAUAAUUGUCCACGCAUACAAAUCAAUGGAAUUUAAGAUCUUGUAAUGAAAAAAGAUGAAACUAAUUCCUGGCUUGAUGUAUUUUAAAAAUGUACAGGCCAUUUCUGGGCAAACCGAAUGAAACUCUCCUCGUCUUGAAACACUUGCAGCCCAGCAGGGCCGAUAAAGCAAGUAGGCCUUGUUUGGGUAUUUCUUUUAAAAAAUUGAACUGGGCUAGCCAUUUUCAGCAAGAAAAAAACACAACUGGGCUCAUGAUGUGGUAAACAUAAAUAAAACCCUGGCUAGACGGGCCACGGCCCCCGCACAGCCUCGUUGUUACCCUGAUCCGUCGCUAAAACUCGUAUAAAUAACAACUGCUUGUUCCUCAUUGUCUAAAAAAACUGCUUGUUCCUUAAUAAAAAAACUGCGCGACUUGGUGGGUCCCUGGUGUCAGCCGCUCGUAGUGUAAUUCUCUCGUUUAUUUACUAUGUUGACGAUGGCGUGAGCCCCAGAUGUCCAACCAUGAGGAGGAACCAUAUUUUUGGGCUUUUACUAUAGAGGCACUUGCUUGCGUACUGCCAUGACGCUGGUGGGUCCCUACUGUCGUCCUCUCCACGUACAUUCAUCUCCUUGUUCCUCUCGGUUGUUGACGAUGUUGACAACGCAAGAGGGUGGCGCAUCGCACACGGCUAGCGAACAAAGGCCGCAAGGCAGAGGACGACGAUGAGGCCUCGGACGGAACGAACAGGAGCCGUUGAAGAUGCGUCGGUCCAGUCGCAGGCGGAGGGGAGUAUGAGGGUUGACUGGUGGGGGUGGUGGGGGCUAGUCACUUGGCUUCUGUAAUGCACAGUGAGCUCAAGUAGCCGGCGUGAGUGAUGUUAUUUCCCUUGGAUGUGAUUUGUUACAAUAUUUCACUCUAAAUUAAACGAAUGGCAAGCCAUUUGCCUUGUUUCAAAGAAAAUAUGACAGUCACAGCCGAGUUGAAAAGGGCAGGAACAUCUAACUCCAGCUUACAAACUGUACAAACGCACGAGGGUUGAUUGAUCAUCAGGUUUACAAAAAAACCCAGAUUGAAAAGGGCAACAACAUCUAACUCCAACACUGUUUUCGGCAGUCACAGUCAAAUGGAUCGGUUAGUUCCAUAGAAUGAACAUCCUGGAUCAUAAAAUUUACUGGAUUAUGACCACAAUAUGUUGUAAAUAGAAGCCCGACACGUUCAAAAGCUCUUUUGCCCACAUGAUACUCCUUUUUUUGCUCUUCAACAUACCCAUCCGUCAAAACCAUGCUGCUGAUAAACUUAAGCCUGAUGGACAAUAGUAACCUCGCAUUCAGCAGGAAGAAUGUGACAAAUCUUGUGUUUGCACGGUUGGCUACAUAUCGUUCUAGCAUUAUUGUCUUCAAUCGAAUCUCAUGAGAAGUGAGAAAAUCCCAAUGCUUACGAAUCCACCGAUUGGUUAUAACUUUCUUACCCCGUCCUGUUGCCUAAAUAGACAUGAAAAUUGAAAACAGUUAAGGUCUAAAAGAAGAGUGUCGAACGAGCAACAGCUGAACGGUUAAUUCUAGUACACUAUAUGCGGGCUUCCAAUGUGCGUGAAAUUAUCACCUUUAUGUACAACUUCUCCAGACAUGGAAAGCAUUGCAUCAAGCCAAUAAUCUUGUUCAGAUCAAAACUAUUCAUUUGGAUAUAUAAGAUCUUGAGAGAAUCCAGCACCACUGAUAGGCCAUCCAUGGAGAAACUCUUCAUUGAGCAUAGAACAUAAUAUUAGUACAAAAUGUGUACUUCAAUAUGAUAUAUAAAUUAUGCGCAGAAAUUUAAAAUGGAGCAUAUGGUUACAAGUGUAGAUGUUAAUAUACAGUACCUGAAGAACUAUGGAGCCAAACACCAUAUUGAAAUGAGCACAGAGAUCAUGUAUUACACCCAAGGUCUCCAGUUUAGGCGCAGAGAGGACGGUUAUUUGCAACGGUGAAUAACUAGAAUCAAGGAUCAACCUUUGAAGUGAAGGGGCAUCUUGGAUGAUGAGCUGCCUUCCGUCAAAAGAAAUUCCAAUUCUUACAAGGUUAGGCGAGUUUAUUUGGAGACAACCGAUUCUAACUGUGAAAACAAGCACCAAGCACUCCAGCGCAGGGCAACUGGAGUGGAUGAUGCUGUGCAAUGAGGCCUCCAAUAUAUGAACCCGCACAAGUGAAAGUUUCUUGAGAAAUGGGAGUUGAAGGUUUAGUACCAGAUUGUCUGGAAGGUAGCACAAUGCAAAGGUGGCGGUGUGGAGAGAGGAGGAAAACCGUGAGAUGGACAUCGGUGCUAAGGGCACAAGUUCAUGGUGUUCUGUAUGUGGUAUGUGAUUUCCAGGGGAAUAGUAGAACUCAAGCAGCUGUAGUUUUGUGAAUUCAGGGGAUUUCAGUCAGGCGUCCAACGUGCAGGGCAUGGUAUGCUUGCUCAAGUAGCAUGACGGGAUGCAGAGGCUUUGAACGGAGCCCUGGUGGGUGGAGAUGAUGGCUCUAGGGAUUUCAAAAUCAUUGAAGAGAGAUAGCUGACGACAGUCGAGAUUAAGGGGCACGGCCGCGCCAUAGAGGGUACCACCGAGUUGAGAGGACUUGGGUGCGGCAGCAAUCCUUGGUGGGGAGAAGCGAGAUGAUCUCCCAAAGGACGGCGUCGGUGAGAUCGCUGAUGCGGUCCACCCGAGAUUCUACGGGUUCCUGGGAUCCGGUGGGGGCGGGGUCACCGCUUCUCCCCGCGCUGCCAGGUGCGGGAUCUACAAUAGGCAUCGCCGCUGGCGGGAGCCUCAUCUUCUUGGCGCUGGGGUCACCCAACUCCAUUUUCCUCAAGGGCGUCGCGUCGCGCUCACGGAUUUGAGCAGAGUAACGAAUGACGAGCCUAGUUGUAGAGCGAGCGAAGAAGAAGGGGAGCUGGGGGCUUUCUGUAGGAGUGAGGAAGAAGGGGAGCUGGGGUUUUCUAUAGGAGUGAGGUGAGGAAUUUGGGGGUACGAGUGGAGCGAGCUGACGUGAGGUGGGUGGGAGCGAGGAGGAAGAAGAGCACCCAGGUUUUUUUUUCUGGGGGAGGGGGGGCGGUGUGCUGGGUGUGGGUAGCGCCUUUUGAAUUGAUUUUACUAUUUGCUAGUGUGGAUUGGCUGUUUUGUCUUGGGCCCAGAGAAACAAUUACUACUAGUACACUGGAGACACUCUACAGCUACCCAGAAAAACAAUUACUACUAGUACAGUGGAGACACUCUACUGCUUCUGGCUCCUCCUAGGUCAUUGACACGUCUCCCUCUACUGAAUGCCAUUAUACUUUUGUUCACCGACAUGCGGGCCAUGCAGCACGCGGGCCCAAAUGCCAUCCACCAAAUUAGCAGGCAGUAUGCAGGCGGAGAGUCACCCUGGUCGUAGCGCGGCAGUAAUGAGUCGUCGUAUCACAAAACCCCACCUCCCCGCAGUCUAAGUUUGACGGACGAAGCAACCAUCAUUUCACUCCUCGCUGAAUCCCCUUCUCCCUCAUCGUCUUCAAGAAAGGCAACACUCGCAUCUGAUACUGUUCUUCUCUCCCAACGAAGGGAAGGUAAGCGGAUCCGUGAUGUUGGUAUAUUUUCGUUCAGAGAAAAAAAAGAACUUUUGCAAAGCAGUAACCGAUCCUCACUCUCUUUUUUGUUUCAUUGUCAUUGCGAUUGUGUUUUCCUUUCAGUGGUCUCCUAGUAUUCGUCAGUUUCAUGAUGGACCAAGGAGAACCAAGCAAAGAUCUGCCGAUAUUGGAGCAGACGCGGGAGGCUGAUCCCCACGAGACAGAGAGCUCCAAGAAGAUGGAGGCAACUACCGAGCCGACCCCAGAUAUGCUCACGACCACUACUGAGAUGGUCAACGCCCCGUUUGAGGUUACAGCCCCCUGUAGGAGCNNNNNNNNNNNNNNNNNNNNNNNNNNNNNNNNNNNNNNNNNNNNNNNNNNNNNNNNNNNNNNNNNNNNNNNNNNNNNNNNNNNNNNNNNNNNNNNNNNNNNNNNNNNNNNNNNNNNNNNNNNNNNNNNNNNNNNNNNNNNNNNNNNNNNNNNNNNNNNNNNNNNNNNNNNNNNNNNNNNNNNNNNNNNNNNNNNNNNNNNNNNNNNNNNNNNNNNNNNNNNNNNNNGGUCAUUUCCUUCUUUGCCGAUCUCGAUUGUGGUUUUUCAUCUAUGUAUGUGGUGAUUUUUUUUAGAAAAGGAAGUAUGUGGUGAUUAAUAAUGCAAAAUUUUAUUAGCUUCGAUGCCAUGCUAUAGAUAGUGGUUUAAAUAACUUGUGGUUCUUAUACUGAAAUGUAAUUCAAAAUUUGUUUCUGUUUCAAUUAGAGCCCUGAUGCACACAAGGAUUGUGUGGUUGUGCAUGUCACUCGCUAUGAGGCGGAAGACCUGAAUAUACGCAUGGGGAAAACAAAGUUCUUAGGCUAUUCGAUCCUGGAAGCCAUUUGCGGUUAUACCAAUGAAGAGUUGUAUUCCAGCCUCACUGUUGUCAGGCGUGUUGUCCAGGGUGUAUUGAAGCACAAGAAGUUCAAAGCUACUCCUUCAUUUGUGAGGCAUACUGUUCUUGUCAAGCUUACGCAGGAAGAUGACGUGGCAUGCCUCCACAAACAAGUUUAUCAGUGGCAAGGCCACAAGGUUGUCUUCAUGAAGGUUCACAGGAUUGACCUACUACGGGACGUCCUCGAUGAUGUUCAUGGCAAGGUUCGUCUUGUGUCCAGCGCAAAUUAGAUCGAAGCAUGAAAUAGUUGCCCCAGCUAGUGUUUAAUAGUAGUUUGGAUUGUGUCUAAUUAUCCGAACCUUGCCAGUUAUCGACCCCUCUAGGGCUAGUGCUCUGUUUGAAUCCGUCUAUGGGAACUGCUGCUACUUUUGUGUGACCGUUAAUCAUGUGAGAACCAUCGUAAUUGUUGCCGAAACAGAUGCGUCCUCACUAGUUUUUUCAUGAAUAUGGCAUGGUAAGACAUAAGUUGUCACGGUUUAUUAUACGAGCAGUGUGUGUUUUGAUGAAAUAGAGCACUCGUUCGAGAACCGUGCGUCGACGUAUACAUAAGUACUUGUAAACACUGUUGGUGCUACCCAACUUGUAAGCAGUUGUGAAAAACACGGCACAUUGGCUCAGCUCGCUUCAAAACUAGGCUAUCGACCAACUAACAAUCAACAAUCUGCUGUCUGACAUAAAAGAAACUACUAUGUAUCUUGUUACAGUGGUUCAUGUUGUUAAUUGAGGCCACAAUGUAAUCAAUUCCAAACGUUCACACGCUAGUCCACCGCUCAUGUGGAACACUCACAAUUAAACUCAUCUUCAUAAAAAUCUUGAAAAGCAUAAGUUAAGCAAUUUUAUACAUCUCAAUGAUUCAUAGAACAUAACAAACAUAUACUAGUUCACACCAAAAGACAAAGUUGUGAGAAGGUUUACAAAUCAGGAAAAAACAAGCAAGGCUUCUUUGAGUAAAGGGCCUCCCGGCAGGCUUAAAUUUCCUAGAGUUCACUCUGGUUUUUUCUUGUUGCCACCAUCCAGGGUUAGGUUCUCUCAUUCCAGAAUAACCAAUUAUAAAUGUGGUCUCAGCUGGAAUGCUAAACUGAACCAUGCAGUGUACUGACUAGCUGAAAUGCUUGUGCAUUCCACUAAAUUUAAGCACCGCUAUUUGCAGAAAUAAGCAGACCACAAUGCCUCUUGUCCGUGCACCUGUCCAAAAAACCGCCGUGCAGCCGUGCCAGCUAGUCCUCGGUUCGUGGAUGAACUGGUAGAAAGUGCAUUCCGGACUAGGAUGCAGUUGUUUUCGCUCGUCCCUGCACUGCAAUCAGGAAGUAAAACAUACGAAUCAUCUUCUUUUAGAUUGCGUUGGUCAUUCUACCUUAGUUACUACCAAUGUAGGGAUACCUUGAAGACGGGAGAUUAGACGACGGCAACGAGGGAUAGCCAUCUCAUUUUGCACAGUUGUACUAAAACUGAGGUGUGUGCUUUUGAUUGCGCGGAUAGAAACGAUACGGAUACAAACAUCCCGAAACAAUAUGGAGACACACAUCCCUGUUUGCGCAAAUACGAAAUACGUUUAUUUAAACAGUGACACAUAUUGCUACUUUCCCCCGUUUCCUCUUAGAACAAAGUCCUAGAUUCAUGCUACAGCUUUCCCACUUUCUUCCCUGUUUGAACCAACGCUUUGAGUUCACUCUAUGAACUUGCUUUACUUCUAAUAAUAGUAGAAGUCUAGGUGGCUUUGUAACAGCGGAUGGAAGUAGAAAAGGAUCCACACGAAGGGGGAAGAGCUGGGGCACUAGAGCAAGGCAGGUUUCAAAGGAAUAUAUACCUGAGGGUCGUCGGCAUGUGGCAAAGACGGCGUCGGGAGGCCGCAUCUUGGCCACAAUACUGCAGGGAGGAAGAAGGGGUCGGAGGCCCUCCUGAGCCGGUGCUCUCUCGGAGAGAACGACAAGGCCGCCGAUCGGGACGCGCGGGCAGCCGUUGGUCUCCUCCCUUGCCGUCGACGAUAGCGUGAAUGAUGCACCUACACCCCCUACCCCGGUCGAGGUUGUCCGGCUGGAUUUGUGACCAGUCGUGAGGUGAGAGAGAGAGUGUGGCCACCUAUGUCUUGCUUAGAUCUGGAGAGCAUGAGAGAGUGAACAAGAAGAACCCUAGUAAAGCAAACGCUAAGGCUCCUGCUUUUAUAUAUAGUGGAGUGAUUUUGUUGUACCGGCUUCAAAAAAAUGCGCUCCUACGUGUACCUGCGAGUGGGUGCGAGAGAACUAGUCCGUGCAUGCACCGCUUCUUUUCGUGAGAGUACAAUAUAUACUAUGCCCAAAGAACAUUCGCCGCAAGAGUAAUAGUAUAAGUGUGUGACGUGUGAGAUAAAAUAAAACGUGUGCACCGUCUUUUGUUUUUUAGAAGUUCUCAGCGUAGGGUGUGAAGAGCACAUAUGUGCGUGACGUCAACCUGCAGAUAGAGGAUGGGUGCGACAUGCGAGUCUGCGAGAGGACUCGGGAGAGUCGUGACUCGUGAGGGUGCGUGUGCGUGAGAGAGAGGGGGGCACGUAUCAAUGCAAUGCAUGUCUCCGUAAAUCAUUAUCCGAAAAACGUUCGCCACAAGCCUUUUCCUGACGAACGCCGUAAGAACUGUUAGAUCGGCAUCCGACAGUGUCAGUUUUGCCAUGUCAUUUAACAGAAUAGCCACUCCUCCUACACACAAAUCUUCCACGUGAGUGUUAGCAACUGCCGUAUGCUCCCUCCAUUCCGAAAUGCAGUGCAUAUAGCUUUAUUGAAAAUUAGAACCUCGCAAACUUUUACCGAGUUUUCGUGUACCAAAUUGCACAUGUAGAAUACCCUGUAUAUAUCAUUUCAUUCAUCUUCGAUAGGUAACUAUAAAGAUGGGUGAGGAGUCUACAAAGAAAGACCAUCGUAUCACCGGCAGCAAUUUCAACCAUCCUUUAGUGUCGAGGAAUAUCAUAGGAACUCUAUAUGAUAUGAUUUUUAUAGGAUUUUUUUCCUUUAGAGCCAAUUGGUUCAUAGGAAUAGAUUCAUAUACUCUACAUUUCAAAGGAAAUAAACAUGAUAUCAUGUCUAUAGCCUUAGAGCCACUUGGUUCAUAUGAAUGGAUUCCUAUACUCCCUUAAUUUCAAAGGAAAAUAAAUAUUAGCGUAUAUUCAAUAGAAAAGUUCCUAUGAUAUGAACCAAAUUACAUCUCUUUACUAAUCCCUCCUCAUAGGAAUUGAGAUACAUGUCAUCUCUAGAUUCAAUAGAAAAGUUCCUAUGAUGUGAACCAAAUGGCAUCUCUUUUCCAAUCCCUACUCAUAGGAAUUGAGAUGCUCCAUGUCAUCUCUUUCCCUACAAAUUCCACGUAUGCAUCUUCUAUUCCUAAAUAGAUAGUACAACCCACUAGUAGCUUUUUUCCAAAACAUUCAACUAUGGCACAAGAACUAUAUAGUGUGCCAAUAACUUUGAAAGAUGGUCGAUGGAUGAAGCUAACCCGACAGUGCAGAGAUGGGAAAAUCCGAGCACUACUGGCCGUUGGAUAUCAUCAACAUUCCACCAGAUCUGCCACAUGUACAAUUUAGAAGACUCCACGGUUGAACUUAAGCAUAACGCACAAACCUCAAAACACAAGCACUUCUCCUUUGUUCUAGAAUCUUUUGUAUCAUAAUUGAUUAUUUUUUUCUAAAUGAAUUUCCAUUAUUUGUUUUUUACUUUAUGAUUUACAAUGCACAACCCCAUGAAUCUUAACAUUUUUAUAAAACUAAUUGAUUUUGAAUGAGAUGAACUAUAAGAACUAAACAAACAUCUACAUCAUGCAUAUAUGACUCAAAGCUUUACAUGCUAUAGUGUGUAUUUAUUCAUAAUUUGGUUUCGAAAUCUCAUGCGUUCAAUACAUGUGUACCUUACUAGUUUUGAGUAGAGUAGCAAAUUUCACGCGGCCCCGGGUAUAUCGAAAAUGCAGGGCCCAUGCAUCAUUGCCUUUCGGUCGAACCUACGUCCACAAUUUUUUGUAUGUGCUAUAUCUCCACUGGUCCCCGAACCUUAAAUGCUGCCUCAUUCCCGUAAAACCAAGCGGCCCACACAUAUUUAAGGCGUUGACUUGAACCCGUUUACUACGACGUGGCCCCGCACGCUGUAGUACUCCUACAAACCCUACCGCCGCACUCAUCAUCGGUUUUCUUCAAGAGGACGAGGGAGAAGCCGAUUUGUAGUGGAGGCGCUUUCAAAAAAAAGGAUCUGUAAUGGAGACCCCUACCCUAAGGUGCCCAAGGUAGCUGCCGCACGCAUCAUUGUUUUCUCUUUUCUUUAUGCUCUUGCGCGCUAGAGUGAAAUGAUGGUUGCUUCAUCCAUUCAGCUUAAUGCGGGAAAGGGGGGCUUUGUGAUUUGACCCCUCAUCGCUCAUUUUCUACUACUGCGGCGCUACGACCGGGGUGCCUCCAAUUCCAACCGCUGCUCCGAACUGUAAUUUGGUGCAUCGCACGUGGAACAAGAUGGUGGAUGAGCCACAUGUCUACCAAAGGGGUCCUGUUAAGUGUGUCGCCAUUUCGUGUGUGGACUGACCCUGCUUGAGUUGCUACGCCAACACGAUAGGAGCAGCCUACCACUUGGUUUUGCUCCUUUGUGAAUCCCGACUAUAUUGAUCUAAAAAGAUACGUGCUGAACUACCCUCUCCGUCUCAGUUUUUUAUUUGUAGGCUUCUCGGUUUAUAGAGCCUGCACGUAGUUCUAGGUCAUCCAUUUGACUAACUAAAUAUGAGUUACUAUAUCACAAAAAGUAUACCAUUGGAUUCUUAUUGGUUGAUAUGUGAAGAAACAAGAAACAAGGUAGAAUUUAAUGCACCGCGCCUUAGUAUUGUGGGAUUAUUUUGUUUUAGUAUCAUACGUGCGUUUGGUUGCAAGGGUGGUCAUGAAUGGGUUGGGAUCGUUUAGAAAAUAGACAUGUUUGGUUAUAAAGCACAUGAAUGGUUCGAGUCAAAAAAAGAGAAUAUGCCUUGAAGAUGCUGAACCAUUCCACCCAACCAAAUCGGUCGAAUCAAAUGGCCACCCUUUGCAUGCAUGACUAUGUGAGCAUGACUGGUGGUCCCGUCUUAAAUAAUUAGCUGAUCUCUUAUAUUCAGCCAAACACAUGAAUUGAAUGGUUCAAUCCCAAAAAAAUGAAUGGUCCCAAUCCAUUCAUAUGAUACCUUCAACCAAACGCAUCCGACAGAGGGAGUAGUUGUAUUUAAAAGUCGAGGGCAGGGCUUUUCCUGCCCGGUAGGCGGCGGGACAGUUCUGCCUAGUCGGUUCGAUAGAGAUGUGAGAAGACGAGGGAGUAGGCUGCUGCAAACAUAGGGCUGUGUGAUUUGACAGCAAGUUACUGCUGAACAGGUGGGGCCCCGUGAUUUGACUUGCCAUUAUCAUUUUAACUGCGGUGCUACGACCGGCGUGAGUCUCCUGAUUCCUGACCACCUCCAUACAGGUGCCUCUCCCAAUGCUCCACCAUGUAGUAGUAGAGGCUGGCUCUUGCAUGAGAGCCCAAUUCUCCACUUUUUCCUUGCCUCUCUUUCCUCCACAUAUGCAAAAAUGCCAUGUAAAGCGCACUAUUGUACUUACUUGCUCCUGCAGGUGCUUAAGCUUGCCAUAUAGGCAUAAAGUCUGAUGUGGCAAGUUAAUCAAGAAGAGAGAGACUAGUUUGGUGACCCAAGGAAGAAACGGUGCUAAGCGCGUGUACCUAGGUGAAAAGACAAUUUUGAGUCUAUAGCUAAUUAAAUGAAGCAAACUUAGCAACACCAUUUCAUUGGAAGAGGUCACUCCUUGGCAAAUGCAAUAAAUACUAGUACUCCCCGUGUCCCAUUAUAUAAGAACGUUUUUGACACUACACUAGCUAGUGUCAAAAACGUUCUUAUAUUAUGGGACGGAGGGAGUACGAAGAAAGAGAUAGAGAGGAGUAAAAAAAUACACUUAUAGCCAACCUUGUUGUAGUAUGAGUGACUAAGUGAUGACUAUGUAUGACAUGCCAACAUCAGAUAGCCUAACGCACCGUGUUAAAUCUCCAAGGGUGCGACCACGCGAGUGACGCAACGGUCGUGGUAGGUGCGACCAUGAUACGGGCUGCUGGCAGCCCUUGGAUCUGAGAUCAAACGUUUGCAUGCUAAGUUGCUGAAAAUUUUAAGAAUAACCCUCCAGGAUAUGAUAUUCACCCAUAGGUCUAGAAUCACGCCAUGCAACCAUUCAAUCUCAAAUCCAAGGGCUCUCAAAAGCCUGUAUCAUGGGAGAAUGGAAAGCCGCUACCCUGCCGUUCGCACGCUGGCAGUUUGCUCCUACUCUUUCCCGCACGUCCUUUAUUACUACGGCGGUUCACUCCUAGUCGUCCUGUCCAUUCACAUUACGGCAGUUCCACUAAUCCUAACCCUCCUCCCAAAUCCAUGGCGUCCCAAAUCUCCCCGAUCGGCGGUGAGUACAAGGUUAGAACCAUCACCGGCAAUGAGUUCGACGUCAUCUACACCCAUACUUCCGUGAUGGUGAAAGGAUGCCUUUCUCGCUUCAGACGCAUGUUUGAAAACUCACAUGAUGAGUGGGUCGCUGGGCUAGAUGUUGAGUACACCACAGUCGUGGGACGGGAGAAGGAUCUAAAGGAUGAAGAGAGGAAGAAGCCCACCGUGAUCCAGGUUUGGGUACUUAACAUUUGCUUGGUCUACCACAUAUGCCAUGCCGACGUUGAGUGCCAGGAUUUUAAGAACUUCCUCGAGGACAAAACUGUCAAUCCAUCGAUAGUGGAGUACUACUGUACAAAAGUAUACAUUUUUAAAAGGCUAGCAUACUGUUCAUCACAUAUAUAUAUAGCUAGUUAAAUUCUCAACCUAGAACGACAUGCAUGCCAUGUAGUAAACCGAUCCGGAGGAAGUAUAGUAAAAAUGAGGUGAUUUUACCCAGCGAUCGGCGGGGCAGCAUGGCCUGUCAUGUGGUCCACGUGUCAUGAUGUACCAAGGUGAUGCGCGUGUCCCUCUUGAGGCAGAAGAAAUACUAGUACGUGGUUUGAGAUGAUGUCGAACCGAAGUGUGAAAUAAUGGUUGCUUCGUCCGUUUGGGAAGGUGCGGCAUUGUGAUUUGACGUCUCAUUGCUCAUUACUAACACUGGGCUGGUAUGAGUGGGGUGCGUCCCCCCUGCUGUUCUACACUGUUAUUUGGUGCUUGACACAUCGACCCGGUUGCUAUAUGUCCCACAUGUCGGCGACAGGAAGUACAUAAUUCAUGAAAGGGAGCGACUUAGUUUUGGAAAAAUCUGUUUUUACGGGGUACGUACCCACUAGGGUUUAUAGGGCUCAUCUAAAAAACAUUCGUUUUUCCAUUUGAUAAGUCACAAUUCUAGUACUAUACUAGUAGUAGUACCAUUACAUGUUAGAUUUCGAGGUGCGUUAGAUCACCCGACGCAAGCAGUGUCAAGAGGAAACUAACCAAUGCAUGUACAAGUUCAUGGAAAUUUAGUGGUCAUUCAUGCAUUCGUUCUAAUUAAUGCGUCCGUAAACAUAACUUCUUGAGAAAAACGAGCGUACUGUGCAAACUACGAAAUUAAUUCGACCACUCACCGUCUACCUUGGUUGGAGAGAUUUUGAAAUUGAGCCAUAAACUGGAAAGGAGGGAGUAGUAACUUUUGUCUCGAUUACUAUUUGUGGCCUUGUAUAGAUGCAAAAUGUAUUUUUUUAGUGGCCUUUUAUAAGUAAAUAGAGGGAGUACUAACCAAAGUACGUAGUAGGGACGAGGAGUAAAUGGAGGGAGUAGUAAAAUUUUCUCCUCGUGCUGCGAGCCACCGCGGGCGUGGGCGAGGGAGCGGGCGUAAAGGCGUACAGUAGUACUCUAGCUUCACCUCAUCCUACGAGCCACCGCGCCCGUGGACGGGGGAGAGGGCGUACUAAGCAAGCUUCUCCUCGUUCUACGAGUUGACGGGACACAUCAAAAGUACUCUAGUGUAUAGAGCCUUGCCUCUAAGGUAGGCCCCACAUGGUUUGCCUCUUUUUUUAAUUUAACAUAACGCUCAAGUCGCAAUUUGCUUGUUCAUCCGUGGUAGACGAUCCUCCCUCCACCAAGUGGACAACUAGUACAUGUGCCAAAUUACCACGUGGGCUGCCUUUUUCGUAUAGAAAUGAGCUCCAUUGUGUAACCACGCGGGUGUGGUCGGGAAAGAGACGGGAGUAUGUGCGCCGUGCGUGCACCUCUUCUCUUCGUGCACGUCCCCCACCUACGUGGGUGUGUGUGAGAGAGAUACAAACCUAGACAUAAUGCGCCGUCCAUCCCCAUGCCUCCGCCCAGUCCGACCACCAGUCACCACCACGGCACCACGCCCCACUCCUCCUCACCUUAUCUCUCAUAUUUCUCCCUCCAUUUUUAUAUACGAGGGGCCACUAUCAAAAUUACAAUUUGUAGAUAUACAAGGCCACUAACACUAAUCAAUGCAAUAUUAAUUGUGUUUGCCUCGUGGUAUUAGCAAAGGAGGACAUUAGUUAUCCCUUGCAUGCAUGCGGGAGUUUGUAAAAAAAUGCAUCUUGAUGUUCCGUGCAAUGCACAGGCAUCUUGCUAGUCCAUGAAAACAACACAUGGCAAAAUUCCACGGCGAACGAGGGAUUUGAAUCUGUUGGGAGGGGCUGUUUGGAUCUUGCCUGGGGUAGCCAAAAUAAUGGCGACCCUUUUGUCCAUCGGUGCCUUUGCCACCGAUGAACGAGGAAUGGCUCGGGUGCUCAUGCUGUCAUGCAUCCUCCAGCGCGCACGUUGGGGACGAGCUUGCACGAGCUGUGUUUUUUUGUCCCACAACGCCGCCCGAGCCGCCCGCAGACUGACCGGCGACCCGCAAAUUACGCCAUCCAACCGUAGCCGCACACAUUAUGACAACAACUCAAUCAACCAGACGAAAUUCACGCAAACACAUAGACAAACUGAUACUCUUUCACGCAACCACCAGAGUAUUUCAUAUAAACAACAACGGAAAUCAUAUAAAAUACCGGAUUUUCACACAAACAUGACAGAUUUCAUUACAUUCAAAUGAACUACGCGGUGCUAGUUCUGGACAGCACAAGUAUAUAAUACAUGGCCUAAAUGGUCGCCCGCCGAUCAAUUUGUGUUCCUCAUGUCCGGCAGCACGAUCACCGGACUGCCGGGAGCCCCGGAGGUAUAUGCUUCAGUGCAAAGGAUGGCCUGCUUCCCCACUGCCCAACUGAUAUGAUUGGCUGGUGCCGAAGAUGGUGGUGGCCGGCACCGGUUCGAGUUCAUCACCGACCACUACUUCGCCAUGGCCUGCACCGGCUCGAUUUCAUCCUAACAUUGACCUCUUCCGUGGAGCCCAUGUGGGGUCGACGAAGGUCCUCGCAACAAAAGGAUCUGGCAAGACACCUGCUGUGUACGCCGGCGUCGCCUCCGCGGUGGCCUUCAUGAGACCCAAGCGGCGGCGGCCUCCCGUGUUCUACUUCUCCUCGAUGAUGGCGGCGGACGCGGAGGCGCUGGCCACCAACUCGUCACUCUGCGCGCACCCGGCUUCUAUCGCUGCUUGCAUGGUGCGGCCGCCGGCAUGGGAGUCUCGGCCACAGAAACAUGAGACGGGGUACGAGGCGAUGGCAUGGACAGCAGCAACGAUGCCCGUGCGCCGCUCCUCGUCGAGCUGGCCUGGAGAGGCGAGUUGCUGAACCGCGCGCCGGCUUGGGUCGGCAACUGGCUCCGUCGGGCGAGGGGAGGGAGGUGGAUCAGCGAGCUGCAUAGCUCGUAUCUGGUGGGCCACCCAGUCGGCUUGGAUGCAGAAUAACUACUCUUCGUAAGCCAUUGUAAGAGUGGACAAAAUGGUGGAGGAGAUAGGGGAGCGGCGGAGGUGUGUGAUUCUUUGCCGGCGUUUGUCCUCGUUUAAAUAGGAGAUUAAAUAGAUGGCAGACAGGAGGAGCUCGGUCGGUGUUGCAUUUAACGCCGGCCCGGUCAUGAACGGACGUGUGUCCAGAGUGGGUUUCUUGGCUUCCACACGGGCGGGUUUCAUGGAGGUGUUUGAAUGCGGCACGGAGGCGUGUUCAGCCGGGUGUGCCACGAGUGGCGCCCUCGACUCUGACCUAGGACACCGCGCCGUUCUUCCACUGGCGUGUGGGCUCUUUGGUGCAUGGCCUGCAUGUGAGUGACAGAACACAGGCAACGCACAGCAGAGGAACCUUUGGUGGGCCAGGGCGGUCACAAGCGGGCAUUUCAUAAACUGAUGAUUGUUCAUUGAGUGUGACGUCAUCUUUUUCAUGUAGUUAAGCGUGUGUCUUGCGUCGUGUGAUGUGUGCAUGCAGGCGUGUGAGUGUUGCGUGCGUGCAAGGGUGCAUUUCAGUGUUGCAUGCAUGGGUGCGUAUGUGCAAGGUUGCGUUUCAGUGUUGCAUGCAUGGGUGCGUACAUGCGUGUGUUCGUGAGUGCAUGUGUACGUGUCAGUGUUGCACGCCAGCAUGCGUGCGUGUGUACGUUAUGUGUACGUGUCAAUGUUGCACACCUACAUGCGUGCGUGUCUUGCGUGCUUGCAUGUGUACGUGUGGGGUGAGGCUACACGUCAGUCGACUGACUUUUUCAUCUCUGGUCAUUAGAUUUUCCAGCCGUUGGAUAAGAAAUCAAGGUCCUCUAAUUUAUCAUCAAACUCCACCCCCCUCCUACCGAGCCGCCAGCCACCACCGGCCGAACUGCCCGCCCCCGCCGCCCGUGGCCGGCCCGCCCUCCCCGAAACCACUCCCCACCACCGGUCCGCCGCCACACCUUCGAGAGAGUGGGCCAUCAUAUAUGAUCUUGAGAUUUUACGAAGUCACCAUAGGUGCCUCUUAGUCGAGUGGAAUGUCUCCUCCCACUGAACGUACAUCGCCAGAAAAUACUGGAAUUAACACAAGAUAAACGCGAGCACCGGGACUUUAACCUUGGUGGGCUCGAGAAACCACUGUCCUCUAACCAUCCAACCGCAUGUUGGUUAGCACGACAAAAUGUAUGUGGUGACCGUGAUGAGCUUAUUCUGAAGUCCAGUGACCAUAUCGUGCUUUCGCUUCAAAUACAAUGACCGUAAGUGUCGUCAACAAAAUACGGAGCAAGCAUCAAAUGCAAAGUCCAUCAGUGUCAUCAACAUAAUAUGGAGACGUAUCAUGAGCUAGAUACCGUUGUACUAUUGUAUAUGCUUAUUUUCUUAGUGGCUGAUUGCGUGUGUGGUGUGGUGGGCACAUCAUUUCUAGUUGUGGUGGGUCAACAUGAAGACUCAUGGGUCGGAUCCAUCCUGCACCACAUAUAGGUUGGACCGAGACGUGUUUUACGGAGACCCAUGUGGAGGACUCGGCGUACAACACGAAGCUACCAGAGUUGCGGAGGACUCUAUCCCCACUGGUGAUAAGCCGACUAUAUAUGAUUUGUAACCCUAGGCCCUUAGUAUGUUAUACAAGCUUGGGGGCUAGUUCUUCGAUAGUAUACACACACGCACAAUGCCUGGUAUUCAUGUGUACUUUGUACACAGCCCUAACACUAAUAUACAGUACCAGGAGUAGGCUCUUUCUUCAACUUCAAGGGUCCGAUCCGAACUAUGCUAAAACUUUGCCUCGUAUUACCAUCCAGCCUAACAGCCAGGGAUAUCCUACCGAAUGAUAUGAUGAAAUCAUAUCUGCCAACUACUAUUAGAGAGGUGUGUCGGGGGGGGGGGCAAUGUGUGCGAGAGAGGCAUAAGGAUAAUGUGCAUGCGGGAGACACGUAGGCACAUAUAUGUGCGUAUAGAGGGCUAGUAGAGACCGUGCAUGUGUAUAUAUGCAUGUGAGAGAAAUAGUGUUUUCCAACUAAGAUUAGUGAAAAGAGUGGUACAUAGUAGUCAGAAAGAGAGAUAGAGAAACAGAGAGAGCAUGUGCGUGAGACACCCCGACACCCUGAGAGAGAUUGUGAGCAUGUGUGAAAGAGAAAUGCCGAUGCAUAUAAAGUUUGUGCCCUUAUGCGUUAGAUAGAGAGAUAUCUACGUGUAAAAGGCGGUUCUACGCAUUAAAUUAAAAUAUAAAUGGCAUUAUUAUUUUUGGAUGAGAUCAUGAAUUUUGCAAAAUUGCGUAUGGACGAAAAUUGGUCUAUCAGACACCCAUACUCCAUUAAAUUCUAGCAUGUGCAUGUGUUUAUUUCAUAUUAUCGAUCCAUAGAGUGAGAGCGGUUUGAAAUAUAGGCAAUGGAUGCUUUUGCAAUUCAUAUAUAAACAUUAAUUAGUGCACUCCAUGUUGUUAGUGUGAAGCACUUUAUACAUUUGUCACUUGCAUGGAUACAUUCCAAAUUGCUAGCUAUGAAAUAAAAUACAUGUCGAAUUCAACAUAAAGGGGGUUUCGAAGAUUCGAAUUCAUAGUAAGUGCAUUCAUCUAUUUGAACCCGAGAUAAUGGCAUUUGUAAAUCAGAUGUAAAAGGGGGUAUCAAUCUUUGUUGUGAGUUUGAACAUGGUAUAUAUAUUCAUACGCAUAUCUAACUUUUUUUUUGCAACCAAGGAGAUUAUACCUGGAACCAUGCAUGAACUGAGGUAAGUUGCAUAUUUUUUAAUAUAUACUCAUGUACAAUGUAUAUUAAAAUGUACCCCCUCCAUUCCAAAAUAAUCGUAGCUUUAGGAUUUUCAAGAGUAAAGAUUUGUGAAGUUUGACAAAUCCGGAAAGUUCAAUUCAAGAGAAUCGAAAACGUUAAUGCUUCUGCUCCCAAAUAUUGAACGAAGCGCCAAAUAGGCCUCUGGUCACCCGAAACCGCGUGAGACUAAUGUUUUGGUGGUAGGAAAUUACUGUCCUGACUCUGGCCUGUGUAGCCUAUCGGCCCGAUGUCCAAAGGUCUAAACCGGGGUAGGUUUGUAACUUCACCAAGACGCCAGUCUCAACCGCCUCCGAGAAGCAUUCAUAAGCCAUGGGCGCCUAAACACCUAUGCGCUCGGCCGAAAUCUAUCCCGCCCACAUUUGGGACACCUGACAUGAUGGUCCUACCCCCAACCCGCAAUAUGUCCGAAAUUUAAGAUGGGGGCAAAGUUUGUAACUUUCCCCAAAUUUCAAACAAGCGUGUCUCAAAUCGAAACAUUGUUCCCCCUUAGUUCCCCGCCUCCCUCCGUUUCCCCUUUCAUACACCGUGGGCGCAAAAACGCCUUCUCCACCAGCCGCAAAAUCCCAACCUCCUCCGUCCUCCACCGCAUAGCGGCCAAUCCACCGCCGCCCUCCUCCAUCACGCCGGAGCUGGUACCCCGACGUCGUCGUCCAACGCAACUGCAACCGCAACACCCUCAAGGACUUAGCAGCUGAAGCCGAGGCAUAGCUACCUCCACGACGCCGACGCUGGCGUGCGCCGUACCAGAACCACUCCGACCACGCCGUCCUGCGCCUCACUGCUGCGGCUCCACUAUCACAACCGUCCACCGCACCAGAGCUGUUCCCACUACGCCGGCGUUUGCCGCCUCGGAUCUUCUUCCCCGCCGCCGACAGACGGCCACCGCACCACACUCAACAACUUGGCCAUGGGUUCGUCCAAGGCUGCACCGUCCUCCAUAACUUCUGGUUUCCGGCGAACAACAAGAUCGUCGGAAAAAUAGAAGGAUGACACAACACUGCCAGCAGAAAGAGGCACUCCUCUUCCCUUAUUCAUGCAAAUCUUACGUCUCCGCUCCCACCGUAUUCAUCCCACGAAAGAAACUAGUUGAGCGCUUCUACUUCAUCUUCUCCGUGAUAAUAAAUGCACAAGGUUUCCUCCCUUUUACUAUUACACCUUUGCUAGAUGUCAGUAGCCCGCCUGGAUUUCAAUUCAGGGUCAGUCGAACCGCUAUUAAAAGAAGAAGCACCCGCUUAGGCGCGCGGAGCACCUAGUCCACCUAUUCCCCGGGGAAGCGGCGCAUCAGUGUCUAUCAUAGGGGUGUGGGGCGCAGGAGCUGCUGGCGGCCGAUCUGGAGGUCGGCGGGGCUUGAAUGGAUGGCUGGGGAGCGGUGCCAAGCACGGUGAGGUCGAGGAGAGGGCGCAGGCAGGGGAGGAAUAUUGGGCCGGUGGUCGCUGGCGUUUUGAGGAAGAUUGUCAACAGUGACUGGCUGGAGGUAGAUGAAGGCGAUCUCCCUGUUCUUUGUACAUCGGAUGGUGCAGAAAAAUGGGCUGACCUAUUUGCUUUCAGUCGACUGUUAUUUUCAUAGAAUCCUGUAGUAAUUGAGUGCGCCAUGCAUGUUGUAGAGCUAUCAUAUGUCUCCCAUCAUUUAUUUCUCACUGACCUGCUAUCUGCUACCUUUACACUGUACUAAUUGUGCACACACUUCACCCAUACUCACACUAUUGUUUUUUUAUGCAUGGGUAUUUCAGACUCUGACGCAGUGUUGAUGAAUGCAGAAAACAAAAGACUGAAGUCACUCUAGUGUAAUUCGAAGAUAAGCAGUAGGCAUUUCAACACUCUAAUGGGUGCAGUGUCAGCAGUUUGAGAUAGUAAAAGUAGCUCUGCAGUUGAUGAUCUCAAUUGCCACACACAACCAUCCCAGGUGCUUGCUUUAACUUCGCGCUGUCGAAUGUGGUUGCAUGUUGCAUAUGGUGUCUAGCAUGUAUUGCUUCCAAUUUGGUUAAAUUGCAUCUGCUUACUUUACACAUUAUACCUUUGAUAAUGACAUGCCUUCCUAUUUUUGAUACAUACUACAUAUGUCUAUAAACCAUGUUCGUACAUCAAACUAAUGCUCUUUUGUAUCCCUAAUCAAUCACUUAUGUUGAGACAGUCACCCGGGUGGGUUACUAUGAGACGCCCUACUCGUUUAAAGAGUGCAGUGUCAUCCUCCCCACAUGAUUCUCAAGAAACAGCAAGGCCAAAUGAAGAUAAUCAACGUAGCUCUCUAGUUGAUCACCGCAAUUCCCCCACACCACCAUUGCAGGUGCUUGCUCUUACUUGGCAGUGUGAUAUGUUGUUGCAUGUUGCAUAUGGUGUCUACCUUGUAAUGCUUCUAAUUAGGGUAAAUUGCAUCUGCUUAGUUAACACAUUAUACCUGUGAAUAUGACAUGCCUUCCUAUUUUUGGUACAUACUACAUCUUUCUACUAACCAUGUUCUUACAUCAAACUACUUCUCUUGUGUAUCCCUCAUCAAUGCUCCUAAUUUGUUAAAUUGCAUCUCCUUAUCUUACACAUUAUACAUGUGAAUAUGACACGCCUUCCUGUUUUUGGUACAUAGUACAUCUGCCUAUCACACCAUGUUCUUACAUCAAACUACUGUUCUUGUGUAUCCUACGUCUAUCGCUUAUGAUGAGACAUUCGCGCGCGUGGGUUAAUAUGAGACGCAAUACUCUUAUAAAGAAUGCAAUUUCAUCCUCUCCACAUGAUUCUCAAGAAACAACAAGCCUAAAUGAAGAUAUUGAACGUUGCUCUGUACCUGAAGACAACACUUCCCCUACACCACCAUCACAGGUGCUUGCUCCAACUUCGCAGUGUGAUAUGUGGUUGCAUGUUGCAUACGGUGUCUAGCUUGUAAUGCUUCUAAUUAGGGUAAAUUGCAUCUGCUUAGUUUACACACUAUACCUGUGAAUAUGACAUGCCUUCCUAUUUUUGGUACACACUACAUCUAUGUGUUAACCUUGUUCUUACGUGAAACUACCUCUCUUCUGUAUCCUGCAUCAAUUACUUACCAUGAGUCACCUUUCUUCGUUGCAUAUUGCAUAUUAUUUCUAGCCUGUUGCCAUGUAUUGCUUGUAAUUUGGUCAAAUACAUUUGUUAGGGCACCCUUUUAAUUUGGCAGAGUUAUAUUGGUUUCAUCUUUCAUAUGGUUUCUAGCUUGCAUCGAUUCUAACAAGUUCAAGCACCUUGUGCUUAGUGUACACUUUAUACAUCAUACAUGUCAAUACGUCACGCCAUCCUAUUUUUUAUACAUAUUCCAUCCUCCUAUCAUGCGGUUGCCUUACAUGAAAGUAGUGUUCGUCAGUAUCAUGCAUCAAUAUGUUCUGAAGAGCAAAUUUUAUUCCUUUUUCUUAUGGGUUUGACAUGACAAGGCAAAAUCAAGAAAGAGGAAGGAAAAGAGUAAGGAAGGCGAUGAUGGUGGUCCUCUGCAGCAACGUAAACAAGGGGUCUCUACAGAUUCUACUCCGCCAUCCUCCCAACAAGAUUCGCAAGACAACACAAGGCUGGAUAGUCAACGUAGUUGUGUAGAUGAUGAGCACAUCUCCCCUACUACACCAUCACAGGUGCUUGCUCUAACUUGACACUAUUAUAUGUGGUUGCAUGUUGCGUAUGAUGUCUAGCUUGUAUUGCUUCUAACUUGAAUUGCAUCCGCUUACUUUACACAUAAUGCCUGUGAAUAUGACAUGUGUUCCUGUUUCUAGAACAUACGUGUACACGAUGAGCACAUCUCCCCUACUCCACCAUCACAGGUGCUUGCUCUUACUUGGAACUGUUAUACGUGGUUGCAUUUUCCGUAUGAUGUGUAGUUUGUAUUGCUUCUGAUUAUGUUGAAUUGCAUCUGCGUAGAUUACAACUUAUACCUGCAACGAUCACUUACCCAUAAGACACAUUUAACUUGGGACUGUGAUGUAGGUUGCAUCUUGCAUUGUCUUCUAGCUUUUACUGCUUCUAAUUUCUUGAAAUGGCACUUAUGACGAGACACUUUUUACCUGAUAGAGUGAUAUUGUUUGCAUGUUCUUAUGGUGCCUAGCUUUCAUUUCUUCUAAUUUUGUUGAAAUGCCUUCCGCUUACUAUUUUUUCAUACAUAUUCCAUCCUCCUAUGGUACGUGUGAAUAUGAAACACUGUCUUUUUUUGUAUAUAUUGCAUCCUCCUGCGCUUGCCUUACAUCAAAGUAGUGUUCGUCUGUAUCAUGCAUCAACCAGUUAUGCAGAGCUAAUUUUAUUCAUCUUCUUGUGGUUUGACUUCAUAAGGCAAUAUCAGAAAAUAGGAACGAAAAGAGUAAGUUAGGGGAUGUUGGUGGUACUCCGCACCGACGCAAACAGAGACUCUCUAGAUUUGCCACUACUACUGCUAAUGAAGUUGAAGUCCCAAGUCUACAUGAUGAGUUCAUCUCCCACACUCCACCAUCGCAGGUGCUUGCUCUAAGUUGACAGUGUGAUAAUUGGUUUCAUGUUGCAUAUGUUGUCUAGCCUGUAUUUCUUCUAUUUUGAUUAAAUUGCACCUGUUGAGUUUAUACGUUAUACAUGUGCAUAUGACAUGGCUUUCUGUGUCUAGAAUACACUGCAUCUAUCUAUCAUACCAUGUUCUUACAUCAAAGUACAACUGUUGUGUAUCCCGCAUCAGUAGCUCAUGAUUGGAUGCUUUUAACAUGGCAGUUUGAUAGUGGUUGCAUCUUGUAUUGAUUUCUACAUUGUAUUGCUUCAAAUUUUUCGAAUUGCCACUUAUGACAAGACACUUUUAACUUGGCAGAGUAAUAUUGGUUGCAUCUUUCAUAUGGUGUCUAGCUUGCAUUACUUCUAUUUUCUUGAAAAUCCUUCUGCUUAGUUUGCACAUCGUAGCUAUGAAUAUGUCAUGCCGUCCUGUUUUUCUUACAUAUUCCAUCCUCAUACGGUUGUCUUACAUCAAAGUAUUUCUGGUCUGUAUCAUGCAUCAAUGAGUUCUGAAGAGUGAUUUUAUUCUUUUGUGUUGUGGGUAUAGCUUGACAUGGCAAAGUCAAAAAAGAGCAAGGAAAAUAAUAUAGGAGGGAGUGUUGUUACUCGUCGGGUGAAACGGAAAAGGCUCUGCCGUCGAGAUUCUGCUGGAACUUAUAGUGCAGUAGAAGGUCCAAGUCCACCGGCUAAAUCUGCAAACACAGUAUCACCUGCUCCACCAGCUGGAACAUCCUCUUCAACUGUACUAGCAUCUCAACCAGUUACUCAUUCGUUUGCUCUGGAACUGGCCAGUUCCCAAGCUGCCUUCACACCUAACACUACUUCUGAAGCACUGUUGACACAAUAAGACUUGGCAAGAUCAGAGGAACCUCAUGAGCAUUAACACCAAGACGGUACCUGACCGAGUCAAGUUGCAGUUGCAUGCUCCUUUAUAUGUACUCUGACAGUUUAAUGUACACUAACACUUUCCAUAUUCGUUGUUGAACUAGCACCACAACGCAAGCGGAAACAAACAUCAGGGAUAAUGCUUGACAGAUUAACAAAAUCUAAAGGAGGAAGAAUGGAGAUCCAUUUUGAGGCAGGUUCAAAAAGGCCACGUGAUGCUACAGAGUCAGCCAAGUUAGUAUUAGAGGCAGCCGUUGCCGUUAGGUGUCAUGCGCAUAUCCUCCCAACAUGGAUCCUCCCAACACCUUCAUUGACCAUUUAUCUGUAAGUAAUGUUAUUCAUCGCAAUUAGUAAUAUUGUCUUGCUCUGUUCCAUACUUUCUAGCUUCCUCCUAAUAAGACUCACAUUCUUUUUCCAACAAAUAAGGUUCAAGUUGGAUCCGAAAGAUGAUGCAACUAAACAAGCAUGCACUCAUGUUUUUCAGUCUGCUCUGCGAUAGUAUGGGUACCACCUUAGAAAAUCUCACUUUGAAGGCAAGGCUAACAAUGAAAUCUCCCAAACAUCUCUAGUGGAAUAUAUUACAGAUGAAGACUGGACAUCCCUUGUUAAACACUGGUCUGAUCCAAAGUAUCAGGUAGGCUAUAUGUAUUUGAUCAGACCACAUAUUGAACUUGUAUUUAUGUAUGUGCCUUACAAGUGUAUCUUCUUCUAGGCUAACUGUUUGAAGAACAAAACCAACCGUUCUAAAGUGAAAUUCCAACAGACAACAGGAUCUCGUAGCUAUAUUGCACACUGCGAGGCUCUUGUAAAUAGCUUCUACUUCCUUCUUUUUUUUGUGCCAUAUUAUCGUAUCUAUAUUGACUUGUUCCAAAUACAGCAAAAAGCACGUGCGGACCAAAAAGAACCUAAACCGAAUGCAGUGCAAAUCUUCAAGGAUUGCCACACCAGCAAGAUGAAGGGCAUGAGCACACCAUUUCAAGCUGCUGUUGUAAGUCCUUACUCCUCCUGCCUUGAACUGAUUGGUAAUGUAAUGUGUUCAUUUAACUACUUGGUUUGCAGCCAAUGUCACUUACUCUGUUCACUUUUAUACAUAGUUGUCUUAACGUAUCAUUUCACCUUACAUGGUUUAAAAGAGAUGAAGGAUAUUCUUUUGGUCUUGAUCUGUAACCUAGUUGUUAUGUUCACGUGCGCACACAAUGAUAAAAUAGCCUGUUUGUUUUAUAUCUGUUUGCCCAUGAUAUGAAUGAUGUCAUACUAUGUUCAUCCUACUUUAAACCAUGUCUCUUUAUCCUUAGAUGUCAACGACUGUGAGGAAAUAGACAAUACAGUAGGCAUGCUACAUGGACAUAUGUUCCGAAAGUGAUUUUAUUAUGUAGUUGGCACUACAAUACAUGCUAAUGUAUUACAGUAGUUCACAAAAAUAAGUUAUGUAUAAACGUUUAACCUACUUUGUUUGUUUUUUGUCUCAUUAGUAACUCACUGGUACACUAAUCUACAAGUUCAAAAUUUCAGGAAGCUAUGGAACAAAUGAUUGAACAACCACAACCACCUGAAGGUGACGAGGCUACUACAGGCACAAUGUCACCUCUUGCUGCAGUGCGUCAGUAUCUCUCCACUAACAGUGAAAAAAGCACCUUCCUGCGUAAUUCUGGGUUGGUUGUCAAGGUAAUCUCGUCCAAAUAGCCUACUGAACAAAAUCUUCCUGCUAGACAGAGUGAUAUAUCUGUGCUCCAGACACAAGUCCAAUCCCUAAUGGAUGUUGUUUCAGAAACAAGAAUAGUGGUUGAGAAAUGCCCUCAAGAUAUGAAUGGUUUUGAAACCAGACUAUCAGACAUUCGCUUCGUUGUUGAAGAGCAAUGGCGGAAAAAGGUGGAGAUCGUGCUGCUCCAUCAGAUUCUACAGCCUGAAACAUUAGCACUCGGGUCAAAUGAUCUGUGCUUCUAUACAUCUGAUGGUGCUUUUAUCUAGAAGGACUAUAAACUUUAUGCCAACAUGCCUUUUGUUGUAUGAUUGGAAUUUAUUUUUUUGUGAUACAACAUUUAUGAUGCUGCCACAGGCUGCAGUAAUUAUGACGCUAUUUUUGUAUAGUGUAGGUUUAUCUUAGUAAUGUAUUCGGACGAAAGCUUUGUAGGAGCCCAACAUGCCAACAUUCGUCGGGCCCAUUCCAAUUGGGCUAAAAACGAUUACGGGUCGAAAUUGGCAUGUAGCCCACUAAAAAUAUCUGGGCUUAUAUUAGCAUAAGCUUUCAAAUUUUUCUGGUAGGCCUGUGCCCAUAGUGGGCCUUUAACAGACCUAAACAUAAUUUGGGCCCUCAGUAAAAGUAGGCCGUUUACAGGUGUAAAUAUGUCGAGCCCAUAAAAAACAUGGGCCUUUAAUAGACCGAAAGUGAGACUGGGCCCUGAUUGUGCCAAAUAACCCACUGGACUUAGGAGGCCGAAAUGGUGGCCCAUUUACGAUGCGGAUAUUUGACAGGCCGAAAUUUGGACGGGCCGUAAAUGCGCCGACCUAAUACACGGGUGUUUAAUAGGCCGGAACUUCGGUCGGGCUAGAUUAUCGUCAUUUUUAUAUGGGCCGUUAAUGGGCCCGAUAUGACGUUGGGCCACAUAUGGCCCAUGGUUUACGUCCGGCUUUAACAGGCCGAAAAUGACAACAGGCCGAAAGUGGGCCAAAUCUAUAGUGGGCCUCUAACAGACCGAAUGAUAGACAUGGCCGAAUAUGACCCAAAUCCUUCACAGUCGUUUAUGGGCCGAAAGUUUUGAUGGCCUGUAAAUGGGCCCAAACGAAGCCGGACCUUUAACAGGCUGGAAAUACACCGGGCCGUAAUUCGACCCAAUUACUUAGCGGACUGUUAACGGGCCAGAAGUGACCGUGGGCCGCAUUGAUGACAAGUUUAGACCAGGCCGUUGACGGGCCGAUUUGACACAGAAUUUUGGGCCUUUAGCUGGGUCAGCCCAUUAUGGUCUGCUGAAUCUUGUGGGCCUUUAGCUGGGCCGGCCCAUUGUGGUUAGCAAAAUCUUGUGGGCCUUUAGUUGGGCCGUCCCAUUAUGGUCCGCUAAAUUUUGUGGGCCUUUAGCUGGGCCGACCCAUUAUGGUCCGCUAAAUCUUAUGGGCCUUUGGUUGGGCCGGCUCAUUUAAACUUUAUGGGCCACUUUUGGGCCGGUCCAUGUGUCAACAUAUCAUAGGCCCAUCUCGACCAUUGGAUGAGUGACACCUAUGCCAACGCGGAGCUAACACGUGGAUCCGUCAGCCAAUGAGAAUUUUACACGUGGAAAUCGGCAUUGGUCAUGGCUGUUAACGGGUUAUCGGAUCCAAAAUCCGCCCCGAUAGCUUAAUGACAUUCCGUUACGGUGGAUGCCACGUGUCGGUCACCCUUGACGAAAGCACUUGUGUGACGCGCGAUUUAUCAUCAUGGAAGUGUACACUUCCGUGAUGAUAAUUUUGGUAAUGUCAUGGAACACUUCUAUGACAGCACAAGUAUGACUCUCUUGAUUCUGUCAUAAAUUUGUCAUGGAUGUACAUGCAUGACAAAAAACGCGACCUACUGUGACAAACACGUAUCAUCAUGGAAGUGUAUUUUUUUUGUAGUGUCUAUUCUCUGAGUCACUUGGGAUUUAUAUCUUCUGAUCACUAAGAAGAAGUUGAAAGAUCAAAGAACUAAAAUUUAUCCCUCAACUACGAGGGGAGGUAAGGAACUGCCAUCUAGCUCUGCACUAGAUUCUCCUUUUGUUAUGAAUAAGCUUGCGACACCUAAACCUGCUACUGCUAUGAAUUCUGAUAUGUCGCAUGUUAUUGAUGAUGCCACUUCUGCUAUGCAUGAUACUUAUGAUGAAACUACUUCUAUGCUUGAUACUACUGUGCCAUUAGGUGAAUUUCUUGAAACAACUUACUAAGGCUAGGGGAAUGAAAUUAUUGAAAAUGAAAUUAUUGAUGAAAGUGAUGAUGAAGGUUCUCCUCCUAAUUAUGAAUUGCAUGUUGUUCCUGAGGGUUAUGUUAUGGCUGAAGAAACUGCUAGAGAUUUUCUUGCUUGCAAUGAUAGAUUAGAUCUUAAGAAAUUGUUAGCUAAGCUGAAACAAAAAACUCUAAAUGCUAGAACGAAACAUGACCCUGCUUUUGCCACUUCACCUAUCUUUGUUACUGAUAAGGAUUAUGAAUUCUCUGUUGUUCCUGAGAUUAUUACUUUAGUUGAAUCCAAUCCUUUCGAUGGCACUGAAUCUGAAACUGUUGUGGCACAUCUCACCAAGUUAAAUGAUAUAGCCACCCUGUUUACUAAUGAUGAGAAGUCUCGCUAUUAUUAUAUCCUUAAGAUAUUUCUGUUCUGAUUAAAGGGUGAUGCUAAGACUUGGUUUAAUUCCCUUGAUCCUAGUUGUGUGUGUGGUCCCCAGGAUAUGAUUUAUUACUUCUCUGCUAAAUAUUUCCCUGCUCAUAAGAAACAAGCUGCCUUGCGGGAAAUAUAUAACUUUGUGCAAAUCGAAGAAGAGAGUCUCCCACAAGCUUGGGGGAGGCUUCUCUGAUUACUUAAUGCUUUGCCUGAUCAUCCUCUUAGGAAAAAUGAAAUACUUGAUAUCUUUUAUAAUGGACUAACCGAUGCUUCCAAGGACUACUUGGAUAGUUGUGAUUGUUGUGUUUUCAGGGAAAGAAUAGUUGACCAAGCUGAAUUACUAUUGAAUAAUAUGUUGACUAAUGAAAAUAAUUGGACUCUUCCUGAGCCAAUUCCUGAGGCAAUUCCUGAACCAAUUGAUCCAACUCCUGAGCCUAUUCCUAAACCUACUCCGAAGAAGAGAGGUGUUCUAUUUCUCAGUCCUGAAGAUAUGCAAGAGGCAAAGAAAUCAAUGAAAGAAAAAGGUAUUAAAGCUGAAGACAUUAAGAAUUUACCUCCUAUUGAAGAAAUACAUGGUCUUAAUAUACCACCUGUUGAAGAAACACAUUGUCUCGAUAACCCGACAUAGGUAGUGAAGGUAAAUUCUCUCUAUAGAUAUGAUAAAGUUGAAAGUCCCUCUACUAAAUUUCAUAGCCCAUGCUUAGAUGAAUUUGAUGACUUUAUGGAUAAACAAGCAAAUUUCAAUGAUUAUGUUAGUAGAGAAUUGAAAAAUAAUGGUUAUAUGAUAGGACGCUUGAGUGAUUAUAUGUCUAGAGUUAAGGGUGAACUUAAACUCACUAGUAAACAUGCUUCUAUGGUUGCCACUCAAGCUAAACAAGUACUUAAGGCUCAGAAUGAAUUGCUAGAUGAACUAAAUAAUAAACAUGACUUUGCUGUUAGAGUGGCUACUAGAACUGGUAAAAUGACUCAGGAACCUUUGUAUCCUGAAGGCCACCAUAAGAGAAUUGAACAAGAUUCUGAGAAUAAUAAUCUAGAUGCUCCUAGUUCUUCUAAGAAAAAGAAAAAGAAAAAUUAUAGGACUUUGCAUGCUUCUAGUGAACCUAAUGUAGAAACACCUGAGAAUCCUAAUAAUACUUCUAUCUCUGAUGCUGAAACACAAUCCGGAGAUUAACAUGAAUCUAAUGAUAAUGCUAAUAAUGAUGUUCAUGUUGAUGCUCAACCUAGUAAUAACAAUGAUAUAGAAAUUGAACCUGCUAUUGGUCUUGAUAACCCACAAUCAAGAAACCAACAUUAUGAUAAGAGAGAUUUUGUUGCUAGGAAGCAUGGUAGAGAAAGAGAACCAUGGGUUCAGAAACCCAUGUCUUUUCCUCCUAAACCAUCCAAGACAAAGGAUGAUGAGGACUUUGAGAAUUUUGCUGAAAUGAUUAGACCUAUUUUCUUACGCAUGCGCUUAACUGGUAUUCUUAAAACAAACCCUUAUGCUAAAUAUAUGAAAGAUAUCAUUACAAAUAAAAGGAAAAUACCUGAAGCUGAGAUUUCUACCAUGCUCGCUAACUAUACCUUUAAGGGUGGAAUACCUAAGAAACUUGGUGAUCCCGGAGUACCCACUAUACCAUGCUCCAUAAAAAGAAAUUAUGUUAAAACUUCUUUAUGUGAUUUAGGAGCCGGUGUUACUGUUAUGCCUCUUUCCUUGUACCGUAGACAUGAAUUAAGUAAGUUGACACCCACUGAGAUAUCCUUGCAAAUGGCUGAUAAAUCAACUGCUAUACCUGUCGGUAUUUUUCAUGACGUGCCUGUUGUUGUUGCGAAUGUUACUAUCUUAAUAGACUUCGUCAUUCUUGAUAUUCCCGAGGACGAUAGUAUGUCUAUUAUCCUUGGUAGACCCUUUUUAAAUACUGCAGGAGCUGUUAAUGAUUGCAACAAAGGCAAUGUCAUCUUUCAUGUUAGUGGAAAUGAGCACACGGUACAUUUUCCAAGAAAACAACCUCAAGUUCACAGCAUAAAUUCUAUUGGGAAAAUUCUAUUAAUCAUUAUUGGAGGUUUUGAAUUUCCUCUCCCUACUGUCAAGAAAAAGUAUGAUAUUCUUAUUGUUGGGGAUGUCCAUAUCCCCGUUGAGGUAACCUAGUGUCACAUCGAAAUUUCUCCGGUUCCGUGUUAUUCGGAAUGAGUUUGUUAACAAGACUUGAUCAACCUUGUUAGUGGAUUCAUUUUGAUGAUCUUGAGAUGGAUGAAACUAGAAGGCACAACCUUCUGUACCCUCUUUUUACUUUCUGUUAUUUAAAAUAAAUAAAGCAAAAAUAGUAUUAUCUGUCUGUUUUUUGAAUUGUCCAUGCAAUAAAAUAAUAUCCCAAAACUAAAAGUGCUCCAAAUGCCCUGCAAAUUUAGUAUGAUUUUUUAUGGAAUAUUUGAGGAUUUUAGGCACUGAAAUCACUUCAGGAGGGGCAAGCACCAGGCCACGAGAGUGGAGGGCGCGCCCACACCCCCUGGGCGCCCCCCUGUCUCGUGGGCCCCUCGUGGAACCCCUCCACUUUUGUCAGCACCCACACACUCCAUCUUCUUCCCAAAAAAAUCCCCAUCCAGCUCAAGCACGAGUUCUAGCUCAUUUUGCUGCGAUUUUCGAUCUCCUUGCUCAAAGCUCCAUUCACAAAACUGCUUUGGGAGAUUGUUGCUUGGUAUGUGACUCCUCCAUUGGUCCAAUUAGUUUUUGUUCUAGUGCUUUAUUCAUUGCAAAUCCUUACUGUCUUGGUGACCCUGUUCUUGAGCUUGCAUGUUAAAUUUAUGAGGUCCCAAGUAAUUCUAAUGCAUGAUAUAGGCUCUAGGCACUUGUAGGAGUAGUUGCUUUCAAUCUUGUUUAGUUUUAUUCACUUUUAUUUUGAAGUUACUAAAAUUUCAGAAAUUUCUCAGAAAAAGAAUUAUGUCUAGGAGAAUGUACCAAGGUGGUUCCUCAGUAAAUAAAGGACCCAGGAUUGCUAUACGUGAGCAAGACGGUGAACUACCGAGGGGUGCAGAAGUACGAGCUUGUGAGUGGCCAUCAGACGAUUUUAUGGUCGAAGCAGGCUUUAAGGAGGAAUUUGACGCGUAUGUGCGUAAUGCCGAUCUGGAGGACUUCUUACAAGAUAAGUGUCCUUAGUAUUAUCAAUUGACUGAUUCAUUUGUGCGAAGGUUAAAAUAUAAAUGUAUACGUAAUUCUCCGAGUGUCCUAUUUGAUAUCUAUGAUACAUCUUAUACCAUGGACUUAAGGGAUUUUACCACUGCUUUCAAACUUCCACAAUGGGGCAAUAUUAAUGAUCCCCACAAAUCUGAAUUUAGAGAUUUCCUUGCUAGUAUUACUAUGGGAGAAUCUACGGAUAUUGCACAAGCUACCAUAGGGAGCAUUCAUUUUCCUGCUAUACAUUAUUUUGCUCUCCUCAUUGGUAGAUUCAUUGAUGCUAAAGAUGAAGCAUGUCAUAUGUGUCUACCUGAUCUUUGUGUCCUCAAGAGUGCUGUGUUAGGUUAUAAAGAUUAUAACUUGGGGGCAAUAGUUGCACGUAGGUUGCAUAAAAAUGGUAGAGCUGGAGAUUUAUUUGAAGGAAUUUAUGCGACCCGUGUGGCAAAUUAUCUUUGUAUAGCCCCACGAGAGGGGGAUAUGAUGUGAGCUCCUGCUUCUUUAGAUUAUGACGCUAUGGCCCAACAUCAUUUUCUUAAGAGGAAUGAAUAAUUCCUCCAGUAUCGACUAAUCUUUGACAAACAUAGCGCUAUCCAUGUUACUCUUCUUGCUCAUUUCCUUUUUGAUUACCAGGCAAAAGGAAGAUAUGUUGUUACCAGGGAGGAAGCAGCUGAACACGAGGGGAGAGCGGAGGCGGCUCGCCAACAUGCCGCAGCUCAGGAGGCAUUUGCUGCUGCAUCUCAGUAUGAACCCAGUUACAACUACGAAUAUCAGCCAGGCUACCCUUGGCAUUAGACCAACUUAGGCCAAAAACCUAAGCUUGGGGUGGUACGUAUUUCUCACCGACUUUACAUUCAUGUUCACACACUAUUCUAGUCGUCGGUGCUCAUACACUUUCAUUGUAUAUUCCAUGCUAGUUUAAUUUUCUUUUCCUGGUUUUCUUCUUGUGUGUUUGAUAAACCUAAAGAAAAACCAAAAAAAUUAGUUAGUUUAAUUUCCAUGCUUAUAGUAGAAAUAAAAAUGAAAACCCGAAAAUAUUUCUCGUUCUUCUUUUACUUGUUGGGAGCUUUCCCGUGUAAAUAGUUUUAUUUUCUUUUCUUUCCUUUGGGGGUCGAGAGUAGAAGACCAUAUUGAAAUUGUUUAGUGGCUCUCAUAUGCAUGAUUGUUAAUUUAACUUAGAGCCCAUAUUACUUUGUCUUCUCUCUUGAGUUGAAUGCUUGCAGAUUCCAGCUUAGUCCAAUGCACGUGCACUAUUAUUAUAUGACACAUCGUUCGUUCGUGCAAGUGAAAGGCAAUAAUGACGAUAUAUGAUGGACUGAUUGAGAUGAGAUAAGUUGGUAUGAACUCGACCUCUCUUGUUUUUGUAAAUAUGAUGAGUUCAUCGUUCCUGAUUCAGAUUAUUAUGAAGUAAACAUAUUUGCAAUGACAUUUGGAGAUUAUAGUUGCUUGUGCCAUGCUUGAUUAGUAUGAGUUAUAAUGGUCUACCUUGCGUGCCAACAUGCUAUUGAAAUGAUUAUGAUGUGGUAUAAUGGGAUGGUAUCCUCCUUUGAAUGAAUUGAGUGACUCGACUUGGCACAUGUUCACGCAUGUAGUUGAAACAAACCAACAUAGCUGUCGGUGUCAAAACCGGCGGAUCUCGGGUAGGGGGUCCCGAACUGUGCGUCUAGGCGGAUGGUAACAGGAGACGAGGGACACGAUGUUUUUACCCAGGUUCGGGCCCUCUUGAUGGAGGUAAAACCCUACGUCCUGCUUGAUUAAUAUUGAUGAUGUGGGUUACAAGAGUAGAUCUACCACGAGAUCAAGGAGGCUAAACCCUAGAAGCUAGCCUAUGGUAUGAUUGUUGUUCGUCCUAUGGACUAAAGCCAUCCAGUUUAUAUAGACACCGGAGAGGGCUAGGGUUACACAGAGUCGGUUACAAAGGUAGGAGAUCUACAUAUCCGUAUCGCCAAGCUUGCCUUCCAUGCCAAGGAAAGUCCCAUCCGGACACGGGAUGAAGUCUUAAAUCUUGUAUCUUCAUAGUCUUGGAGUCUGGCCGAUGAUGAUAGUCCCUGAACCAGGCUUCAAUGAUGACAAGUCCGGUGCGCAUAUUGUCUUCGGCAUUGCAAGGCGGUUUCCUCCUCCGAAUAAUUUAUAGAAGAUCGUGAACACCAGGAUAGUGUCCGGCUCUGCAAAAUAAAUUCCACAUACCACCGUAGAGAGAAUAAUAUUCACACAAGUUCAAUCUGCUGACGUAUUCCGUGGCAUGACGUCACACCACAACCAAGCCUUCAAAUUGUUUUUAUUGUACCACUUCAGCGCGUUUAGCGAAGCAGUUUCCUUGGCACGUCCUGUCGAAGCAAAGAUCGUGUUCCCCUUAUUCCGGGAUUCCCAUCAAUACAGAGGUGGGUAACCCAACCGCGCCCGUUGCCACGCCCCCUCCAUCGAAGGCGGGUUCCAAACGGUCACAGGGACGGCUCUUGGUAUUCUUCCUCUUUAUAAUGAGACCAAGGCCCGUUCUUUUUAUUCAAUCUUCUAUCGAAUCCGCCCCUCUCCCUGAGUUCCAACACCCAGGGCUCUGAAUUUAGGUACCUUCGAUCCUUGACAAUGUCCGGUCCUGAUCUACGAGGCCAGUGGGUGCCCUCCUCCGUCACGGAGGAGGACGUGCUAAAGCUGAGAGUUGCCCGGUAUUUAACUUACGAGAUUUCGCAUAGGCUGCCUGCCCGAGGGCAAGUUAUCCCAACUCCCGAGCCCGGCGAGAUCGUCGUGUUCAUGUCCCACUUCCGUUGGGGUUUAGGCUUCCCGAUGGAUCCCUUCAUGAGGGGGCUCAUGUUUUACUAUGGGCUAGAAUUCCACGACCUGGCUCCGGAGUCCAUCCUCCAUAUCUCAUCAUUCAUUGUCGUUUGUGAAGCCUUCCGCCGCACUACCCCUCACUUUGGCUUAUGGCUCAAAACCUUCAACGUGGAGCCGAAGAUGAUUGAGGGGCGUCAGGCAGAGUGCGCCGGGGCGGUUAAAAGCAAGAGGGCUGAAGCUCCAUGGCCCAAGGGCUCUUUCCAAGAGGAGCUCGGCUUGUGGAAACAAGAGUGGUUUUAUAUCACCGCUCCUCGGGGCAGCAGGCAGAAGCCGCCGCCCGUCUUUUGCUCGGGCCCUCCACAGCAGCUGACGUCAUGGGUCAACAAGGGGCGUGACUGGGGGUCGCCCAAAGACGUCCCCCUGUUGCAGGACCGGAUUUGAGUCCUCCAAGAAAGGGAGAUCAAUCUGGUCGCAGUGGUGCAGGUCAUUUUUAUCCGGUGCCUACUGCCCUGCAAACGUCGCCCCCUCCUCCUAUGGGAAUUUAAUUCGGAGGGGCCACGAGCUCUUCAACACUUCAUGGGUUUGGCUCCCAUGGAGAUGUAUAAACUAUUCUUUGGAUCGCAAGAGGUGCAUCCGGAAUUGACCGAGGAUGCUGGCCUAAGCUGCAAUCGCCCGGAUACUCAAGUAAGUAGCCCUGUGUCCGGACACACCAUCCAUUUAUUUAUCGUGAGCUUGCCUUUUAACCAGCUAUCCCUGGACAGGAGUGGAUAGCGCAAGCAAAACUGAUACGGUGUCCGGCCCCCCUCCCUGAGACCACGCAGGAUCCCGUGUUAAUUAAAAUGUUGGAGGUUGCACCUUCAAAUGAGGGCGAAGGGGGGCACGGGGAAACUGUCACCUCUGCCAAGGAGGCGUUUAAUAAGGGAGGAAUCGAGAGUCCCUCCUUCCAGGGGGAGAAGCGGAACGCUUCCGAAGACACGGAGGCCAAGGCCUCAAAGCGGGGAAAGAAAUCGGUACCGGAAGGUCCUGCGCCAGAAAGCGCCCCGGCCGUACUGUCUCCUUGGACGAAUCAGCCCUCUAACGAGCCAUAAGUAAAAAGGGGGAUUUUAUAAUUAUUAGACACCCCUGCUUAAUGUCUAAAGGUAACCGAAGUUUUUACCUUGUAGUUCGGAUCUCAGCCCAUCUCAGCACAACUCAUCUUCGGGAGACCUUCGUCUGGAGAUGAUGGAGACUGAAACGCCUCCAUCUGCCACCCCAUCGCAUGGGGCGGACGACCCUGAGGUGUCGUCGUGGAGGGUCUCCCCGAGUCCAGCGGGGCCGGAGAGUUCAGCACCCAUUGGAGUACGGCCGAUGGAGCUGUAGGAUUUGCUUAAUAGGCGUCCAUCUCAGAAGAUCACCGCACAUUAAUGGGUAAUGUGAUUGAAAGGAUCUUGUCCGCCGAAAGCGGGUUGUAUGAGGCCGUCGGAAGUUUACUGACGGGAUUUGAGGUAUUGACAGUUUUGCACAUGAAGUGCGCCCUGUAUAGUAGCCCCUGAGACUUGGUAUGCUGUUGAAAACGGCAGCGUGCCUAGGAUCAUAAUCUCAGAUAUUAACUGUCGCCUUUCCUAUGUAGGCGGCGGAACGUUCGGUGGCCAGCCGGACGGAUGGAUUCGCCGAGCUGAAGAAGAAACUCGACGCUGCAGAUGCGGACAUCUCGCUGGUCAAUAAACGACUUGAUGAGUCACAAGGUAUGUGAUUGCGCCGCGGUCGCUUAGUAAGAGAGCUGAUUCCCAUUCCUUACAAGUUGUAUGCUUGAUGCAGAUGGUGCUGCUGCUGUGGAAGACCUUCGAGCGGAACUUGCUGGGGCAAGGAGCAGGGCAGAAAAAGCGAGGCGGCUGCCUUGAAGGCAGCAGAAGAGCUAGAAGCCGAGAAGGCUGCUCACUGCCGAAGCAGGGAGGAGAUGGCCGGAAUGGCCAUCAAAUUAAAAGUUGCUACCGACCGCCUGGAGGUUCUUGAAGGAGAAUGCCGAGCGGAGCAAGAGGACCUGAAGAAGGCCGAUGCCGAAGCCAAGGAUGCCCGUAGUGCGAUGCGGGCUAUGAAGGAGGAACUGCGUCAGGUCAGAGACAUUGUAGCUGGAAAGCCCUUUAUGCUGCGUAGGAAGUUCCCGGAUCCGAAGUAUGCUCAACUGGGCCGAUUGUAUGGUGCGGAGGAUCCUUAUCUGGACUUGGCGGCGAGUGCGGCUGACGCAGUCGUGCACUUUCGAAGCCAGGAGGAUCAUGAAAUGGAAGGGCUUUUCUGGUCUCAAUUCCAUAGUCCGGAGCGUCCACUUCCGUUGAGUGAUCGGUUGGUUGAGUGGGCUGAGCUGAAUAGAUUGUCUGGACUGGCCAUGAUGGAUGUGGUAACUCAUCUGUGGCCGAAAAUCCCCAAGCCAAAGAGUUAUUUUGGCUUGUUGCAGCAAUUCCUUGGGGCAGUGCCGCAUAUUAAGGCGAUGAAGCGGUUGGCAUGCAUAGAAGGUGCACGGAUGGCUCUCGCCUGUGGUAAAACAUACUAGGCGGAGAUGGAUGCCACCGCUGUUGCAUCCCGGGGUUCGGACAAAAGCCGAUUCCCCACCGAGCAUUACUUUGAGGAAGUCCUGCAGGGCGCUCGUAUAAUAGAGUCGCAGUGCUCGAAAGAUGUUAUGUUUGAAUGACAUGUAUGAUUUCUAAGAUCAUGUUUAUAAUGCAAUGACUUUUUAUACUUGUGUGUUCAAGUAUUGAACUAUCUCCUGUGCAGCCGUAUAUGUAUGUAUAAUCUGAAAGAUGGCAGUCUUUGGCUUUAGCCCCCACGCACAUGGUGCGGGGGUGUUUGCAAAAAGAAAAACGCUUUUUCACACUUAAUCCAAAGUCUUGGUCCUUUUAAGGAGGUGAUAGCAUGGCAAACUAGGCAACCGGACUAUAAUGCUUUAUCACUUUCACUUAGCCAUAGGAGCUCGAAUGUGGGGUUACUCUAUAGCCCCUGAUGGCACCGCGCUUCUCCGAACUUGGGGCUCGUAUGUGCCUGACCGGGAAGCGGUCCUUCUUCAAAGCGGAGGAAUUCUAAACAUUCCAAUGGUCGAUCGAGUGGUUGACCAGUCUCUCGCUAUAUCAUGACAGUCAGUUUUCGGCUUUCUCUACUGAGGUGCUCUCCCGGCCGAACCGGGGCACAAUCGCAGUAGUUCUCCUGGUGCCGCGUUAGCCGAUGAUACGGAACGGAAGGUAGCAAAACACAGGAGUCGGGCAAACCCAACAUUUGACCAAAGACAUGAUUCGGAGCUGAUGCAUAUAAGGCCUAACUGGAGACGCCGAACACUCCCUAAGGUGUUCAGUCUUUAUGAUAUCGAGCAGAAUAAAGCCCUAAGCCCCUAGUGUCCAGGUAUAGGCGGGAACUUCUGACGCGGCCGAUGCCAAAAUGCCAGCCUCCUCCUCGGCUCUGGUGGGAAACCGGGGGAUGUGUAUCAACAAGAGGCGGUGAGAAAGGUUUACGCAGGGUCUUAAUCUGAAAAGAAUCCUUGCAACGGGUCCCUACUGCACGUCUGCGCCUGUGUCUCCGUUGUGCUGUAUCCUGGAUGGGUGUAGCACGUGCUUCAUCUGUAAAAGAGAAGGACUUAGUUUCUAAGAAAUACCAUGCAAAAAGUGUAUCAAAAUAAAGUAUAAUUUGGAAGAUGAAGAAAGUUGAGCUUUAUUGUCUUUCAUCAUUUAUACGUGCGGCCCCCUAAAAAAAGAGGGUAUGCGGAUGGGAAGCCCCUUGCCGGACUCGUCUAUCCAUGUCCAAGGUCUAAAUGACCUGUUUUUAGGGGCUUUGACCUACAAGAUCGGCAUAAUGUGUGGCUGUCUAGGUAGCCGCACAUUCUCCGUGGUCGAGAGACACCUGGAGUUUUAAGAAUAUGCCACGUGGACCGGGCAUUUUUAAGCGUAAGAGAUGUGUAAUGCGGUAUUGCAUGAAAGCACGCGAAAGCUACACGCCCCAGUAGUGCUUAAGGGCUACUACUAAAUGGGGCGAUGGAGGUUGAGCUUUUCGCGACGGAGGUUGUCGGAUGAACCGAAUACGACCCCUAGUGGUACAGAGCCUAUAAAAUUGGCUAAAAAGGCCUAGCGUCACUCCUUUUAAGGAAGUGCUGCUAUAACGAAUUUUGGUGGGUUCUAUCCCCUGUCUGCGGACGGUGUCCUGAUAUAGCAGGGGCCGCGCUGUGUGUUAUCACGUGAACUGAGUUCACUGUUUUGACUUCUAAUGGGAAAGUCUUUUGUUUUCCGGAGCGCUGCUUUUGGGUUUCGUCACUAUCACUUGGUGUGUCGAGCCCUUUGUGUUCGGCGUUAAGUCGGCCGGACUGCUUGAAGACCCAACAAUCUCUGUGGGUAUGGUUUGCAGGCUUCCCGGAGGUACUGUGUAUUUGACACAGUCUAUCCAGAAUCUUGUUGAGGUUGGAUAACUCGUCACUGUUAUCCUUUAAGGGCAGUGUUUUGUUGUUCGGCCGAAAGCUUUUGAAUCCGGCGUUGACCGCCGUACUAUUUGGGCCAUUCUCCUUAUUCCGGCGCUGAUCUUUUUUGUGUCGUGAUUUUCCAUUUCCAUCCCUGAUUUCGGAUGUACUCGGGUCGCUGGUGCUGCAUCUAGCCAACCAGUUGUCUUCCCCCGCGCAAAAGCGGGUCAUGAGACUUGUUAGUGCGGCCAUGGUUCUUGGUUUUUCCUGGCCGAGGUGUCUGGCGAGCCAUUCUUCUUGGACGUUGUGUUUGAAGGCUGCCAAGGCUUCAGCGUCCGGACAGUCGACUAUUUGGUUCUUUUUAGUGAGGAACCUGUUCUAGAAUUUGCGUGCUGAUUCUCCGGGCUAUUGAGUUAUGUGACUUAAAUCAUCUGCAUCCGGAGGCCGGACAUAAGUCCCCUGAAAAUUUGCUCGAAACGCAUCCUCAAGCUCUUCCCAACUCCCAAUCGUAUUUUCUGGGAGGCUUUUAAGCCAAUGCCGGGCCGGCCCUUUGAGCUUGAGGGGAAGGUAUUUUAUGGCAUGGAGAUCGUCUCCUCUUGCCAUGUGUAUGUGUAGGAUAUAAUCCUCAAUCCAGACUCCGGGGUCUAUUGUUCCGUCGUAUGCCUCUAUGUUUAUGGGUUUAAAUCCCGCUGGAAAUCCAUGAUCCAGUACCUCGUCGGUAAAACAUAGUGGGUGUGCGGCGCCCCUGUAUUUGGGUGUGCUGUUGUCUUCAAAUGCUCGGCUGGUUGUGUUACUUCCUCGAGUCUUCUUUUUUGGCCCAUAGAUAGAUCUGGCCGGGUUAUCCUUUUUCUAAAGAUCUUUAUGCUGAUCAUGUGUCGGCUUGUGUGUGGCGCCCCGUGUUGCUCUAGGCCUGUCAUCUGGUCAUCUAUCCGGCCAGGCGGCCCCUUUCUUUUUUGACUGCGGGGGCUCAAAGGCCUCCUCGUCAAAUUCGGGCAACAACUUGCGCUUCGGGUAGCUCUUUGUCUGGUGACUAGUGCCAUAUUUAUCUGCGGUGUUGAGUACUUUGCUCCAUCUUAUUCUGGGUGUGUCUUCCGCUGUUUUGAGCUUCCGCUUUUGCUUCUUCAAACUUCUUGCAGUGGCGACGAGCCUGUUAUGGAGAUUCGUAUGCUCUGGUGAUGUGAGAUCAUCUUCGCCGGGGAUGGGUUGCUUGUCCGGUUCAUGUCCGGCUGGCUGCUUGUUGACGUGUGCGUCGUCCACUGCUUCGCCCUGCUCUAGGGCCGGGUCCAUAUGGGUACCGUUUUUGUCGAUGCCGGUCUUCGGGCGGCGCUUGCGUCGCCGCUUUGUUUGUUUGUUGGGGGAGUUGUCCUUCGCCACAUCCCGUUUUUCCUCAUUGUCGCUUCCUUUUGGUGUGUCCACCAUGCAUACAUUGUGGGAUGGGGUGGCUUUCCUGCGCCCGUUAGGCGCUGGUUCUUGGUCGUCUCCAGCAUCGUCGUCCAUACCGUCAAUGUCCUCAGAGUCGUAAUCUAGCCUGUCGGUUAGGUCGUCGACAGUGGCUACCAAGUGGGUGGUGGGUGGGCUCUGAAUUUCUUCGCCGUCCGCAUCCCAACCGUCCUGGCCGCAGUCCGGCCAGGCCUCUCCUGAUAACGAGAGGUACUUUAGCGAACUCAAGAUGUGACCAAAAGGUGAGUGUUGAAAGGUGUCCGCCGCGGUGAACUCCAUGAUCGGUGCCAAUCGGAUUCGACUGGAGGGGGCGCGGGAGGUCCGGAGUCUGAUAAGGAGUCCGGCACCUCGGAGUCACGAGCUUCAUGGGGGACAAGAUCGUUGUUCGGCUCUAUCACCGUAGAGGUUGCAGCCCCCGAGGUGGUGUCUAGCCAUCCAUCCUUGGUCUGCGCAGCCGGCUCCGAGUCGAAGAUCAGAGCGGGUUCGAGUGCGGCCUCCAGGGUACUGUCCGGCUGCAGAGCUAAAUCAUGCCCAUCAUGAUAGUACGGCACGCUCGGCUGUGGCUCGAAUCCAUCGAGGAUCAAGUCCCCGCGGAUGUCAGCCGUGAAGUUCAAACUUCCAAGUCUGACCUGACGGCCAGGGGCGUAGCCUUCGAUCUGCUCCAGCUGGCCAAACGAAUUGGCCCGCAGUGUGAAGCCGCCGAAUACGAAGAUCUAUCCGGGGAGGAAGGUCUCACCCUGGACUGCAUCAUCGUUGAUGAUCGAAGAUGCCAUCGAGCCUAUCGGUGACGACACAGAGGACCUCUCAAUGAAAGCACCAAUGUCGGUGUAAAACCGGCGGAUCUCGGGUAGGGGGUCCCGAACUGUGCGUCUAGGCGGAUGGUAACAGGAGACGAGGGACAUGAUGUUUUUACCCAGGUUCGGGCCCUCUUGAUGGAGGUAAAACCCUACGUCCUGCUUGAUUAAUAUUGAUGAUGUGGGUUACAAGAGUAGAUCUACCACGAGAUCAAGGAGGCUAAACCCUAGAAGCUGGCCUAUGUUAUGAUUGUUGUUCGUCCUAUGGACUAAAGCCAUCCGAUUUAUAUAGACACCGGAGAGGGCUAGGGUUACACAGGGUCGGUUACGAAGGUAGGAGAUCUACAUAUCCGUAUCGCCAAGCUUUCCUUCCACGCCAAGGAAAGUCCCAUCCGGACACGGGACGAAGUCUUCAAUCUUGUAUCUUCAUAGUCUUGGAGUCCGGCCGAUGAUGAUAGUUCGGCUAUCCGGACACCCCCUAGUCCGGAACUCCCUCAAUAGCCUUCAUGAUAUUUAUGUUCAUGGUGGAUUAUAUCCUACUCAUGCUUGCACUUAGUGUAAAUUAAUUUUAAUGCAUGUUUAUGACUGUUGUUGCUCUCUCAGUUGGUCGCUUCCCAGUCUUUUCCUAGCCUUCACCUGUACUAAGCGGGAAUACUGCUUGUGCAUCCAAACUCCUUAAAACCCAAAGUUAUUACAUAUGAGUCCACCAUACCUUCCUAUAUGCGAUAUCUACAUGCCAUUCCAAGUAAAUUUGUAUGUGCCAAACUCCAAACCUUCAGAUGAAAUUCUGUUUUGUAUGCUCGAGCAGCUCAUGUUUCAACUUGGGCUGCCUAUAUCUUCCAUUCUAGGUGGGUUAUUAUCAAGAGGAGUGGACUCCGCUCCUCAUUCAUGAGAAAGGGCCGGUAAUCGGGAUGCCCAGUCCCAUGAUCCAAAAAGAUCAUGGCAAAUCAACAUAAUUAAACAAAACUCCCCCAGGCCUGUUGUUAGUUGGAGGCACUUGUUGUUUCGAGCAAGCCAUGGAUUGAUGCUUGUUGGUGGUGGGGGAGUAUAAACUUUUACCAUUCUGUUUGGGAACUGGCUAUAAUGCAUGUAGUAUGGAAGAUACAUCCAUCUCAUAGUUACUGCGUUGGGAGUGAAAGUAUGCCGCUUAAAAUGUUAUUCAAUCUCUAUGUUAAAAUCGAGCUCUAGCACCUCUACAAAUCCCCGCUUACCUCUAUGAAGGGCCUAUCUAUUUACUUUUAUGCUGAGUCAUCACUUUCUUAUUAAAAAGCACCCGCUGGAGAGCACACUAUCAUUUGCAUUCAUUACUAUUGGUUUAUAUUGGGUAUGACUUGACUGGAUCUCUUUUACCAUCAAUUACAAUGUUUAGUGAGUCCUUGAACUUUAAAGGUGCUCUGCAUUUAUGUUUUGCGGUCUCAGAAAGGGCUAGCGAGAUACCAUUUUGUUAUAUCCUGUUAUGAUUGUUUUGAGAAAUCGUUGUCAUCUGAGUUUUAUUAUUAUGGCUUGCUAGCUGAUAAUGCCAUCAAUAUGAGUAAUUGUGAGACCAAGGUGUUAUUGUGAGUAUGGUUAGUUCAUAAUAUUUGCUGAAACUUGAAUGCUGGCUUUGCUUGUUUACAACAACAUGAGCAAAUAGAGUUUGUAAAAGGUUUUCUUUAUCACUUUCAGUUUAUCAACUGAAUUCCUUGAGGACAAGCAAAGGUUUAAGCUUGGCGGAGUUGAUACGUCUCCAACGUAUCUACUUUUCCAAACACUUUUGCCCUUGGUUUUGACUCUAACUUGCAAGAUUUGAAUGAAACUAACCCGGACUGACGCUGUUUUCAGCAGAACUGCCAUGAUGUUGUUUUAUGUGUAGAAAACAAAAUUUCUCAGAAUGACCUAAAAAUCCUUGGAGAUAAGUUUCAGAAAAUAUAAAAAAUACUGGCAAAAGCUGAGGGGUGAGGGGCACGCCCAUCCCCUCUGGGCGCGCCCCCCUAUCUUGUGGGCCCCCUACUGCUCCGCCGACCUCAACUCCAACUCCAUAUAUUCCGUUUCACGGAGAGAAAAAUCAGAGAGGAAGUUUCAUCACGUUUUAUGAUACGGAGCCGCCGCCAAGCCCUAAUCUCUCUCGGGAGGGCUGAUCUAGAGUCCGUUCGGGGCUCCGAAGAGGGGGAUUCGUCGUCGUUGUCAUCAUCAACCAUCCUCCAUCACCAAUUUCAUGAUACUCACCGCCGUGCGUGAGUAAUUCCAUUGUAGGCUUGCUGGACAGUGAUAGGUUGGAUGAGAUUUACCAUGUAAUCAAGUUAGUUUUGUUAGGGUUUGAUCCCUAGUAUCCACUAUGUUCUGAGAUUGAUGUUGCUAUGACUUUGCUAUGCUUAAUGCUUGUCACUAGGGCCCGAGUGCCAUGAUUUCAGAUCUGAACCUAUUAUGUUUUCAUGAAUAUAUGUGUGUUCUUGAUGCUAUCUUGCAAGUCUAUAGUCACCUAUUAUGUGUUAUGAUCCGACAACCCCGAAGUGACAAUAAUCGGAAUACUUCUCGGUGAUGACCGUAGUUUGAGUUCAUGUAUUCACUAUGUGUUAAUGCUUUGGUCCGGUACUCUAUUAAAAGGAGGCCUUAAUAUCCCUUAGUUUCCGCAAGGACCCCGCUGCCACGGGAGGGUAGGACAAAAGAUGUCAUGCAAGUUCUUUUCCAUAAGCACGUAUGACUAUACUCGGAAUACAUGCCUACAUUACAUUGAUGAACUGGAGCUAGUUCCAUGUCACCCUAUGUUAUAGCUAUUACAUGAGGAAUCACAUCCGACAUAAUUAUCCAUCACUGAUCCAAUGCCUACGAGCUUUUCAUAUACUGUGCUUAGCUUAUUUACUUUUCCGUUGCUACUGUUACAAUUACUACAAUACUGCUAUCAUUAAUAUCUUUACCUUUACCACUGUUACCAUUACUAUCAUACUACUUUGCUACUAAAUACUUUGUUGCAGAUACUAAGUUAUCCAGGUGUGGUUGAAUUGACAACUCAACUGCUAAUACUUAAGAAUAUUCUUUGGAUCCCCUUGUGUCGAAUCAAUAAAGUUGGGUUGAAUACUCUACCCUCAAAAGCUGUUGCGAUCCCCUACACUUGUGGGUUAUCAUAGACAGACAAUCCAAUCGACUAAAUGAAUUCUGGUCGAACGGACUUACCGGCUCGGGAAAUGGCCGCAUCGUCGGUCUCCUCGUCUCCUGGGGCCUUGUCUAUGUCCAUGUCAGUGGCAGCAGAGGUGGGGCUAGAAAGAUACAUGAUCCAGUUGGUUAGAACAAAAACUUCAGUCGCCUAGAUAAAUGCAAGCAAGAUACUCACCUCGAAGCAACAGGGACGUCCAUACUCACCGCCGGGUCAUGGUGUUGCUUAGAUCAGCAUUCAGAGCGUGGUGGGGAGUCGACUUCUUCCUCGUCAUGUGACUCCUCGCUCUCCUCCUCACCUUCAUCUGAAGAUUCCCAUUCACCAACCUCCUCCGCGCUGGCCUGUCCCUCCUGGUCCUGCUCCAGGGUUUGUUCACCGUUGGGCAUCGAAUACAUGUCAGUGAAAACCUACAAGACAAAAAGUCGAGUAAAAGUCAGUCGAGAUCAAACACAGUCAGAAUAUGUAUACAAAGACAAUCGGAUAAAGAGCAUGCCUUGUCGGGCUGAUUGUCGACUGAAGGGGAUGACUCGCCUAGCUCCUCCGGGGAUUCCUGGUUGCCCGUCAUGCCCUUCAACCACAUGGCCACAGUCUUGGGUGGCACUUCCUCUAGAUGAACCCGAGCGGUGUCGUCGGACCCGGAGUACAGCCACAUGGGAUGGUCAAGGGCCUGAAGAGGCUGGAUGCGUUGACUGAGGAAUACUUCCAGCAGGUCCAGGCCAGUGACUGCCUCGUUAAUCAGUUGGACCACUUUCUCAACCAAUAUAUUUGUCUCCACGUUCUCAGCAGCAGUCACGUUCAGUGGAGAGGGGGUCUGGACAUAGUCGAAAGUGAAGUGGGGAAGGCAAGUCGAAUGACCUGGAGUUGGAACAACCUGGCAGUAGAAACAGGUCGUCUGCCAACCCCUAACCGAUUCAGGGAGAGUCAUAACGGGGAAAGAAAUCCUAUGCCUCUUUUGGAUACCCAGACUCCCACACAUCUGGAUGACAUGGGUCUUCGAGUCACUUGUUUUUGCUUUGUUCACCGACUGGGAACGGAUGGUGAAGAUAUGUUUGAAAAUGCCCCAAUGCGGUCGACACCACAAAAAGUUUUCACACAUUGACACGAAUGCGGAAAGGUACGUGAUGGUAUUGGGAGAAAAAUGGUGGAGUUGGGCACCGAAGAAGUUCAGGAAACCCCGGAAGAAGGGGUGCGGAGGGAGCAAAAACCCUGGUCGAAGUGGGUGGGGAGCAGUACACACUCACCCGGUUGAGGCCGCGGGUCCGUGUCCCCCUCAGGCAGCCUUGCUGCACCCUUGGCGAUCAACCCGGACUCCGCUAGAUCGUCCAUAUCUUCUUGCCGGAUCAAAGACCGGAUCCAAUCGCCCUAGAUCCAGCCUAGCAGCAGCCCCGCGCGCGACGACGACCCGCGGUUCUGCUUCUUGCCUUUCGCCGCCCCCGUCGCCUUCUUCGCACGCUCUAGCGCCGCCAUCUUGUCCUUCACCAUGGCAGCGGAGCGGCAGCGUCGAGAGCAGAAGAACUAGACGCGGUGGAGAAGCAGAGGAAGAAGAAAGAGAAGCGGGCGUGCACAAUGCAGAUGCCUCGGCCCCAUUGCCUUAUAAAGGGGUGCUUCCGAGUGGCUGAUGCGUGGGACCAGGCGAUCCUAUCAAAUCCUGCAACAGUCGCGCGCAACGUACGUGGAAAAAAAGGUGACAUGGAAAUCGAGGCACUAUUGUUUAUCCACCCCGCUUACUUCGGCGUGCCCCGUCUCGCGCGCUUCCCUGAAAUUUCGUAUCCCGUGAAAUUCGAGAUACACUGCGAUCAGUCGCGCCAAAGAUUCUGCACCCCAAGACAACACUUGGCAGAUGAUGCUACAAGUUCAGUCGACAACUUUCUGAAUGGAUCAAGGCGACUGAAUCAACGCUAAAGUACCAACGUGAGUCUUCCAUCCUGGGAAAAACACUCGCGAGGUGCAAAGUUCGGAACAAAUUCAACUUCAACCUACUUUCCACUUGAACCUUAAUCCAUUCCGGGUCUACUAAUGAGGAUACAGACUUGGGAUAGGGUCAUAGGCCUGACCUAUACGUCCUUCCCAAGGUCACUACCAUAGAAGAUAAGAAGUUCAAGAGGCAACAAAGAAGCCCCAGUCAAAGGUGUCGAGUGCAAUCCACUCGACUAAUCAUAUCACUCGGAUACCCCUCCUACUUGUUGUCACUCGACCAUACAAGGAAUCACUCGACCUACCGAAGAUCAGGGGUCACUCAGCAUUGCAACGACCAGGUGUUCAAUCUGUAGUCUUUGAGGUCAUUAAUAGCACUUAAGACUGGCGUUAUCAGUAACGCCCCUACUUUAUGUACAUUAAGCCCCUUGUAAUGGAGGAUGGCUAGGGUCCUGGCGCACUCUAUAUAAGCCACCCCCUCCUCUGGGACAAGGGUUGGCACCCCUUGUAACAUCACACACAUAUAAUCCAGUCGAUCGCCUCCAGACACCGAGACGUAGGGCAAUUACUUCCUCCGAGAAGGGCCUGAACUCGUAAAUCUCGUGUGUACACCUCUACUAUAGCUGAGAUCUUGCCUCUCCAUACCUACCCCCCCCCCCUUUCUACUGUCAGCCUUAGAACCACAACACUAGGGUCAACUUGCAACUAGGGUGCCUAUACACACUACAAAAAACAUAAAAAUGGCACUCGAGUUGCAAGUCUAGGGUCAACUUGCAACUUUUCAUGACUACGCAACUAUAAAAGGGAAAAGGGCCCAGUUGCAAGUGAAUGUUGAUUUGCAGCUGGGCCCCACUCCUUGAUUUGCGAGUCUGAGGUCAACUUUAAAAUAGGGUGCUUAUAAGAACUAUAUAAAAGAUAAAUGCCCCCUCCCUGAGUUGCAAGUCUGGGGUCGACUUGCAACUAUGGUGCCUAUACAAACUACAAAAAACAUAAAAUGACCCCCGCGAGUCCGGGGUCAAAUUGCAACUGGCCGUGCCUAUAUAGAAAUAUGUAGGGAGAAGGGUGGACUUGGAACUGGGGCAUCUACUACUAGGAAGCCCCUAUUGCGAGUCGAUGGUGGACUUGCAAUUGGCUAUACAACUACAAAAGCCCGAUUUACGAGUCGAGGAUGAACAUGCAACUGGGACAAGUCGAGUUAAGAGUCGAGAGUGCACUUGCUGGGGCAACUACACUUCUACAAAAUCCUAGUUGCGAGUAGACAAUGCACAUGCAACUAGGGGACCCCCUACAACUACAAAAAAGCCCAAGUUGCAAUUAGGGCAACUACACUACUACAAGCCCAGUUGCGAGGCAAUGGACUUGCAACUAGGGCACCCCUACAAAGGAAACCCCAGUUGCAAGUCGAUGGUGGACUUGCAACUGCGGUAACUACUAUAAAGCCUAGUUGUGAGUAGAUGGUGGACUUGCAACUUGGACAAUUAAAACUACAAAACAACCCCCAGUUGCGAGUCGAGGGGUGAACAUGCAACUGGGGAAAUUACAACUACAAAGCCCUAGUUGCAAAGCGAUGGUGGACUUGCAACUGCGGCAAUGACAAAUACAGAAAUGCGCAGUUGUGAGUCAAGGGUGAACAAAAAGGCCCCGAGUUAUAACUAGGGCAACCUACAAGCACAAAAAGAAGCUCCCAGUUGCGAGUCGAGGGUUAACUUGCAACUGGGGGUCAACUACAGCCAAGGAAAAACAAGCCACCAGUUGCGAGUCAAUGGUUGACUUGCAACUAAGGGCCUCACGUUGUGAGUCAAGGUCUGACUUGCAACUAGCACUACACCACGGUAGAGCUUCCCAUGACACGACAAUGUGUCGUUAUAGGGUACCUUUGCCGAAAGAUAAGAUGUAGCUAACAACAAUGCUGACAGAAGAUGAAAGAAUCGGAGGACUUGCUGUGGGCAAAGUUAUUGCUGACAAUUAUUUACUUCCCGAUAGUUUUUCAGUCAGCAUAGACCCUACCUACACCGACAGAUGGGAUGUCCGCAUACACCCUACCUACGCUGACACUUUAUCAGACAAUAUACACCCUACCUACACCGAGAGAUAGCGUGUCCACAUACACCCUACCUAUGCCGACACUUUAUUAGCCAUGUACACCAUAUCUAUGCCGACAGAUAGUCUAUCAACAUACACCCUACCUACACUGACAUAUAUUGCUUUGCCGACAGAUAAAUUGCUGGUAUAGUGAUGUACAGCCAAAACAAUUUAUAUACAAGCCAUAAACAUAUUCAGUUGUUACCAAUGUAUACAAACUCUAAACAGAUUCAAUUAUUAUCCUCACAUCCACAAGAAGGUUCAAGAUGAGCACAUACUGUACAACAAUGAAAACUUGUUCACAAACAUGCAUAUACAUUGAAUGCAAGUUGACAAACACAUCAUCUUGGCAAAGCAUAGUUUUGACCAUCUUAACAAUCACCUAGAACACACAAGUCACAGAAAGAUGAGCACUAUUUGCUUGUAUGAGAGACUUUAGCUAGAUGGUCUACAACACACAAGUCUAUAUCCACUUGCACAAAGUACAAGCUCCAAAAUAUCGGAAACACCAAAUGGUCUGGAAGACACAUAAGAUCCACGAUUAUAGGUUCAUUGGUCCAUAAACACUUCAAAGUCAUCACGUCCAUGUGCACCCGUUGGCUAAGUGCCUGGAACAUUUUCACAAAAAAAUGUCAAGAAAGUUGAAUCGGCUCAAGUUGUUCAAAGCUCAUAUGUGGAUUGGCACAUAUUCGAUCAAUAAAUCCUCAUGAUAUCAUAGUUAACAAUAAGUUUUUACAAAAGUUUUAAUUGGCUCACAUGGUACUAUAUAGAACUAUGUUCAUGUGCUUGCAGUUUUAUCAACAAUGAAGGCAUUGACCAUCAAAAACAAUGAUCCUACAACCUAGUAGCUUAUUUCAUAGCCUAUUACAUAAUAAUUUACUGAAGAAAGACAACCUCUUCUGCAACCUUUCUAGAUUUUCAUGAUUAAGAGCUACAUAACCAUGGAUAAAAAGGAAACCAUGACACAUAUACACACAAGCAAUUUAGUGUUAACACAUAGGUUAGCAACCUUGUAAAGUGACAUUUUAGAAACAGUUCUUAUGCAAUAGAAUGCGAGCUAAUUACUACUAAAACAAAAAAUGUACCUAGUAGUUGAGGUACCCGGCCAGGUAGCCUUCCAUUCGCCACCAGUUGGACACUACAAGUCGUGCCCCUGGUUCCCCAUGAGGUAGCCUUUCCAUCCACCAUUUGGUUUCUACUGCAUGUGUGAAACCAUGGUUCCCAGCGAGGUAUCCAUCCGUUCUCCGCCCAUUGGCCAUGCUGCAUGUUGGUGGUCGUGGUUCCUGGAUAUUGUCGGCAAGACUAAAAGUAAUUUGUUUCUCAUCAGACAUUGUAAUCAUGACAAUUGUAUGUAACAACACAAUUUGCAUAUAUUUUUUACUCUGACUAGUAAGUACGCACAUGAAAUGUACAUAGAACCACAUGAAGAUAUUUUCUCAUUCAUCCUAGUCAAGAGGAAAUUAUUCAAAUAAAUUCUCCCUUCCCUAGCAACCCUAGUCAUUUGAACCGUUGUUUAUUAGUUUGAUGAAAUAUGAGAUGGUAAGAAGUUGUAGAUAAUGACCUCCCUUCCAGCCUAUCAAAAAUAAUAUUCUGAUUUUAUCAGAAAUAGUGAAAGAAUAGUAUGUAGUUAUAAUUAACAAAACAUAAUUUCUACAAUAUAAAGUUGAGGCACACAGAGGUAACAGUCAAGGAUGACAUCAAAUUCCAAUGUAGAUAGAGCAUAAAUGCAGUACAUAAAAAUAUUCUAAUAUAAAGAGUGACCUCAAGAGAAACAAUGGCAAAGCAUUAACUGGCAGACGCUUGUAUAACAAAGUAGGAUCCUAGAUCAAUCCACAGGGAAAUAACAAGUCCAGGAAAUAUAAAUUAUGGAACGAUGUAGAGGCUGAGCAACCAUCUUCCAUUAUCUAAAGUAAGUUAAGCGUCUGAAUAGAACAAGAGGAGUUUUUGGAGACAUAACUAUUGGUGAGAUCUCCAGUCAUUGCAAACUUCACAAAUUUCAUGAUGGAAGAACAAAGAUAAUGUUCCGACAGAACAAUUUGUAGGCACUGGAGCAUGCUAAUAAAAUUUAAUAUGCUAGAACAAAGGUAGGCAAUUUUGUAAAAUAAAUGGUUUCAGUGCAAAGGUCAUAUUAGUCCAUGGAGUAACCACAGCAACAACCAAUCAGUCCAUGGAGAAGACAAAAUAAUAAAAUCCACUACUGAGUGGCUGGGUAGGGAGCGAGAGGCAAACUUGAAAUAGUGUUGCUGGGCCAUGUGGAUGGCCUUGCGAGGUUGUGGUUGUCGAACCAUCAUGCCUGCUUAAGCUCCUUCUGCACCAUCUCUUUUCCUUGCCUUCAACAAUCACAAAAUUAAGCACAAACUGACAACAGUACAAUAAAUGGAUUUUUCUUUAACAUCAAACUAACUUGCAGUAUAGGUCUAGAAGCAGAUAAGACAAUGAAGAUACAAGAGAAUAUUUGGAACCAUAGAAGUACAGGGAGAUUGAAAACACAAGCCUGACAUGUUGUUCGCAACAGAUAAUUUUGAUUAUUUCUUCUAAAGCAUACUUACUAUGUCCUAAACUGAACCAAACUGAAGUAUACUUAAGUAUGGAAAAAACAACGCUCUUGCAAUACAUCAACCAGGAAACAAUUCCAAAAUAUACAAAUAAGAUCAACCUGAGCAGUUUACUUGUUACUCACAACAGAUAAAAAAAAUCAAAUUGACUAAAAGAAAUAACAUCAUUGGUACAUAUAUGCCUUGUGGUGGUGUCGCUAAUGGUCAAAUAUAUUACACUUCAUCGAGAAACUUCAGAACACCGAAGCAAAUGUUUUUUUAUGAUACCAGCUUGAAGUCCAUAUAUCAUUUUGUUGAACAACUAUCCACCUA
RNAcentral lists this long non-coding RNA (149126 nucleotides) under Triticum aestivum (bread wheat). RNAcentral describes it as "long non-coding RNA (TAES_LNC000874)". The record is from RNAcentral. Lineage: Eukaryota; Viridiplantae; Streptophyta; Magnoliopsida; Poales; Poaceae.